GGAGGUGGUGGUGGUUGUGGCGUCAGUUGUGGAUGCGCGGUGGUGGUUACGGAGGCGGAGGCGGUGGUGGUAGGGUGGGGGCGGAGGAGCAGAUUAAUUUGGUCACGAAUAAAAGCAGCUUUGUGUGAUAAAUCUAACCCUAAUUUAGCUUCAAGUUGCUGUACGACACCGUUUAAUGAAGUAACGGUGCUGGGGUCUGAUUGCCGCAGCACUGUCUCUACUCCUUUGGCUAUUUCCUGGUCUGUCACCAUGGCUUGGCUACCUCUCUUUCUUCACAUAUAUUUUUAACGGAAAAAACGGACACAAACGGUAACUCUAUGUGUCUUUGUCUCUCUAAACAAUUCUCUCUCUAGAAAAAUUCUCUGUGUUUCUUUCUCUCUCUACAUUCUCUCUGUCUCUCUCUUUAUAAUUUUUCGAAAGGACGGAAAUGACCUCUCAUGUUUUUAACCUGAAAAGACAGUUUGCCCUGUGUAACAGCUGGGUGGGUGGGUGAGGGUGGCAAGGGUAGAGUGGGUAUUUGGGGAAGUCCACUGUUUCUUGAAGUUCUAAGCUGUGAUUUUGGGUGUUUGAAAUGACGGUUUGGGGUUGAGGUUGGGGUUUGUGGGGGUGGUAGGGGGAGGAGGCAGGUGUGGAGGAUUCGAAGGUGGGAGUUUUAUUUUACUUUAAAAUUUAAAAAGGAAGAGAUAAGAAAGAGAGUGGAUACUUGAAGAUGUAAUUGACAAUGGUAAAUGAGAUAAUAAAGUAGGUUGAAGCAUCGUUAUUACAGCAGUUAGAUAUUUUAAUAAAUGUUUUUUAAAAAUAAUAUUUAUUAAUUUUUAAAAUUUAUUUUUAAUAUUAGUACAUCAAAAUAAUUUCAAGAAAACAAUUAAAAUAAAAAUAAAAAUUAUUUUUUAAAAAAAUACUUUUAAAACAUAAAAAUAAAUAGACUUUUAGAUUGAACAAAAACUUAUAGAAUGAAUUGAUUGACUACAUGAAUCCUAGCUAAUAAAAAAAUUUCUAAAAAUUAUAAAAUUAUAUAUAAAAAAUUAAUAUAUUAAAUCAACCUGAAUUAUUUUUAUUUUUUUCAUCUCAAGCAAAGGGUUGAACUUUCGAUAUAGUUCAAUAAUUUCAAUAAUUCACAUAAUAAUUAAAUAUAAAACAUUUCAUAAUAAAAUAAAUAUAAAAUGAUAAAUACAUUAAAAUUUAUUUUUUCAUGACUAGAUAUAAUUUUAUGUAUAUGUGUAGCAUUCAUUUAAAAUAUUUUUCUCUAGUUAUUAGAGAGGGGUUAAAGUCUUGAAUCCCAUGAGGGCAAACAAUUUCACAGAAUUAGUUAGUGUGCUUAAUAAUGAUGAUGACGACUUGUUGAAGAAGGAGCGAGGGUAUAGUGGUAAUUGAGAAUUGAGUUUGGAAUUAGGAUGAUGGAUAGUUUGAUAAGAAUUUAGUGGGGUGGGUCAACAACAAGAGAAUGUUGAUAAAGACUAGAAGAGAACCAAAUUAGUGUUUUCUUCAACAAGAUAACUAACCUAGCUACCACUUUUAUCUCUUCCGGCAACCACUGUUUUUUAACUUGCGGGUUGACCCAUUAUCUAAGUAACAUGGACUCGGGUUUCAAUAAAAAAAAGAAUUGACGCGGUGUGAAUCGGUGAAAAACUCAUGUUGUCUUGUGAUCCUGUCAAACUUGGAAAAACCUGAUUAAAAUUAAUUUUUUUAAUCUGAUUUAACUCGAAUCUAUUUACUUGACACGUAAUCGACACCAACAUAACUUUUGAUUAAGGUGUGAGAAAUAAUUUAAUCAAUAAAUCAUCAUAAUUUUCAUAUUCACUAGGAAUGAAAGAGAAUGCGGGUUACUAGAUCAACGAUUAGCAAGGAUUAUUUGUUUUUAUUAAAAUAAUAUUGUUUUAUUUUAAAAAUAUUAUAAAGUUAGACUUAUUGUGUUUGAUCAGGUUACAAGCAAUCUCAACUAAAUUAAUUAGAUUUUAUUAAAUCAAAAAAAAAUUAUUCAUCCAACCCAUGAAGAUUUCCUCACGAGUCUACAGAAAAUUACAAAAUAAGAAAAUAAUAUUAGAGGGGGGGGGGGGAGACAUGAGUUGUGAUGUUUGUGUCACAAUCAUAUCUUUGCGAGUAAAAUAAGCAAUUAUGUAACAUCACACAAGUGUAGAAGUUGUCAAAAUGUGAUGAAAAGGCUAUAUAUAUAUUAGCAACAUAAAAUGGACAAAGGGCGGAUUCGGGUUCUCUUUAUAGGGUUUGAAUAUAUUUUCUUACAAACAAGACAAAGACAAAAGGAAGGAAACAAAUAAAUUAAGAGCAUGCGAUGUAAUGAUGCAGACUCUAUUACCUUUUUCCUCCUGUUGCCUACACUUUGAGCAAAGCCUAUCUGUGGUCCAUGCUCUCUCUCUCUCUCUCUAUAUAUAUAUAUUGCUGGGAAACACAGCCGCUGCAACACACAAACAUAAAAUUAAAGCAAGGCCAUUGAAGAAACCCUGCUCGAUAAUAUCUAGAUAGAGCGAGGUUGUCUAUUAGUUAUUCGGUAGAGAAUAAUAUAUAAAUUUUAUUUAAAAAUUUAAAUUAUUAAAUUAAAAUGAUUUUUUCGUAGGAUAUCAGAGCUUUAAUGAUCAAGUGAUUACGGGUUUAAAUCUCACUAUUUUUAUUUAUUUGAUAAAAAAAUUAAACAUAAAAUAGUGUGAGCAUGUACAAGUUUUAAAUUUAAAGGACUUUCACUUGAGGAGAUGUUAAAGAACAAUAUAAAAAGCUUUUUAUUUAAAGACAUACGUUAAAAAAUAAUAUAAAUUACAGAUAUUAUUUAAAAACUUAAACUAUUAAAUUUAAAAAAAUUAUUUUACAUCACUGAAUUCCAAUUGUUGUAAAACCUUAAGUUAUCUAUUAACCUUGCUCAAGAAAAUUAUUUUUAGUGGUUAGAAAAAUACAAAAUGCUGAAAUAGAAACACACGAGUAUCGCUGUAACAAUCUUAAAUAUGUAAUAAUAGUCAUCUUUCUCAAAUUGAAUCAACACCCUCACCUUAAAAUUUCCAAAACACACACACACGUACACGUGUGAAAGCACAUGCACACAUGCGUGCAUGUAUAUACGUGUUGAUUCAAUUUGAGGUGUGUGUUAGCGUACAUGCACAUGCAUACGUAUAAACGAAUACAUGCUGGUACCAUCCUUCUCCGCAAGUUUUUUUUUAGUUAAUCAUGAGUAUUCGACUCAAUUUAUAUACACUUCGAUUAAUUCUUUGAAAUCCUGAAACUAACUAACAUGCAAAUCUUUCUAAUGAUUUCUAAAGAGUAAAUUUCAGAGGUACUUAUAAACUGGACUAUGUAAGUCUCCAUAAGUUUUCUGUAAGUUCUUUUUAAUGUUCUUGGACAAUAUUUUUUUUAAUUUUUGAUCUUUUUUAAAAAAUCAAAUUAAUAUUUUUUUGUAUUUUUUAAUAUAAUAUUAAAAAUAAAAAAAUAUUAUUUUAUUGAAUUAUAAACUAAAAAAAACUUUACAAAACACCACACACAACAAAUCCAAACACUAAGUUCAUCUCUAUUUCUGUUGAUAAGAAAGUUAGACCAUGAUGGAAAAAAAGAAAAUUAUUGAGCUAAAAAAAAUUGAAAUUAGUUCAAAGCCCAACAUAUUGUCCUAAAAAUUACUAACGGGCUUACCAAUUUAUAUCCCCAAGCCCAUGUUCUCUUCAGCUCUAUCACCUACAUGUCUCUCAAGCUGUAGGCAGAAGGGUAACACACCACCACCAUGGCACAAGUUCUUCACAUAAACCCUCUACGUUCCUCAACCCGACCCGAAUCAAACGGUACCCUAUUCCUCAGCCAGAGGCAGAAGCAAGAUGUGAAGCACAGCUGGACCUCUUUGCAGAGAGAAUUCAAGUGUAAUGGCAAGUUUACUUGCCUUUUCUCAGGCGGUGGCAGAGAGGUACAGAAAAAAAGUUUGCUCCUAUAUGAUUUUUUUAUCACUUUCUUGGAUAUAUUGUAUCUGAGUUUUGUCUCUUUGGAUGCGAAUUAAGGAAAAUUUGAUCAGCUAGUGAUAAAGAUUGAAGCUUUAAGGUUUUUGUUUUGGAAAUUAAAAACCCAUGUUUGGGUUUUGAGUUGAUUGAAAGCUGUCGUUUUAAAUGGUGGAUAUGGACUGUGAUAAUGGGGUUUAAGGGGCUUUUGAGCUUGCAAGUGAAUAACUUGUCCGCUUAAUUAUGGAAGAUGAGGGUUAGUAGGUUGUUUGCUUGUCAAAUUGUAGAGUUUAUGAAGUGUUUUAUUGAGUUGGAAUGGAGUGAGGGUUGGUUGUUUGAAUGGGAUACGGUUUUUAAUUUCAGAUAUUUACUGAUUAAACUAUGAUUCUUGUAAAGAUUUUUAAUGCUUGAGUGCUAAAAUGAUCUUCCGAUUGUUAGUUAUUAGCUUAACCAUUGUGUGCGUUUGUUUCCUAGUUAUGAGUGAUUGAGUUCCAACAAAGUGAAAUAUUUAAUAUGGUUAUAAUGUGAAUGUGUUUAUGUUAGUUGCCAUGCCAACUAGAAUUACCAUUAUCAUAUUAGGGACCUCAAGCUUCUUGACCAACCAGUAGGAUAAUCGGUAAUGUAUUUGAUAGUUAUGCUAGGCCUUUGUUUCUGUAAAUGUGGUAAUUUGAAUAGCUUAUUCUGCAAUUCAUGCGGAGGAUUCUUGUUGCUUAACUCUAGAGGCCAAGGCGAUUCAAGCUGUUGUACUAAGCCACCAGUCCUCUUACCCUUUCUCCCAUAUUCAAAGAUGGUUUUGAUCACUGAACUGGACCUUCAGCAUCAACAACUUUAUGACAUCGUGAUGUCUUAGAACUUUAAAUUCACUAAGGGUCCGUUUCCUUGUACAAAAGGGUAGCCUGGUGCUGGAGGCUUCUGCUUUGUGUUUCUGGUUAUGUGAAGGUUUCACAUUUUCUUGUGCAUUGACUUGCAUUGUGUCCAUUAAUCUUGGUGAUUGCCUGUCCUAUCAAACCAACUGUCAUAACCAGGUCUAGAUGAUGGAAACAUGGCUAACGAAAAUUGUUGGAAAUGGCUUUCUCAGGUUUGAUGAAAAACUGAGAUAUAUGCAAGGGAGUGUUGUAAUCCAACUGUUUAGAGGCUUUCAACUCCAGUCUUUUGACAUGCCUUAGAGUAUAGAUAUUGUUGAACUCUGUAUUUGUUAUGCUAUACGGUGACCUGUCAUAGGGUGGGAUAAAAAGAAUAGGAGAACUCAAGAUUAAAUGUGUUUGCAGGUGUGAUUAAGCCGUCUUAUUUGUGGCUGCAGGAACAAGCAAAGAAAGCUUUAGAAAGUGCUCUUGGUGGAAAGAAAGAUGAAUUUGAAAAAUGGAACAAGGAAAUUAAGAGGAGGGAGGAAGCAGGUGGAGGGGGAGAUUCUGGUGGAGGAGGUUGGUUUGGAUGGGGUGGACGAUUUGGCUGGUCCAAUGGUGACAAUUUUUGGCCAGAAGCACAGCAAGCAAGUCUUGCUGUCCUGGGUAUUAUUGCCAUGGUGAGGUUUUCCCUUCACAAUUCUUGGAAUGCUGUGUUUAAUUAAUUGCUCUCUCCCAAUUUCUUAUGAUGUUUUAUUACAUGUACAGUAUCUCAUAAUUGCAAAAGGUGACUUGAUCCUUGCCGUCAUGGUCAAUCCUUUGCUAUACACUUUGCGAGGGACAAGAAAUGGGCUAACUUUUAUGUCAUCAAAAAUGUUGAGAAAGGCAUCUCCAGACGAUCCUGCUGAUUUUGCUGGGGCGUUAAAGAAUGGUGUUUAUGUUGAAGUUUCAGCUAAAGAGAGUGUUAAGAGAAAAUGGGGAAGCAAUUGAUAAGUUAUCUCAGGCUUAAGCAUUGUUUCAUCCCUCCACUUGAUGCUGGUGCAUCUAUAAUUGUAUUGGACAACUGAAUCACAGAUUCUUGAAAAAGCAAUUUUAAAUUGUGAAGAUUACCGAGCCUGGCUGCAUAGUGUUUGAAUAUUCAGCCACUAGAGUUGGGGACGUGCUUCCAUCUUUUUGGGGGCAUUUUGCAUUUGAAAUCCAGUCUGUCUUCUCCCUGUAACAUCAAGGUCAAGGGUUAUUUGAACAUCAAAUGGAAAGAGAAUUGUUCCAUAUUUUGUCAGUAACAUUCAAGUCUACUCUUCUGUAAGAUGCAUCAUUUAUCAUCACUAGAUAAUACAUUAAUUUUGAUAUUGAGUAGACUUGUUUUGAUUCAUUUCAAAUUUAUAUCAGGCAAAUUGGAUGGACUUAGUUGGCAGAGAAGGAUCCGAUAAACCACAAGGCAAGGUAGAGCAAAAACCAUUUAAUGCUCUGAAUUUAGGUUCUUUUCAUUUGAACUGCAUAAUCUUCCAGUUUCCCAUUUUAGUUACUUCUGCGCAUGCUUGCCUGGAGUUAUGAGGAAUCAAGUAAUACAGGGAUUGCAGAGGGGAUUUAGAAGGUGAAUAACUCACUUCCAGUCUGCUAUACCAAUACCCUAUAAAUGCAGCUAGAGAUGACUCUAAGGUCCAAGGUCCUGGAAUAAUCCCCCGAACUUCACGAGUAUUGGAAUUCAAGGAGUCUUAUAUUUCCCUAGAAAUCUAUCUUCUUGUUUGCGAAAAAGAAUCGAAGAUGAUUCUUGUCGUUAUAUAAUUCUCAUGUAUAUGAAAUUACUCGCUUCCAGUCUGCUGUACCAAGCACCCUAUAAAUGCUGCCAGAGAUGACCCUACUGAUUUACUGUGGUUUUAUCAUCUCCCGAGGGAAACGAUGAUGAAUUAUCUUGAGCUAAGGACCAGGUUAGGUAAAUGGCAAAUUUGGCCACCAUCUGCGGUGGUUGCUGAUGUUGGCCUUGGGAAGAUAUCUCUGCCUCCCUUCGUGUUUGUGUGGUAAAUUGUCAGUGUGAAAACUAGUUCUUGGCUCCAUCGGCACAAGGGAUAAGGUCCAAGCAAACAGUACAAAAUUGCCAAAGGAUUCCAUGAAGUUGGUAAGAAGUUCAAGCUGAGGUUCAUGCAUCUGCUGACCAUUCCUCCUGUGGAAAAUAAUUUAUUACAUCAGUUAACAGAGCAGAAUAUUGUUGUUCCACCAUCAUGGCUAUUGAAUGAUGAUCAUGUACAUUUUACACAGUGGCCCUCCUAGAAUCUGUUCAGUGGCCUUAAUAAUUAGUGGGGCACAUGCAUUAAAGAAAUCGGAACAAUUCAAUGCAGAGAUUCUCCUUGCUACCAAGGCCUUCUUGCACACAUCAUGAAGGCCAUGAUUAUCUUCAAGGUUGAAUCACCGGUUUAGUAGAUUAAUAUUUUUACAAGAGUUUUUAUAAAAAAAAAGUCUUAAAAAAUAUUAUUUUAUUUUUUUAAAAAAACUAAAUAAGAUUUUAAUUUAUUUCUUUAAUAAACUAGAUGAAUUUCUACAGGAUUUGAUUUUAUUUGAAAUAUAUAUAUAUAUAUAUAUAUAUAUAUAUAUAUAUAUAUAUAUAUAUAUAUCUCCUUGCUACCAAGGCCUUCUUGCACACAUCAUUGAAGGCCAUGAUUAUCUUCAAGGUUGAAAAUUCCCAUUUCCAUUUAGCAAAUGACAAUUACCACUUCAAUUAGUCCAUAUAAUUUAACUUAGAAAAUUUUCUACACUAGUCCUGAAAGCCUCACCUAAUGGUUUUUAUAAUAAAAUUAAACUUAGUUUAAAUUUACGGGUUAACUUGAUAAAUAACAUUUAUGAUUCCAACUAAAUUUCAGUUUGGACUAAUUUGAAAUUGAUUUAGUAAAAGAUUUCAAGUAAUACAUGUUGAUUAGCCUAUAAACUUAUUUCAAAUUGGAUUGAGUCAAAACUAAUAAAGUUUUUCUUUAAAAAAGAACAAAAUGACAUCUUAUUGAUAAACAAUUGAUCUGAUAAAAUCGACUCAACAACCUUUAACUCGGACUCUUUAUUACUUUCGUCAGCUAUGGUUUUUUAUGUCCUAAAUUCAUAAGAAAAUGUACAAAUUACUGGGACUCAGCUAGCUGAAUUGACUUUGCAUAAGCCUAUAAUCUUUUUGACAAGGACAAGAAAAUGUCCAUACAAAAAACCUAAGGUCAAAGUACCAAGAACUGAGAGCUUAUCUAAAGUUAAAAACAGCGAGCUGAACCAAACCAAUUAUAACUAUCAGAAUCCUAGGCAGCUUUUUUUUCUUUCCUUCAUGUCCGAGUCAGAGUUUCCAUUAUAAGAAGUCAAAGAGGAGGAGUCUAUCCUCCAGACAAUCCUAGGCUGUCUUAAUCUCACAUCUCUCUCUCUGUAUAUUGUUUUGGUUAUGUAAUCAAAAGGAUGCACUAAUUUUAAAGCCCCCCAUGUCCUUGAAUCAAGGUAUUCGUGGAUCCUACUGAAGGAGUGACCUUCACGAUCUUGACACCUCUCUUUUCUUAUUUUGCCAUUGUUGUUUAGUUGAACACAAUUUUAGGAUCACCACAUGACUGUUUCUUUUUCCUUUGUUUGAACUUUCUAAAAACUGAACUUGUGCCCUUUCUCUAUCGUUCUUUCUUGGGUUGUUAGCGUGUCUUGUUGUUGUUUGAAGGGUUAUGGUUGUGGGUUUUCUUGAUUUUGUCCCGUGUUAAACUUUCUAGUUUCUAAGAUUCUUUGACCCUUCUUUUGUUGGUGUCUGGUUUUUGUGUUCUUUUGCUUUGGGGGCAUUCUGUUUUGUUUUGUUUUGUUCCCUAAGGGAGACACAUACAGGCGCAGACACAAGUGCUGUUUACUGUUGAUGGGCUGUUGAUGUCUUUGGAGGUUGGUGUGAAUUCAAAUACUAAAAGCAUGGGUUUUGAUGAGAAAAACAAAGAGGAAGUUUCUGAGACAGCAGCAACAACAAAAACACCUCCAAAUGAAGAAGAACAUAAUGUUGAUGAACCUAAAAGUGGUGGGAUUAGUAGAAAGAUGAGUGAGAGUUCUCUUUAUGGAACUGAUCAAGAAGAAGAGGAUGAUGAAGAAACUAAUGAAAGGAAGAUUGAGCUGGGUCCUCAAUGCACACUCAAAGAACAACUUGAAAAAGACAAGGUUUGUUUUUCUUUCUUGUUUUCUACCUCUUUGUGUUUUCUCAUUCCUGUUUCUUUUUAUUAAUUACUGUUCCAUUUUUUGUUUUGUUUAUGUUCAAUCUUUUUCUGUUUUGUGUGGUUUGAGAAUGUAGGAUGAUGAGAGUUUGAGGAGGUGGAAGGAACAGCUUCUUGGGGCUGUGGAUAUUGAGGCUGCUGGAGGUAAUCUGCUUAAACAUUUUGAAAAUGUGUUAAUUUGUAGUAUAAUUCAGAUUUCCUUUGCAAUUAGUGGUAAUGGAGCUAUGUUUUAUGUAGUCUGUUAAUGAUUUUUUUGUGGAUUUACAAGUCUCUGCAUAUUGUCUGCUGUGAGAAGAACUAAAAUUCAUCUGAGAAAUCUUAGGAAUUAAUAAAAGUUAAUUUUGUUAAUUAGGGUUGAUAGUUUAUGGAUUAUUUGUCAAAUUUUGGUUUCUUUUCCCACGAUUUAUAGCAAUUGUGUCUGAGCUCAUGUGUUACUAUAGUGUGUUAGACCCUUCUUUCAUCAUCUCCAUUUAUUCAAGCAUGCUAUUUCAUUGACUAGAUUUGUAAAUGCUUGAAUUGGAAUAAAAUUUCCUCUGUUAGCCUUUUUGAUUCUUGGAAGAAAUCUGAUCAUUUAAUGGCAGAUGAAGUUUGUUUGGAUCUCUGACAUUUUUCUUAAUGGUUUUAUAACUAUGUAGAGACUCUUGAACCUGAAGUUAAAAUCCUGAGCCUUGAAAUCAAAUCCUCUGGCAGACCUGAUAUUGUUCUUUCAGUUCCUGAGAAUGGAAAGCCUAAAGGCUCAUGGUUCACCUUAAAAGAAGGUAGCCGCUAUAGUCUGCAGUUCACUUUUGAGGUUAAGAACAACAUUGUUUCCGGCCUCAAGUAUACUAACACGGUUUGGAAAACUGGUAUCAAGGGUAAAAGUCUCUCCAUUUAUCUCUUCCAAUCUCUUCAUCCCCGUAUCUCUUUUUCUCUGAAAUAAUGAUUUUCCCUUUAUGAUGAUUUAUCAUGAUAGUUGAUAGCUCAAAGGAGAUGAUUGGAACCUUUAGUCCUCAGACAGAACCUUAUACUCAUGAAAUGCCUGAAGAAACUACUCCAUCUGGUAUGUUUGCUAGAGGAUCAUAUGCGGCUAGAAGUAAAGUAAGUCCCACCAGUUCUUCUUGUUCUUCACCCCUUUGAUAUUUGAUCUUUUCACGCAACAGAUGUAUUGGUUCAAAAUACAUGUUCAUCAACUGACCUUUUCUCAAUGCAUUUGCGCACAAACUACACACAUUCAUGUUCAGUUGUUUUCAUCUGUUCUGUUGAUUCAUGUGAUAGUACUUGUGGGGCACCUGCAUUUAAGAGCAUGGAUUUAUAAAAAAAAUUUGCAAAAAUUCAAAUAAUUUUAAAUAUGCUAACAUCAAAUCUAUUACCAUUUAAAGUCCCUACAAUGUAGUUAUUGUUUCAGAACAUCUUGCAAGGCCUAACUUAAUCUGCUUCAAAAGGACAAGCUGAGUAAUGUUCCUAUCAAUUAGUUCUGGAAUCAAGUGUGUCAUAAUUCAUGCAUGUGAACAUUUAAACUUGUGGGUCAUCCUUUGUUUAGUGAUUAGAUUUCAAAGAUAAUUAUUAGAUUCAUCAAGAAUUUUUGGUUUGCAGAAGCUGCUACUGAUUUCCUUUGUAUUCUUCUUUCUGUGUCUCCAGUUCGUUGAUGACGAUAACAAGUGCUACCUUGAGAUCAACUACACCUUUGACAUCCGCAAAGAUUGGCUGCCAACUAAAAACUAAGAAUUACUAUUACCUUCAAGUUGCAGCUUCCAUAUAAUUGUUUUACAAGUUGGAAUAUGCUUCUGAUGUUUAACAUAUCUUCUUUUUAUUGUCUUAUUUAUGACUCCUAUUUGAGACUGGUCAUUUGAACAAUGAAGAGAGGAUUUGAAAAUUUGCAGCUAGAUAUUCAUUUGGUAGUUGUUGAUUAAUAAAAUUCACCGUUACCUUAAAUUGAACACUUUCCUUUUUUUCUCCCGGAUCAUCAUUCCAUUAGUACAUUCUUUUUCUCUUUUGAUUGUUGCUUUUGCUUUCAACGUUGGCCGAAUCUUUCUACUUUAACUGCCUUUCUUGUUCUGUUCUUUUCGUUGGAAUUCUUUUGCAACGGUUCCAUUUUGUACCGUUGUUGACUCUCAUUCUAGUCUUGGAACUACCAUGUUUUAAAUGGAUGUCUUGUGGGGUUAAUUGGCUAAACUUUUUAGAGACAAUGUUUGGUGGGACUAGGAACCUUUAAUCAUUGUGGGGGUGAACACAACAGCAAUUGCCUGGACUGUCAAAAAGAGUUACUGUAAGUGGAAAAAAAAUGACAGCUGUGAUUCAAGACAUUCAGAUCUUUGCAUUAUGAUCAAAGCCAUGCAGCUCCUUUUCCACCUGAGAAUUCUGAAUAUUUGGACUAGGAAUGCAUUAUUUAACCAUUUUGGAGAGAAUUAAUGCUACGAUUUAAGUUGGAACAACAUAGGUGUGAUUUUGCAGUGACAUCUGCUACUGGUUUUGUUUGAACACCAUGAUGGUUGCUCAUUCAAUUGAUGGUGAUGGUGGUAGUGAUCUACUAGUACUAGGGUUUUGAGUCAACAAGAAAGAUGUGAUCGGCCAAUGAAAUCUUAAUCAACAAACUCAUAAAGAGUUCAGAAGUGGAGGUUGUUGCUGGUUGUUUUAACAUGAAAUCUUUCCUUUUAAGUUGAUUUUUGGAAGCCGAACAUCCACUGCACUUGGUGAUGUUAUUGACAGAAACUUGGUUCACAAUAUCUCCUUACCGACUUAAAGAAAAAUGUGGAAUAGGCAUCAUUGCACUUUUGAUCAUCUGCAACCCUAAUUUUUUCUUCAAUUAAACAGUAUUGAUAGUGAUUUCCAAUUGAGUGGACAUGAACAGUAUCUAUCAGAUUCACAUCAUUCUACGUUGUGCUACUUUCAUUGGGUUCUAUAUAAUUCAGUAUUGAUUGGCCGUAUUGUAUUGCCUCAAAACUUUGAACUAACUUAGCAGUUCGCUUUCAGAAGAAAGUAGAAAAUGGAAGUUCAAAUCAUUUCUAAGGAAAUCCUGAAACCUUCCGCCGUGCUGCACCAUCUAAGAACCUUCAAGCUUUCUCUUUUACUCACUAUCCAGUGAAAGUUUCUGCAAAGCCUCUUUUAUCACCUGAGAAAGUCCUCACAGUCAUUAACUUAAUUCUACCCUUUUGCUGGACGGAUAAAAGAUGGUUUUUCUAUCGACUGCAACGAUGAUGGUGCGCUGUGUUUUAUGAAGCCUUGGAUGGUGGCGACGUAACAAAGGUAUUUCAAGAAGCAGACAUAAAUCAGCUGCUACCAUGUAGCCCUAAUGAAGUCAUUUGGGCUAAGCACUGAUCAGGUAAUGCUAGCAGUUCAAGUAAAUUACUUCAAUUGUAGGGGGUUGAAAAUUUGUAUUUGCAUUUGACAUGCAGUUGCUGAUGCAUCAACUAUAGCAACCUUUGUUAAUAACUGGGCUGCAAUGGCUUGCGGUUCCCAUAACAUUAUUGACGAGGUGAUUUUUGACUGCUCAACCCUCUUCCCUCUACAAGAUUUACCAAGCUUCUCUUCAAGCAAUUUCUUGAAAGAGGAUGUGUUAAGUGAAAUUUUGAUGAAAAGGUUCUUGUUUGAUGGUUCCAAGAAAGUUUCUCCAGGAGAAGAAGUGGGCGACGGACCAUCUUUGGAUUGUCCUACUCGUUUCGAUGCUGUUUCAGCUCUUAUUUGGGGGCUAUCACGGCUGUAACCGGAGAAAUUGAAGCUACGAAGAUAAAUGCUGCAACAAUUGCAGUCCAUGUUCGGAGGAGAAUGAAACCACCAGUGCCACAACAAUCCAUUGGAAACUUCUACCUGGUGACAACAGCAAAAUGGCCAGAAAGUGAAAGUAAUGUGCUAAACUAUAAUGGUUUAGCAGGAAAACAAAUUUCACGAGUCAAUAACGAAGAUGAACAAUGACUAUCUUUAGGAAAGCUUCAGGGUGGUAGUGGAUACUUAACUUCCUAAAAAACAUAGUUGUUAAACCCGAAAUAAUCAAGUUGGUUGACUUAGAAAUUCUGCGAAAUCUAAUUUAAAUUAAGUUCAAGUUGAAUUGAAAAAUAAACAUUGAUUUGAUGAAACAUGGAGAUUCAUAACUUAAUUGACUUGACAGAACUCAUUCUAAACUUUGACCGUAAAAAUUCAUGGAUUUUUUUUGAAAGAAUAAAAUGAUGUUAUUUUAAUAAAAAUAAUUAAUCAGAGAUGACAGAAGCUUUUUUUCAAAUUAGUCAUCGAAUCUAACAACUAUGUUUAAAGCCGGUGAGGGGGCUCCAAGAAUCCCUAGCUCAAGGUUUUUUUCGUUUCAGCAGUUGGUAUGAGUUUCCAUUCCAUGACACAGAUUUUGGGAGGGGAAAGCCUAUGUGGUAAAGUCCUGCCUUGAAGCCUAACAGGUUGCCAUUUUCUUGGAUACAAAAGAUGGUGAGGGAAUAGAAGCAAAGAUUGGAUUGUCCAAGAAAGACAUGGUAAAGUUUGAACAAGACCUUGGCAUCUUCACGUAUCUUUCUUCACGUCUUCGAGCUGGGAUUUUCCAUUUUGAUCCAUCCAAUCAGUCCUUCAAUUACACUCUGAGAGUAGCAUUUCCUCACCCAUAUAUCUCACAAGAGAUCCACUGCAUCAGCCACUAAUAUUACUUGGGACUCACUGCAUCAAUCCAUCUGAGAGUUUUAUUUUAGUACUUGACGAAAUCUGAACAGAAAACAUCCUAGUUAGAUUGCUAAGGAAUUGAAAUAUGACUAAAACUGAGAGUUUUAUUUUUGGUCGAUAAUUGAAAUUCGACAAAACUAAGGUUCAUGGAGAUAUAUAUUUUUUAUAUUGUUUCUCUUGUCUCGAGAUAGUAAAUAAAGUUAUCUUGAUACAGAAAACAAUGAGAAAAAAAUAUUGUUUAUUGUAUGAAAGCUUCUAAUUAGAGAAUAAGUAAAAUAGUUUUUGUGUAUAAAACAUGAUUCGAGAAUCAUGAAAAAGCAUGAAUUCAAAUUAAAUGAACAUAAUGAAAAACCUAAAUCAUGAUUAAAUAUUGAAUUAGAUCAUGUGUAGAUAAUUUGUUAAAAACUGAUCCAUCGGUAGAAGGAUGCAUCUUUAUAUAUAUAUAUAUAUAACUUAUUUUUUUAAAAAAAUAGAAAAGGUUGAAAAAAUAGAUAGGAUGAAAAAAUUGACAAGAAAAGGAAGUUUUUUUAAAAAAUAAAAGAUUAUUAAAUUAAAUAUAGUCAAUAGUGCUGAUAAAAAAGUAUUUAAUUAUUUUUAUACUAUAAAAAAUAAUUAAUUUAUCUAGAUAAAUCAUAAUGAUUAAAUUUUAAUUAAAUCUAUAAAAAUAAUCAAAAUAAAUAAACAAGUUUACGUGUCUUUAACUGUAGUUAUAAAACCAGUAUAAUAAGUUAACUUGGUAAUGGUGGAUUUGAAGCUUAAUUUAUGCUGGUUUUAAUUUCGAUUUUUUUUUUAUCUAAACAAUGACCCGUCAAUCAAUGAAUUAGCCUGCCCAACCUGCCGGGUCCACCCGAGUUUGGUAGUAUAACUAUCGUCUUGACCUGGAAUUUCCAUAAGCAGAAGGUAUAUAUAUAUAUAGCUAGCGACGAUCUCUAUAGCCAAAAAAAAUUGGCCAGAGAGAGAAAUCAGACCAAAGCAACCUUUUGCACAUUAACGUUAUCAGACAAAACAUGGCAGAAGACAAGCAAGAAACAGAGAAAACAUUCGCUGAUUUAGGUUUAUGUAAAGAACUAGUAGAAGCAUGUGAAAAUCUAGGAUGGAAAAAGCCAACAAAGAUACAAGAAGAAGCAAUACCUUAUGCACUUCAAGGCAAAGACUUGAUUGGUGUAGCAGCUACAGGUUCAGGCAAGACUGGAGCUUUUGUGCUUCCAACACUGGAAGCACUUUUGAAAGAUUCACAAGAGAGAAAAUCUGUGCAACCCUUCUUUGUUUGUGUUCUUUCUCCUACAAGGUUGGCUUUUUUUUGUUGGUUUUCUUUGAAUUCGAACCCAGAUGAUUUUUUCUUGUUUAUUAUAUGUUUAACGUCAGGUUUUUUUUAUUGAAUUAUUUGAAUGUGAAAAACCCAGAUGCUUUGUUCAUGUGUAUUUAGUGUUUUAAGCUUUAAAGUUUGUAUUUUUUUUUGCUAUGUAGUAUAUAUUUUUCAACUGGGUUUUGUUUUGCUCUUGUUCAAAGGGAGUUGGCAAUUCAGAUUGCUGAGCAGUUUGAAGCUUUGGGAUCUGGCAUUGGUGUGAGAUGUGUAGUGGUAAGUUUUAAGGUUGCCCCUUUAUUUCUUUUUGUUUUUUCGUUAGAUAGACAGGAAGUAAAUUGAGAGUUUUAUUUUGUGAUUAUCUGUUCACUUCCAUCACAAAUUUAUUAUAGACAUUUGGGUUGGUACAUAAGUACAUUAAUAAAAACAAAUCUUGAUUUGCUGAUAGAAUAUUUUAGCUUCAAAUUAAAGACUCAGGUCAUGUAGUUAUGUGCUAAGCACAAAAUUGAGCUGUGCUAUUUAAUUAUAUAAUUCACAAAAUUGGCUUUAAGCAUUGAAGGUGAGUAGUUUUGAAAUCAUGCCUGGCAGCAGGACUAAUUCUGAUAAGGAAAUGAUUUGCGACUGGGUAGAAGUUAUGUAGGUGGUUUUUUUGUGUGGAGUAAAUGAUGGUGAAAUGUUAAAGUUCAAUGUUUAAUAAAGAAGUAUUGGAGUUAGUAGAAAAAAGAAGGUUAUGGUUUGAAUCACUUUGAAGGGUAGAUUCUGAAGAUUGAACUGUAUCAUAUAGUUUUCCAAUCAAUCUUGUUAUUUUUUUCCCAAAAUUAUGUGAAUGAUAAUCCUUGUUGUUCUUUUGAAAUAGCUUGUUGGAGGAGAGGAUAUGUUGCAGCAAUCUAUUGUCCUUGCAAAAAAGCGGCCACACGUUAUUGUAAGAGUUUCAUUUACUAGUAUGAUACUUUGAGCUUCCUAUGACAUACAGAGAGGAUAUAACUGUUUGGUUAUGUUAUUCGAUGUGGUCUUUGCAUCUUUCUAUCAUAAUCUGAUAAGUCAUAGAGCAUAUCUUUGCUUGUUGGCUCCCACUUUCUCAUUGUAUAGGCGCGUGGGGUGGGAUUGGUGCCUAAUGUAUGAACAAGAUUGUUAUAUUCAAUUUUGGUUGGAAUUAUUCUAAGUGGAAAUUUCAACUUAAAGGUGCUUGCAAGAGUAGGAAGGAGAUUUAUGUGGAUAUACAUUAGAACUACUCCAUGUUUUCAGUUGUAGGAAGCUCUCAAUUUAUCUCGGUUUGUUAUUUCUUUGUAGGUUGGAACACCUGGUCGCCUUGCGGAUCAUUUGUCAAACACAAAAGGCUUCUCUCUUCAUGCAUUGAAAUAUUUAGUACGUCACAUUUUAUCCUUGGGCCUAGAACCUCCUUUUUUUGUUUUUAAAAUUGUUCAUGUUGCUUUAUUAUUUGUGCUGUAAACAGAUCUUGGAUGAAGCAGACAGAUUACUGAGUAUGGAUUUUGAGAAAUCACUGGAUGAAAUUUUAAAGGCCAUUCCAAGGAAUAGAAGAACCUAUUUAUUUUCUGCCACUAUGACAAAUAAGGCAGGUGUCAUAUACAUUGAGAUUGCCAGAGUUUUCUUCUUGUUUUUCUUUCUUUCUUCAUGUAUUUUUUUGAUGAAUAUGCUGGAGUCUUCUUGAUUCCAAUGUUCAUGUUGCUGUGGUUGCUAUGGAGCAUAAAACAAAUCAUUGCAAAAUCAAUUGCUGAUAAGAACUUAAUUUUUCUGCAAUUUUUAUCUAUUCAAAGCUGAUUAAAAUAGUUUGUCAUAGCUAAUUUCCCGAAUUGGCUCACUAACAUGAGUAGGAAAUGGAAGCUAAAAUAUAAAAUGUUUCAAAAUAUCACAUCAUCGUUUCUUUUGUUGUGGCUGAUUGUAUCUGUUUUUGGCCUUGUGGUUCUUCCAAUUACAAAGUUCAUAAGGUUUGCAAUAAAGUGAAAUUAGAACAAAUGCAACGAGCUUGAUAUAAUAAAAUCCAAAAUAUUUUUUGUGUUGACAAUUGAAAUAUUUUCUGUACAUCCUAAUGGAGGGAAAUGAGAUAGGGUUGAAAGUUUGAUCAAGUUCUUAUCUUGGUUUUGCAGGUGAAGAAACUCCAAAGGGCUUGUUUAAGGAAUCCUGUAAAGGUGCAAUGGAACAACUUUCAUGCAUCUAUCACUUUCCUCUUCUAAUUGUUUUCCUCACAAGCCAGAACUUCAAUUUUCCAGAUCGAAGCAGCAUUUAAAUAUUCCAUUGUUGACACACUGGAGCAGGGGUUUUACUUCAUGCCAGCUGCGCUCAAGGUUUCUUCCUUUUCCAUUGUUGCAUUGCUUCACACAUAUUCUUCCUUUUUUACAUAUAUGAUGUAUUCCACAAGCCCAUUUGAAAUUCUCUGUCAUCUGCUGCGUAUCCAAAUACACAUCAAGAAUACUGAAGUUCUGGUUACAAGGAACUUGUUGUCUGCAAUAUCAGAUGUUUCAUUGUUUCCUGGUUUUCAUAGCUGAUUUGAUUUUGUAUGCCUGCAACAAUUUUUUUCUAAUUUUAAGAUUGGAACGCUUGGAAGAACUUAAAGAAUAAAAGGGAUUAUAUUUGGUGCUGACCACCAAAUACCUUGAGAAGGCAUGAGUACUUGAGAGUUUGUGCAUGGUUCACAGUGAGCCAUGCAUCUGGUGGUGUUUGAAGAUGUUAGUCGUGGAAUUAUUCAUGAGACUGCAGCAUUUUAUACCCCAAUGGAAGCUUAGUGAAGCAAAAACGGCUUCCAUUCUUUUACUCUAUAAUUAAUCUCUCUCUUAGGUUCGUUUCAUUUUGUAUGCUUGCUGCAGGAUUGCUAUCUUGUACAUGUACUAUCAUCAAAGAAAGGAGCUACUUCCAUGGUUUUCACUCGGACAUGCAGAGAAACUGACUUUUUGGCUUUGGUUCUUCGAAAGCUUGGUCUAGGGGCCAUCCCCAUUAAUGGUCAAAUGAGCCAGGUGUGCCUUAAAUAAUCGAAAUAUAUGCAUUUUUUUCUCUCUCCAUCUAUUCACGUUUCUUCUCCUCUUCCCAUUUUUGUUACCUAAAUGUUCUUGUGAUUAUAAAUCAGCCCUCACUUUGUUAGAACAAUGUUUUCUAUAGUCAAACAGACUUGGAGCGUUAAAUAAGUUCAAAGCUGGCGAGUUCAAUAUUCUGAUAUGCACUGAUGUCGCAAGUAGAGGACUCGAUAUUCUAUCUGUGGAUGUUGUUGUUAAUUAUAAUAUCCCCACAAACGCCAAGGUUUGCCUUCUAAUUUUCCAGCACUCUCACUCAUACUUGAGUACACCAUGUUUAAGGUCUUGUUUCUGAUCUAUCUUCAGUCAUAAUUAUUGUGGAGCUUUGAAUUGCAUUUGGUUGUUUCCCUUUUUCCAUUCAUGAUAUUUCCCUGCAUUGUCAUCACUUUUCUGCAACACGCGCUAUUAUUUUCAGCAAAUUUCGAGUUUGAAUUUGUCACCGCAAUCUUGGAAUCUUGCAUCCAAACAUUCACAUCUACAUGACAAACACAAUAAUUCCUUUAGAUGAUGAAUGACUAGAUGGAGUUGUUCGUGGAGCAUUUUGCAUUUAUUUACAAUCUCCUCUUUUCUAAUUUGUUUACAGGAUUAUUUUCAUCGUGUUGGUCGAACUGCUCGUGCAGGACGAUCAGGGCUUGCAAUCUCACUUGUAAAUCAAUUCGAUAUAGGACCAUUUAAACAGAUAGAGAAGCACAUUGGAGGUUAGACUUAGACAUGCUGUUUUUUUGUUAGGAGCCACAAGGAGUAUUUUUGGAAAAAAAUGUGCUUACCCAUACACUAAACAGUUCGCUAUGCUUUCAGAUGAUUUCAAGAUACCUAAGUAUACGGCAAAUGAAGAUGAAGUCUUGCUAUUGGCAGAGCGUGUUACAGAAGCCAAAAGAAUUUCCAGAAAGGUAUUCCCUUAAUUUUUCCAUCAUAAUUGAUAGGACUAAGUGUAGUGAAAUAAUGAUAUUGUUUUUAUUACAAUCUCAUUCGAGUGUUUCUUGAUUGAUGUUGCUGUUGUAUGCUGAACUUCUAUAGAGCAUCCAAGAGGGUGGAGGCAACAAGAGAACAGACCGACUAGACGACGAAGAUGAGGAGGAUAUAGAGAAGUAUUUAGGCAUCAAGAACAAGAAGUUGAGGAGAAAAUGAGACCAGCAAGCAACUCUUCUGUCUGAAUGUUUCACCAUCUGAGGAUUCUUCCUCAAGAGAUUUUUGUAGCAUAACAAACACUACUCUGAUCAUCCAGUAAGGGGAUGUGAGAUUAGUAGAUUGCUAGUUUACUACUUGUUUUGGCAAAGUUAAAUUAUAGGUUUUAUGAUAUUAAUUAUUUUUCAUAUGAUAAAAUCUUAUAAUAUUAAAUUUUAUCCCAUACUCUUAACACGUGCAUGAGCCAUGAAGAUCAAAAUAUUGUUUGAGAAUUACAGUAUAUGAAAAGCCAAAUCAUGGAAGAACAAAAAAUGCCAAAUUAUUGGAAAAUGUCGUUUUCUAUUUUUUUAGCUAAUUUUACAUCCAACAAUAUUAUUAACCUUAAAAACACUCUAAAUUAUUUUGAUAGUAUUAAUCCUAAACUAAUUUUUGUAUCAAUUUUACUAUCCGGCUAUUUUGAUUUUUCAAUAAAGAUCUCUGUUGGCAUCAUUUUAUAAAAAAAUAUUGAUUUUUGUACAAAAUAAUAUCAUUUCUUACUUAAAUAAGUAAAAUUAAUUGAGUAUUUUUAAAAAUUUUAAAAUAAAAUUAAUACAAAUAAUUAUUUGAUGGUAAAGUCCAAGAUGAGUUGAAUGGUAUUUUUGAGAUUUGUGAAAAAGAAAGAACUCAUUAUAUUAUAAUGGGCUGGACUUCCUUCUAAAUGAUAAUUUUCAACCCAGUCCACCAAUUCAAAAUUAUGAAAACGACACGUCAUUCCAAGCUGCAGAAGGCUGUGAAACGACGUGUCGUUUUGUCUCGGCUUAGCAAAACACUCUUCAAGCAGCAGCAAGCAGCAGUCCAGUCUCGAAACUGGAAACAUUUUGGGUUCUUUUCAAGAUCACCAAAUCAAAGGUAAGUUGUUUUCUUGAAAACCCUUUUGUUAUUUUUAUCCAAGUGUUUUUUUAAGGAUUAAAGUUUUGGUUCUUAGAUGUUUUAGAGCUUCAAAUUUGCUUAUUUUUAUCAUGAAAUGUUCUUUUUAUUGGUUAAAGUUCUAAUUUUUAGAUGUAUUAGAGCUUGGAAUUUGCUUAAAUCUUGCAUAAACUAAGCUAGUAUUUUGAUAUUCAAUGUGCAUAAACAGUGAGGGAAGAAAAGAUUGUGAAAAACAAGAGAGUAAAGGAAGAUAAUAUGGGGACUGAAGAAAGUGGCGGUGUUUCAAAGAGGCAGAGAUUGGAUGAGCAGUCUUCAGCUUCUGGUAUUGAAAACCCACUUGUGCCUUACAAUGAUGUGGAUGAUGAAGAGGAGGAUUUUGAAAGAGGGAGAACGGCUAAUGGUGGUGGAAGGGUGGAGGAGAAUAGGGGACAAGUUGUUGCAGCAGAGAAUGGUGAGGAGGAGGAGGAGGAGGAGGAGGAGGAUUUGUAUGGAGAAGAGAAUAGUUUGGAGAAGAGGAAGAGUCAAUUUGAGCCUCGUGAGGAUUGCCCGUAUUUAGAUACUGUUAAUCGACAGGUAAAGAUUGCAUCUUUUUUGGAUAAUUUAUGUAGGUUUUGGGUUUAUAAAUUGUUAAAUGUGUUAAGUAUUGGCGGUUUUGGAUAUGAUAAUAUGGAUUUUUGUUUAAAUAAGGUUAUCUGUAUAUUGUUGUGCAAAAAUGCGUUAAGGAUAUGUUUUCUUGGGGUGUUUUGUGUUUUUGUACUUAAAUGUGUGGAAGGAUGCGCUUUACUAGAUAAUUUGUGUAGUUAUUUGUAUGUUUGUAGGUAUAAGUGUGUUAAAGGAUUCAUUUUUCUGGGUUGUAUAUGUGAGUUUUUGUGUGUAAUUAUGUGCACAUAAAUGUGUUAAAGGCUUCAUUUUUUUGGGCUAUAUAUCCGGGUACAUUUUUGUGUAGUUAUGUAGAUAUGUGUGUACAUGAAUAAGUACAGUAAACAUUAUUUUGGAGAAUAUAUCAGGAUUGUGGUUUAUAUAUGUCUGUGUUUGUGUGCUUAAAAUAUGUUUUUGAUUAUUGUUUUUUGGGGGUUUGCAGGUCUUGGACUUUGAUUUUGAGAAAUUUUGCUCUGUUUCCCUGUCAAAUUUGAAUGUGUAUGCAUGUUUGGUUUGUGGGAAGUAUUACCAAGGAAGAGGGAAGAAAUCCCAUGCUUAUACUCAUAGUCUUGAGGCAGGACACCAUGUCUACGUCAAUCUUAGGACAGAGAAGGUUUAUUGUCUUCCUGAUGGAUAUGAGAUUAUUGAUCCAUCACUAGAUGAUAUACGACAUGUUCUCAAUCCAAGGUCUUUCUCCCCCUCUCUCCGUGGUGCAUUAUACUUUUCCUGUGGGCAUGGGGUUCCUGUUAGUAUUCUUUCUUAGAGUUCCUGACCAUUUAGUUGAGAUGUUAACAGGGGAUGGUUAUCUGUGGUGUUAUUGGUUGCAUUUUCUUUUUAACUCACUUCAUAUGUUUACCAACUUCCAAGAACUUUGCAUCAUCCAUGCAGGUUUACUAGGGAUCAAGUCAAACAGCUUGACAAAAACAGGCAAUGGUCCAGGGCACUUGAUGGGUCUGAUUACCUUCCUGGAAUGGUAACCAUCUGUCCUCUUACUUGAUCACCAAUUCAUCAUACUCAUCACUGAAUUAUUGCUCAUGAUACAACUUCCUUGUGUAAUAAGAUGCAGAUUGGUCCUGCUUAUUCAUGUAAAAGAUGCAUAUUUUGAACAUUUUAACAUUGUUUACUAUCUUGCUUGAUUUUGAUCAUCAGGUGGGUCUGAAUAACAUCAAGGAAACUGAUUUUGUAAAUGUCACAAUUCAGUCGCUAAUGAGAGUUACACCCUUAAGGAAUUUCUUCCUCAUCCCUGAAAACUAUCAGCAUUGCAAGUCUCCUCUUGUUCAACGCUAUGGAGAACUCACUCGUAAAAUAUGGCAUGCUCGGAACUUUAAAGGACAGGUUUGAUCCUUUGAUUACUUCUCUGAAGUCAUGGUUUUCCAAUGUUUAAGUUUUGUUUCCUCAUUUUAUUUGCUCAUCUAUUCUCUUGGGACUUUUCAGGUGAGCCCACAUGAGUUUCUCCAGGCUGUAAUGAAAGCUAGUAAGAAACGGUUUCGCAUUGGUCAACAGUCUGAUCCAGUGGAAUUCAUGGCAUGGCUUCUUAAUACAUUGCACACAAAUCUUAGAACUUUAAAGAAAAAUAACAGUAUCAUUUAUGAGUGCUUUCAGGUGCUUUUUUACUUUUCCAAUGCUCUUCAGUUCGUUUCAAGUUUGCUGGUUGAUAUUAUUAUCUCAGUGGUGCUGGUCUAAUACUUCUUUUCCUGUUAGGGUGAGUUGGAGGUUGUGAAAGAGAUUCCUAACAAAGCUAUCACUGAGAAGAAAGAAAAUGGUAAUGACCAGAUUGAUGGUGGAGCUGGUCAUGAUAUUUUCACAGAAACGUCUAGAAUGCCAUUCUUGAUGCUUGGACUGGAUUUGCCACCACCUCCUCUGUUUAAAGAUGUGAUGGAGAAAAAUAUAAUACCUCAGGUAUUUAUGCAUUAUGUUUUAGCUAGGUUGGAAAUAUUAUUAUUAUGUCUGCUGUAUAGUGCCAAUAGGCUCUCUAUCUGAGCUAGAUGGUAUCAUCCUGCACUAUUGUUUGUGUUAUAGAGAUCCUAGUUAUACGCAUCAAAUCAUGUUUAAUUCUCAUUCCAAAUGAAAGGUUUCAAAAGACAUGCUUGGUUAGAUCCCUAGGAGCGAAUGUAGAUGUCACUGCUUUGGUAUAGAACAUUUAGUUGAUUCUUUUUGUCAGAUCUUUAAAUAAGUCAAAUUCUCAGCUUAAUAAGCUUAUGCCUCCAUUAUUCCUGGGCAAUCAAGGUUAAUUACUGACCAUGGAAGAUAGAACAUAGUCCAGUUUCUCUUCUUCUUCUUCUCUUUUUUCUCUCACUUCUUAUUCAUCUAUUGAGAGGAAGUGUUAAUUUUUGCAUCUGUUUCAACUCCUAGUUUAGUGCUUUUGUUGUUUGCCAUACAAGUCUAUAUUUUGCUCAAAUGGUUAAAUUAAAACCUUAUUGACCUGGAAUUUAGAUGAAAGCUGAAUCAACUUAAGUAUCCUAGUUUGGGUUUUCAGCUAUCAGUAUUUGCAUGUGAUGAUCAGAUGUGACCCAGAAACACUGGCUGUGUACUUUUGAGCUUAUUAUGUUGGGAUUUUUUUUCUCUACAAUAGGGUAGCGAGGUUUUGGCUUGAUCCAUGGGUGGAAAAUGAAGGCUUUCCUUGGGUAAAUUCUACUCAUUCCCUUUCUUGGUGGAUACUUAUUUUACAUGUGCUAUUGUUUCAGGUUCCUCUGUUCAAUAUACUGAAGAAAUUUGAUGGUGAGAGUGUGACUGAAGUUGUUCGUCCUCGUGUUGCCCGGAUGAAAUAUCGCGUCAUCAGAUUGCCACAGUAUUUAAUACUACAUAUGCAGCGGUUUAAAAAGAACAACUUUUUCAUCGAGAAGAAUCCCACCUUGGGUAAGGCUUGACACUAACAGUGGAUUUUACUUGGAACUUUGUUUGGUUUUGAGCUAUCCUGUGCUAAUUGUUUCUAUGAUUACAGUCAACUUUCCUGUGAAGAACUUGGAGUUGAAAGAUUUUAUUCCUUUGCCAAUGCCUAAAGAAAAUGAGAGAUUGCGCUCGAAGUAUGAUUUGAUUGCCGAUAUUGUCCAUGAUGGAAAGCCUAAUGAGGGUUUCUACAGGGUUUUUGUGCAGCGAAAGUCAGAAGAGCUAUGGUAAUUCAAUUUCUAAUCCACUUGUAUGGUUGUGAAUGAAACUUAUAAUUACAUAUCUGAUAAUCAAUGUUUUGCAGGUAUGAGAUGCAGGAUCUGCAUGUUUCUGAGACCCUUCCUCAAAUGGUUGCUCUCUCUGAGGCAUACCUGCAGAUAUAUGAGCAGCAGCAGUAGCACUGGAGUUUAGAAGUCCUAUUGUCAACAUGUUGUCAUACUGUUUUUGGGUACAAGUAACACAUGAGUCUUACCUUCUGUAAAUGGUUGAGGAAAAAUCAGAAUACGAUGGCACCAUUGCUUGACUGGCACUUAGCAGAUUUACUAAGCUUAGAAAAACAUUGAGGUUUUGUAGAAAAAAAGGCAGUACUUUGUCUGUUUCAUAUCAUUAAAAGGAUGAACAGUUUUGUUACUGAAAAACUAUCCAUCUAUUGUAGCAGAGCAGGAAACUUAAAUAAUUCGGUGAUGAUUGACUUGGGUGAUUCAGAUAGUGACUUAGGUUUGGUUGUCCUGCAUUGUGUACAACUUUGAUCUGUAGGGAUAAAAAAUGAUAUGCUAGGCUUUGGUUUGUUCAUUGUUACCUAGUUCUCAUGGCAGUAAUGUCACGAAAAGCAGUACUCGUAGGCUUCUCUUGUUUUAUUGUCGAUCACUUCAUUGCCUGGAUUUCUUUCUGCUAGUAUUUUUCUUACAGUGAUGUGGUGGAUAGUAUUCUGUUUCGAAUUGUUGUGAUUUUUUGAAGUGCAGCAGUUUUUACUUGAAAAAAGUGUUAAUGCACCCAUCCACGCACGCACGCAGAGACAGAGACAGCCUGAAUUGAAGGUAUGUAUGCCUCCUUUCAAGUACACACAGCCCUGCAUAAAUGGUAUAUGUGCCUGCUUUCAAAUAAAGUAGUCCAGCAGACGGGGAAGCCCUAGCAUUGAAUGGAGUGCUCAAUGAUGGAGAUUGCAAGCAAUGCCCUCGGUAGGGAAGUCACUGAAUGGAGGCCACAAUCAAACCAUCAAUCUACAACCCCACCUUGCGUAGAGUAGACUCCUCGGUCAGGUAUUAUAAUUAUAGUUAUGUGUGAACUGUAAAAUAGAAAGAAAUGACAAGUUGAUCUCUCUUGAGAGAAAAGGAAGAUGAAUUGCCUACGGUAGUGAAGAAUUCAUGCCUACUUAGUUGUGGAUUUUCAUGACUAAAUUACAGGGAUUGUCUAACAGAGUUAUUUAUCGAUCAAUAAGACAUGGUUAAGUCUAAGAAGAGGCUUGGGUUGAACAGAGUGCUCAGUCUGACAAAAAAAACCCAUAAUUGUUUAUAUAUUCAUUUAAUCACUCCCAAAUUUAGUUAGGAAAUUACAAAGAUUGAGACCCAAAACGCCUUUAAAUUAGGCUAAGAAGGAGAUCAUCAAGUUGGUUUUGUUUUUAUUAUUAUUAUUAUUUUGGAUUUUUUAGUUUGGUUAGAACUUUUAUUGCUUGGUAUUUUAUGAUUAGGACUUUUAGUUUCAUUUCCUGUUUACGUCAAUUUUUUAGAUUUAUUUAAAUAAUUAUAAAUAUAUUAAAAGAUACAAACUAUUGAAGACAAAAUAUGCAGUAAUAAAUUUUUAAAUUAAAAUUUUUAUGUCGUUAUUCUACAAAAUUUAACGGGUUUGUGUUUCAUGUUUAUUAUUUUAUUAUUAUUAUUAUUAUUAUUAUUAUCCCCCGCAUCACUUACUUCCAAAUGAUGGUGUGAUAGCUGAAGCCAAUCAGUGAUGAUCUAGUGGUGGAGGAAGCAAAUAUCACUUGCUUUUGUGUGGGGUCAAGAACAAGAUGCAUAUCCCCUCGCACGUCACUACACAUGUAAGCAAGUUGGCAUUAGUUGGUGUGAUAGAUUUUAAUGCUAUAAAAUAAAAGGAAGAAAAGAAAAAAAAAGGUACGGUCAUUCCAUAACAAGACCCCAACUUUAACCAAGUUCAUCAGAACUAAUGUUGGAUAGGAAAUAGAUCACUGCAACAUGACCAAAUUGAACAAACUAUAUAUAUGAUAAAGACUUUAACUUAAUUUAAUUUGAGUAAUGAAAUUAAGCCACAGUCGGGAUCGAUGAUCAUUGAUGGAAUCAACAUGGUAGAAAGGCCUAAGCUCUUCAAGGUUUGCUUCCUAACCAUUGAUCAAUCAAGUUUCCAAAAGCAACAUGCGAAGAUCCACCCUCCAUCACAGCUUUCUUCGCCAUUUCACUGGUUUCUUUGGCCUUGUUCCUAAGUUCACCACCUUGUUCCAUCAUGGUUUUCACAGCUUUUGUUAUCUCCUCCGCCUUCACAAAAUCUGUAGGACAAUCUCUCCUAAAAUCCAACGUCAAUUCCACUGCUAAUCCCAAGUCUUUCACCAGCUGAAAUGCAUUCAUGUGUUGCUCAGCAUAUAAUGGCCAAGUUAUAAUAGGCACAGCAUACCACAAGGCCUCCAAAGUUGAGUUCCAUCCACAGUGUGAUACGAAAGCGCCUACUGCUUUAUGUGCCAAGAUUUGUACUUGUGGUGCCCAUCCACAUAGCAUCCCAAUGUUUUUAGUUCUUUCCAAGAAUCCCUGUGGCAAGAUCUCUCCAUAGUUGUCAAAAAAACUAGCUUGCAGCUUCCCCUUGGAGGGUUUCAACCGAAUGGACCAUAAGAACCUAUGUCCAAUCCUCUCGAGCCCGAUUGCAAUUUCUUUCAACUGAGCUUCAUCAAAGCCUCCUCCACUCCCGAAGCACAAGAACACCACUGAUUUUUCAGGUUGAUCAUCAAGCCAUUUCAAGAUCUCGUCACGCUUGACGGCAUCAGAUCCUGACAGACUCUUUCCCUUGUGAUCAAUCAAUGGCCCAACAUUGAAAAUAGGUGGUAUAUCAUCUCUAGCCAAAAGAGCACUAACUGCAUGGGACUCAGCUUCUGAAAAUGUAUUAACAAUGAUACCGUUGGAGUCCUUAAACUCUCUUCCAUGGUUUGCCAAAGCCUCAUAUUCCACAUCGGUGUGCAAUACCGGCAUAACACGGUAAGGCACGGGAUUUGAAUAACAGGGGAUGAUAUAGUCAGGGUCAGUAGGGCUAAACUUAGGCUCACCCUUGUCUUCUCUAUCUGAAAGGUAAAGCGUCAUGGCAAGAAAGGCAGCAUCAGAAGUGAAAAAAACAUGAGAAGGGACACCAAGUUCUUUUGCAACAUCAAUAAAUACAGUGCAAAACAUAUCAACAACAACACUAGCAAUUGGUGCAGGGUUGUGGGCCAUGACUAGGUUAACAAUAGUAUCUUUCACAAGGGUUUUGUGAUCAUUGAUGUAAGAAGUAAAAGCACUUGCAGGGCUUACAGCUAAAGCUUCUGGAGGAGGUGUAGGUAUGGUAUCAGGAAUUUCGACGAACCUGAUUUCUGUAUGAAUUGAAGCAAGCGAUUCGGUGUUCUUGCUUAUGCCACCGUAAAAUGGAUUGUUGAUGGCAAGCAUGGUUAUCAAGAAACUGUCGUUUCUCUCAAGAACCAUCUUUGCUAACUGAACAGCUGCUACAAGGUGGCCAAAUCCAGGUGCAGGGACAAAGACUAGCUGUGUUUUCUUCAUUUUGGAGGUUUUGAAUGUUCAAUAUGGUGAUCCUUGUUUGCUUUAUAAGGGGCUCAAGGUCAAUGCCACAAUGCCAGCUGUUAUGAUUUUUUUUUUCUCUAAAUUAAUCAUCAAAUUGGAUAUGACAAUUAUUAUUACAAAGAUUGAUUUCAUAGAAAAAUUUUCCUGUAAUAUUUUUAAACAAUUCAAAUUAAAUAAAAGAAAAGAAAGCUAGGUUUCAUUUUAUUUUGAAGUUAUAUUUUUAAUAUAUAUAUAUAUAUAUAUAUAUAUAUAUAUAAACUAAACUAAACUAAAAAUAUUAUUUUAUUUUUAAUAAAUAAAAUUAAAUAAAUAUAUUUGUUUAACAACAUUCAUCUAUCCCAUAAGAUAUCAUUUAUCUUUAUUACAAAAAAUUAUAGAUGAUUUACUAGAAUGAUUUAAUUAAGUAUAACUUGAUUAAAAUAUAUAAUAGAAAUUAAGGAUUAGAAUAUAAUUAAUACAAGGAUUAUAUUUCUAUAUCUAGAAAAAUCAAGUAAGGAUUUAAUUGAUUAUAUUUUUAAAAUUACCCUUACAUAAUAUAUGGAUAUUUUUAAAAUUAUCUUUACAUAAUAUAUGGAUAUUAUUUAAAGGCAAAUAUAUAUAUAUAAUCAUUUAUACGGUUUUGAGAUUUUCUAUAAUUAUAAAGUUAAGCCUAUUAUUUUGUAAGUAAAAAAAUAAUGAUUGUCUAUUUUAUAAAAAAACUACGUAAAAACAAUAUUAGAGCUAGCACUCUAGGCAUAACAAUCUCUCUUUUCUAAAUAGAGAUUUAAGAGAUUUCUCACGGGUAGUUUGUAUGGAUUAUCAUUAGAGACCGAAUAAUUUAACGAUUUGUGGUUUGCGACAACCCAACUUUUAAAGAAUAAUUUAAAAUAAAUAAAUUAAAUAUUCAAAUAAUAAAUCUUUAAAUAAUUUUAAAUCUAAUCUACAUGAUAUAAGAACAACUUAAUAUAUUCAAUCAUGCGAAUUCUUUGUAGUUUUUAAUGUAUCAAAAUGGAUUUAAUAAUACCUUACUAUUAAAAAGAAGAAGAAGUCAACAACAAUGAUUGAUUGUGAUUGCAUUUAAUAGCUAGACAGUUACAUGGCUAGAAAGAAUCCAAAGAUAAUAUAUAAUAAAUGGCAAUUUCGUAGGAAUUGCUGAAGUGUUAAAUUGUGGAUGAAGUUUUUGAUGAAUUUUUAUUUUAUUCUAUUGUACUUUUCAUCAUUGGUAGUUAUUUAUGAAAAUAUUAUAUCACUAUUUAUAUCAAAAUUAUUGACGCAAAAAUUCUAUCACUGUUAUCUUCUAAAAUUAUUGAUGAAAAAUUUAUCAUUGACAUUUCUGAUUUUAUUUAUUAAUUUUCUGGUAAUAAUAAUAAUCUUAUGCUCAGAUUUAUAAUUUUAUAAUUUAAAAAAUAGAAUUGAUAUCUGAAACUUAAAAGAAGAUUAAACCUUUCAUUUUUUAAUUAUAUGAAGUAUUGAUAAUACAACUAAUCAAACAUAAACUAACAAUCAUUUAAACAAAAUUUAAGAAUUUAUGGUAGAAUUGCAUAAAUUAAUUUUAAAAAUUACUUUUUAUAAAUUUUUAUCAAGUAAUUCUACAAUCAAUUCCUAAAGCCUAACAAUCAUUUAAACAAAAUUUAAAAAUUGAGGAUAGAAUUACUUAAUUGGUAAAAAAUUAUGAAAAUAAGCGAACUUUGCUAAAAUCAUGUAUAUUCAUCCUUAUGAUUAAAUGACAUUUAAAUGUCUAAAGUAAAGAAUACCUUCAUCUAGCCAAAACAAAAUUCAGGGAUCUUCUACAAUGAAGACGCUAUCGUUUCAUGCACACAUCAUAUAUAAACGAGAAAUUCAAAUCAACAUAAUAUAUAUAUAUAUAUAUAUAUAUAUAUAUAUAUAUAUAUAUAUAUAUAUAUAUAUAUAUAUGUCCAACUAUUCUAAUGGCACUAAUUUUCAACUACUAAUGAAAAAAAAUAUUAAAAAGUAAUUUUUUAUAUUUUUUAAAUUAAUUUAGAUAUUAAUUAAAAUAAAGUAUACAAUAUUAAGAUUAUUCAAAAUGUUAGUCUCACUUCAUGCAUAAACUAAUAUGAGCUUAUCUUUUAAUGUAUCAUGAAUGAUUUUAUUUUAUUGGUGUGGGUUUUUUUUAUAUAAUUCUGGAUAUUUUAACUACUUUAUGUGUAACUCAAUUAAGUUUUUAAAAUUCUAAAUUUUACAACCAUGUAAUGUGUAUUGAUGGGGCAGGCAGGGAGGUGACUGUUUCUGGAGGGACGGGUGCUUGUAAAUUGGAUAGUGAGGGGUCGACAAGCCAUGGCCAUAAGCAAAAAGAUAAAGGACGAGGAGGGAGAAAAAAAAAUUGUGCAUAAUUUGUGGAGCACGGUGGGACAGGGAUAAUAAUUUAAUAUGAGACUUUUGAAUAUUAACCGAAAACCUACUUCUUUAUUGAAUAUUCAAAAAAAAUAAACCAAAAUGAUACAUUUAUUUAUAUAUAUAUAAUAAAAAAAAACACACACACGGAUAUAUCCAUAUAAAUACCAAACAUUACCGGAAUUAAUAAUUUUAGAGACAAUAUUUUUUUUUUGUUAGUAUUUAUACCAACAAUCCAUUGGUAUAAAAUUUAUCGAUAAAUUUAUAAAAAGAAUUCAUUUGCUAGUAAAAAAAAAACACCAAUGUUUUUACAAAUAAAAAGUUUGUAUAAAAGAAAUCACUUGUUUUAAUACUUUAAUGGAAUUAUUUUGUUAGUGAUUGAUAAUGGUAUUUAUUGUAAUUUUAUUUCAAUUCUUUAUAAAAUAUUAAUGGAAUUAUUUUCAUUCAUGAUGUAAUAAUAUUGAAGUGACAUAUAAAGUAAAUUGUUCCCCUUACCUUUGGAAUAUAUUGAGUUACUACGGGUUGUGUCCAUUGAUACAUCCGUCUGCAAGAGUUAAAAAAAUGCCCUUUUCUUUUAGUACAAUUAUGUUUUUUGUUAGUUUUUAUUUUUCACAUUCUAACCCUGGCGCCAUUAGAAAAAGAUAUGUCUCCACCACAAAACUAGGCAAAAAUAUGACGGGGUGCCUUUAAGUUUGUAUUUCAUGGCUAUGAUCUAAAUCUGGUUUGCCAAAAACUUCGUGAGCAAAGUAAAAUUGGCGUAACAACUGAAUUUAGGCCAAGUUUCAAAUUUUUGUUUACUUUUCUGAAAGUUUUGAUUUAUGGUUUCCAAUUUUCCAAGUCAAAUUUAUGGUUGAUACAAACUAAGCAAGGUAAUUUAAGAAGUUUUUUGCAAAACACGAGAAGGGACCCCAAGUUCUUUUGCAACAUCAAUAAAGGCAGUGCAAAACAUAUCAACAACAACACUAGCAAUUGGUGCAGGGUUGGGGGCGCCAUGACUAGGUUAACAAUAGUAUCUUUCACAAGGGUUUUGUGAUCAUUGAUGUAAGAAGUAAAAGCACUUGCAGGGCUUACAGCUAAAGCUUCUGGAGGAGGUGUAGGUAUGGUAUCAGGAAUUUCGACGAACCUGAUUUCUGUAUGAAUUGAAGCAAGCGAUUCGGUGUUCUUGCUUAUGCCACCGUAAAAUGGAUUGUUGAUGGCAAGCAUUGUUAUUGAAGAAACAAAGAGAAAGAAGAAUCUUAUUUUCAUAUCAAUUCUGUUAGAGCAGCAUAGGUAUGUAUACAAUGGAUACGAUGGAUUUCUGUUACAGCAGAGAAAGAUGACUAUUAAUUCUCCUACAUUCAUGGUCAUAUCAGAAUCUGUCUCUAUUUACUACUAUCCUAUCAAUUGUAUACAGAGCAAUAGCAAUAUUGCAGUAGGGAGCAAGUUCUGCAACUGGUGUUGGAGUUAAACUAAAACUCUGCAAUUUGUUUUGGAGCCGGACUCUGCAAUGUGAUCUAUAGUAGGACUUUGCAAUCGUGUUAGAGUGAGAAUCUGUUGCUUUCCUUCAUUACUCCCCCUCAAGCUGGAUUAAGGGGGUUGAUUGAGUCAGGUUUGGAUAAUAGACGAUAGAAGUGAGCUGAAGUUAGAACCUUUAUAAAUACAUCAGCUAGUUGAUGGUGACUGUGGAUGUAACAUGGUUUGAUAAUCUGCGAUAGAAUUUAUUGACGAAUAAAAUGAUAAUCAACUUUAAUGUGUUUAGUUUUUUGGUGAAAUACAUAAUUAGUUGUAAUAUGCAUAGCAACUUGAUUAUCACAAAACAUAGUCAAUGGAAUAUUGCUAGAAAAUUCCAGAUCUGACAGAAAACCUUUAAGCCAAAUUAAUUCACAAGCUGCGAACAUCAUCACAUGAUAUUCAGCUUUAGCACUAGAACGUGCACCAACAUGUUGCUUUUACUACGCUAGGCGACUGAAUUACCACCAAUAAACAUGCAAAAACCAGUGGUUUCUUAACAUAGCUAUGCAACAGAUAACACUCUGUGAGAUCAAAACGUUUUAGAAACAUGCAUGUGUAUUAUUAAAGCUCUAGUUUUUUCUAAAAGUCUCUGUUUUUACAUUCAGCUAUUUUAUUUUGUUGAGGUGUGCCAACAUAGUUGGAAUAGACCCUUGGAUGGUGGUUUCUGAAUGGAUCAUAAGAACUUUUGCGCACUCUAUUCGAGCCCAUUUGUUAUGUCUUUUAAUUGAGGUUCACCAAAGUAUGUGGUUUGCUAACUUAACUGCUGACACAAGAUGACAAUUUUUUGCUGCAGGAAUUAACACUAGCUGUGGUUUCUUCAUUCCAAUAAUAACUGUAGGAAAAAGGUGAAUGUUAAGUUUGUCGGUAUAAGAUCCAAUCUAGUUUGACAGGUUAAUUUGAUGAUUCAUUUAUUCAAAAUUUAGCUUGAUAGGUUAACUUGGUGACCAGGUCAACACAAUGAUUCACUGACUCUGAGCUUGGCUUGGCUGAGUUAGCAAAAAAACCAAGUAUAUUUUAUUUACCAAAACAACGAUGUUGUUUAAGUUUUUUUUUUAAAAAAAAAAGCUUGGGAUGAAUUGAAUCAAACCAUCAAUCUACAGCCCCACCUUGCGUAGAGUAGACUCCUCAGUCAAGUAUUAUAAUUAUGGUUAUGUGUGAACUAUAAAAUAGAAAGAAAUGACAAGUUGAUCUCUCUUUAGAAAAAAGGAAGAUGAAUUGCCUACGGUAGUGAAGAAUUCAUGUCUAACUUAUAUAGCUGGGUUAGUUGUGGAUUUUUCAUGACUAAACUACGUGGAUUGUCUAACAGAGUUAUUUAUUGAUCAACAAGACAUGGCUAAGUUCAAGAAGAGGCUUGGGCUAAGUACAGUGCUCGGUUUGACAAAAAAAAUCCCAUAAUUCUUCAUAUAUUCUUUUAAUCACUCACAAAUUUAGUUAGGAAAUUCCAAAGAUUGAGACCCAAAAAUUCUUUAAAUUAGGCUUAGAAGGAGCUCAUCAAGUUAGAUUUGUUAUUUUUUAUUAUUAUUUUAAACUUUUUAGUUUGGUUAGAACUUUUAUUGCUUGGUAUUUUAUGAUUAGGACUUUUAGUUUCAUUUCUUGUUUACGUCAAUUUUUUAUAUUUAUUUAAAUAAUUAUAAAUAUAUUAAAAGAUACAAACUAUUGAAGAGAAAAUAUGCAGUAAUAAAUUUUUAAAUUAAAAUUUUUAUGUCGGUAUUCUACAAAAUUUAACGGGUUUGUGUUUCAUGUUUUUUUUUUUAUUAUUAUUAUUAUCCCCCGCAUCACUUACUUCCAAAUGAUGGUGUGAUAGCUGAAGCCAAUCAGUGAUGAUCUACUGGUGGAGGAAGCAAAUAUCACUUGCUUUUGUGUGGGGUGAAGAACAAGAUGCAUACCCCCUCGCACGUCACUACACAUGUAAGCAAGUUGGCAUUUGUUGGUGUGAUAGAUUUUAAUGCUAUAAAACAAAAGGAAGAAAAGAAAAGAAAAGGUGCGGUCAUUCCAUAAGGCCUCAACGUUAAUUAACUUCAUCAGAACUAAUUAAUGUUGGAUAGGAAAUAGAUCACUACAACAUGACCAAAUCAAACAAACUAUAUAUAUAUAUGAUAAUGACUUUAACUUAAUUUAAUUUGAGGAAUGAAAUUAAGCCACAGUAGGAAUUGAUGAUCAUUGAUGGAAUCAACAUGGUAGAUAAGGCUUAAGCUCUUCGAGGUUUGCUUCCUAACCAUUGAUCAAUCAAGUUUCCAAAAGCAACAUACGAAGAUCCACCCUCCAUCACAGCUUUCUUCGCCAUUUCACUGGUUUCUUUGGCCUUGUUCCUAAGUUCACCACCAUGUUCCAUCACGGUUUUCACAGCUUUUGUUAUCACCUCCGCCUUCACAAAAUCUGUAGGACAAUCUCUCCUAAAAUCCAACGUCAAUUCCACUGCUAAUCCCAAGUCUUUCACCAGCUGAAAUGCAUUCAUGUGUUGCUCAGCAUGCAAUGGCCAAGUUAUAAUAGGCACAGCAUACCACAAGGUCUCCAAAGUUGAGUUCCAUCCACAGUGUGAUACGAAAGCGCCUACUGCUUUAUGUGCCAAGAUUUCUACUUGUGGUGCCCAUCCACAUAGCAUCCCAAUAUUUUUAGUUCUUUCCAAGAAUCCCUGUGGCAAGAUCUCUCCAUAGUUGUCAAAAAAACUAGCUUGCAGCUUCCCCUUGGAGGGUUUCAACCGAAUUGACCAUAAGAACCUCUGUCCACUCCUCUCGAGCCCGAUUGCAAUUUCUUUCAACUGAGCUUCAUCAAAGCAUCCUCUACUCCCGAAGCACAAGAACACCACUGAUUUUUCAGGUUGAUCAUCAAGCCAUUUCAAGAUCUCGUCACGCUUGACGGCAUCGGAUCCUGACAGACUCUUUCCCCUGUGAUCAAUCAAUGGCCCAACAUUGAAAAUAGGUGGUAUAUCAUCUCUAGCCAAAAGAGCACUAACUGCAUGGGACUCAGCUUCUGAAAAUGUAUUAACAAUGAUACCGUUCGACUCCUUAAACUUUCUUCCAUGGUUUGCAAUAGCCUCAUAUGCCACAUCGGUGUGCAAUAACGGCAUAACACGGUAAGGCACGGGAUUUGAAUAACAGGGGAUGAUAUAGUCAGGGUCAGUAGGGCUAAACUUAGGCUCACCCUUGUCUUCUCUAUCUGAAAGGUAAAGCGUCAAGGCAAGAAAGGCAGCAUCACAAGUGUAAAAAACAUGAGAAGGGACCCCAAGUUCUUUGGAAACAUCAAUAAAUGCAGUGCAAAACAUAUCAACAACAACACUAGCAAUUGGUGCAGGGUUGUGGGCCAUGACUAGGUUAACAAUAGUAUCUUUCACAAGGGUUUUGUGAUCAUUGAUGUAAGAAGUAAAAGCACUUGCAGGGCUUACAGCUAAAGCAUCUGGAGGAGGUGCAGGUAUGGUCUCAGGAAUUUCGAUGAACCUGAUUUCUGUAUAAAUUGAAGCAAGCGAUUUGAUUUUCUUGCUUAUGCCACCGUCAAAUGGAUUGUUGAUGGCAAGCAUGGUUAUCAAGAAACUGUCGUUUCUCUCAAGAACCGUCUUUGCUAACUGAACAGCUGGUACAAGGUGGCCAAAUCCAGGUGCAGGGACAAAGACUAGCUGUGUUUUCUUCAUUUUGGAGGUUUUGAAUGUUCAAUAUGGUGAUCCUUGUUUGCCUUAUAAUGGGCUCAAGGUCAACGCCACAAUGCCAGCUGUUAUGAUUAUUUUUUUUCUAAAUUAAUCAUCAAAUUGGAUGACAAUUAUUACAAAGAUUGAUUUCAUAGAAAACUUUUCUUGUAAUAUUUUUAAACAAUUCAAAUUAAAUAAAACAAAUUAUAAAUAUAAAAGAAAAGAAAGCUAGGGUUUCAUUAAUCAUUUUAUUUUGAAGUUAUAUUUUUAAUCUAUAUAUAUAUAUAUAUAUAUAUAUAUAUAUAUAUAUAAACUAAACUAAAAAUAUUAUUUUAUUUUUAAUAAAUAAAAUUAAAUAAAUAUAUUUUUUAACAACAUUCAUCUAUCCCGUAAGAUAUUAUUUAUCUUUAUUAAAAAAACAUUGUAGAUGAUUUAUUAGGAUAAUUUAAUUAAGUAUGACUUGAUUAAUAUAUAUUUUAGAAAUUAAAAAUUAAAAUAUAAUUAAUAUAAGAAUUAUAUUUGUAAACCUAAAAAAAUCAAGUAGGGACUUAAUUGAUUAAAUUUUUAAAAUUACCCUUAAAUAAUAAAUGGAUAUUAUUUGAGGGCAAAUAUAUAUAUUUUAUCAUUUAAACGGUUUUAGGAUUUUAUUAUCAAUAUAUAUAGCUAAGCCUAUUAUUUUGUAAGUAAAAAAUGAUGGUUGUCUAUUAGAUAGAAAAACUAUGUAAACACAAUAUUAGAGCUAGUACUCUAAGCAUAACAAUCUCUCUUUUCUAAAUAGUGAUUUAAGAGUUUUCUCACAAGUAGUUUGUAUGAAUUAUCAUUAAAAAUCAAAUAAUUAAAUGAUUUUUAGUUUGUGACAACCCAACUUUUAAAGAAUAAUUUAAAAUAAAAAAAUUAAAUAUUCAAAUAAUAAAUCUCUAAAUAAUUUUAAAUCUAAUCUAACAUGAUAUAAGAAAUAAUAUCCCGGUAGUGUGAGUUUGUGUGUAUUGACAACUUAAUAUAUUCAAUCAUGCGAAUUCUUUGUAGGUGUUAUGGUUUCAAAUUGAGGAAGGACGUAGUUUUUAAUUAAUGUAUCAAAAUUGAUUUAAUAAUACCUUACUAUUAAAAAGAAGAAGAAGUCAACAACAAUGAUUGAUUGUGACUGCAUUUAAUAGCUAGAUAGUUACAUGGCUAGAAAGGAUCCAAAGAUAAUAUAUACAUGAUGAUAUUCUGUUUAAAUUUAUUAAAUGGCAAUUUCGUAGGAAUUGCUGAAGUGUUAAAUUGUGGAUGAAGUUUAAUUUGAUGAAUUUUUAUUUUUAUUUUUAUUUUAUUCUAUUGUACUUUUCAUCAUUGGUAGUUAUUUAUGAAAAAUAUUAUAUCACUAUUUAUAUCAAAAUUAUUCACACAAAAAUUCUAUCACUAUUAUCUUCUAAAAUUAUUGAUGAAAAAUUUCUCAUUGGCAUUUCUGAUUUUAUUUAUUAAUUUUCUGGUAAUAAUAAUAAUCUUAUGCUUAGGUUUAUAAUCCUAUAAUUUAAAAAAUAGUAUCGAUACCUGAAACUUAAAAGAAUAUUAAACCUUCCAUUUUUAAUUUAUAUGAAAUAUUGAUAAUACAACUAAUCAAACAUAAACUAACAAUCAUUUAAACAAAAUUUAAGAAUUGAUUGUAGAAUUACAUAAAUUAAUUUUAAAAUUUUUAAAAAUUACAUUUUAUAAAUUUUUACCAAGUAAUUCUACCAUCAAUUCCUAAACCUAACAAUCAUUUAAACAAAUUUUAAGAAAUGAUGAUAGAAUUACUUGGUAAACUUUUAUGAAAAUAAGCAAACUUUCUUAAUAAUCAUAUAUAUUCAUCCUUCUGAUUAAAUGACACUUAAAUGUUUAAAGUAAAAAAUACCUACAUUUAACAAAACAAGAUUCAAGGUUCUUUUACAAUGAAGACGCUAUCGUUUCAUACACAUAUUAUAAACGAGAAAUCCAAACCAACAAGAUCAAAAAAUAAAAUAUAUACAUAAACUUUCGAGUCAAAAUAUUAUAUUUUUAAAAGAGAGAAUACAAACAAUGUUAGUCCAUUUAAAGCUAUCACAUGCCCAACUAUUCUAAUGGCUCUAAAUUUCAACUCUAAUGAAAAACAAAAUAUUAAAAAAUAAUUUUUUAUAUAUUUUAAAUAAAUUUAGGUAGUAAUUAAAAUAAAGUAUACAAUAUUAAGAUUAUUCAAAAUGUUAAUCUCACAUCAUGCAUAAACUAAUAUGAGCUUAUCUUUUAAUGUAUCAUGAAUGAUUUUAUUGGUGUGGUUUUUUUUUUCCUUACAUUACAUGUAUCUCAAUUAAUUUUUUAAAAUUCUAAAUUUUACAACCAUGUAAUGUAUUGAUAGGGCAGGCAGUGAGGUGACUGUUUCUAGAGGGACGGGUGCUUGUAAAUUGGAUAGUGGCCAUAAGCAAAAAAUAAAGGACGAGGAGAGAGAGAAAAAAGUUGUGCAUAAUUUGUGUAACAUGUGAUGGUGGGACAGGGAUAAUAAUCAUAUAUAUAUAUAUAUAUAUAUAUAUAUAUAUAUAUAUAUGCGUAUGUGUAUUUUUAAAAAAAUAUCAUAUUAUUUUUUUAAAUAUAUUCAAUAAAUAAGUAGGCUUCGGUUAAUAUUCAAAAGUCUCAUGUUAAAUUAUUAUCCCUGUCCCACCAUUUUACACAAAUUAUGCACAACUUUUUUUCUUUCUCCUCGUCCUUUAUCUUUUUGCUUAUUGCCGUGGCUUGUCGAUCCCUCACUGUCCAAUUUACACGCACCCGUCUCUUUUAAAACAGUUCUUUUAAAUUUUAAUGGCAAUAGGUAAAUGAUUAGAUUUUAGAUUUAUUUUCUAAAAUUAUUUAUUUAGUUUUUAUAAAUUUUAGAAUGAUUGAAGGUUUAUAUGGUCGUUAAUUUCAGAGUUUCUAGAAUUAAUCAAGAUAGACACAAACUGACUCACACAUCAAUAUUAAUAAUAAUAAAAAAUGGUAUUAGGUGGUGUGAUAGAUUUUAAUGCUAUAAAACAAAAGGAAGAAAAGAAAGAAAAAGGUACGGUCAUUCCAUAAUAAGGCCCCAACUUUAAUUAACUUCAUCAGAACUAAUGUUGGAUAGGAAAUACAUCACUUCAACAUGACCAAAUCAAACAAACUAUAUAUAUGAUAAAGACUAUAACUUAAUUUGAGGAAUGGAAUUAAGCCACAGUAGGAAUUGAUGAUCAUUGAUGGAAUCAACAUGGUAGAAAGGCCUAAGCUCUUCAUGGUUUGCUUCCUAACCACUGAUCAAUCAAGUUUCCUAAAGCAACAUACGAAGAUCCACCCUCCAUCACAGCUUUCUUCGCCAUUUCACUGGUUUCUUUGGCCUUGUUCCUAAGUUCACCACCUUGUUCCAUCAUGGUUUUCACAGCUUUUGUUAUCACCUCCGCCUUCACAAAAUCUGUAGGGCAAUCUCCCCUAAAAUCCAACGUCAAUUCCACUGCUAAUCCCAAGUCUUUCACCAGCUGAAAUGCAUUCGUGUGUUGCUCAGCAUAUAAUGGCCAAGUUAUAAUAGGCACAGCAUACCACAAGGCCUCCAAAGUUGAGUUCCAUCCACAGUGUGAUACGAAAGCGCCUACUGCUUUAUGUGCCAAGAUUUCUACUUGUGGUGCCCAUCCACAUAGCAUCCCAAUAUUUUUAGUUCUUUCCAAGAAUCCCUGUGGCAAGAUCUCUCCAUAGUUGUCAAAAAUACUAGCUUGCAGCUUCCCCUUGGAGGGUUUCAACCGAACGGACCAUAAGAACCUCUGUCCACUCCUCUCGAGCCCGAUUGCAAUUUCUUUCAACUGAGCUUCAUCAAAGCAUCCUCUACUCCCGAAGCACAAGAACACCACUGAUUUUUCAGGUUGAUCAUCAAGCCAUUUCAAGAUCUCGUCACGCUUGACGGCAUCGGAUCCUGACAGACUCUUUCCCUUGUGAUGAAUGAUCAAUGGCCCAACAUUGAAAAUAGGUGGUAUAUCAUCUCUAGCCAAAAGAGCACUAACGGCAUGGGACUCAGCUUCUGAAAAUGUAUUAACAAUGAUACCGUUGGACUCCUUAAACUGUCUUCCAUGGUUUGCAAAAGCCUCGUAUUCCACAUCGGUGUGCAAUAACGGCAUAACACGGUAAGGCACGGGAUUUGAAUAACAGGGGAUGAUAUAGUCAGGGUCAGUAGGGCUAAACUUAGGCUCACCCUUGUCUUCUCUAUCUGAAAGGUAAAGCAUCGUGGCAAGAAAGGCAGCAUUAGAAGUGUAAAAAACAUGAGAAGGGACCCCAAGUUCUUUGGCAACAUCAAUAAAGGCAGUGCAAAACAUAUCAACAACAACACUAGCAAUUGGUGCAGGGUUGUGGGUCAUGACUAGGUUAACAAUAGUAUCUUUUACAAGGGUUUUGUGAUCAUUGAUGUAAGAAGUAUAAGCACUUGCAGGGCCUACAGCUAAAGCUUCUGGAGGAGGUGCAGGUAUGGUCUCAGGAAUUUCAAUGAACCUGAUUUCUGUAUGAAUUGAAGCAAGCGAUUCGGUGUUCUUGCUUAUGCCACCGUCAAAUGGAUUGUGGAUGGCAAGCAUGGUUAUCAAGAAACUGUCGUUUCUCUCAAGAACCAUCUUUGCUAACUGAACAGCUGGUACAAGGUGGCCAAAUCCAGGUGCAGGGACAAAGACUAGCUGUGUUUUCUUCAUUUUGGAGGUAUUGAAAUUUGAAUGUUCAACACUGUGAUCCUUGUUUGCCUUAUAAUGGGCUCAAGGUCAAUGCCACAAUGCCAGCUGUUAUGAUUUUGUUUUUCUAAAUUAAUCAUCAAAUGGGAUAUGACAAUUAUUACAAAGAUUGAUUUCAUAGAAAAAUUUUCUUGUAAUAUUUUUAAACAAUUCAAAUUAAAUAAAAAAAUAUAUAAAUAUAAAAGAAAAGAAAGCUAGGUUUCAUUAAUCAUUUUAAAUUAUAUGAAAUAUUGAUAAUACAACUAAUCAAACAUAAACUAACAAUCAUUUAAACAAAAUUUAAGAAUUGAUGGUAGAAUAUCAUAAAGUAAUUUUUAUAAAUUUUACCAAGUAAUUCUACCAUCAAUUCCUAAAACCUAACAAUCAUUUAAACAAAAUUUAAGAAUUGAUGGUAGAAUUGCAUAAAUUAAUUAUAAAAAUAUAAAAAUUAAUUUUUAUAAAUUUUACCAAUAAUUCUAUCAUCAAUUCCUAAAACCUAACAAAAUUUAAGAAUUGAUGAUAGAAUUACUUGGUAAAAAUUUAUGAAAAUAAGCAAACUUUCGUAAUAAUCAUAUAUACUCAUCCUUCUUAUUAAAUGACAUUUAAAUGUCUAAAGUAAAGACAAAACAAAAUUCAGGGUUCUUCUACAAUGAAGGUUAGUAUAUGAAAUGAGAGGGUUAGGUUGGGACAAAGAGAAGAGGGUUAGAUGGAAAGGUUAGGUAGGGAGAUAAGAUGGUUUGAUUGGGACAAGGAGAAGAAGGUUUGGUUAGGCCAUCACCAACUCAUCUCUGUUCAUAUUUUCAUCUCGGUCGUAGCAACACUGUGCUGAAACUAUCUUGUGAAUUUGUUGUCUUUGAACGUCAUUCAAUGCACAAAAGCUCCAAAAUCUACCAUCAAGACAAGUCAUUAACAACGCCAAAAUUAGUGUCUACACAAAUUUGGUCUCCCACACACACAGGCUAUAUAUAAAAACUAGAUUGGUGUUCCGUAAUACGUAGCGGAUAAUCUUAUUUUUUUAUAGCAUAAAAGAUACUAAGAUGAUAUAUGUAUUUUUCUUAAAAAAAUUAAUAUUCAGGUCAUUAACUUAAAUAACUUUAAUAAACUCGGUUAAUUUAAUAAUAUGAUUAGAAAAUAAAAUUAUCGUUUUCGUAGUUUUUAUAUCUAACAGACAAUCAUCCUUUUUGCUUACAAAAUAACAGGCUUAGCUUUAUAUUUAUAGAGAAUCCUAAAAAUCCUAUAAAUGACAAAAUAUAUAUUUUCUCCUUAAAUAAUAUCUAUAUAUUAUUUAAGGAUAAUUUUAUAAAUUUAAUCAAUCAAGUCCUUACUUGAUUUUUUUAAUUCUAAAAAUAUAAUCCUUAUAUUCAUUAUAUUCUAGUUCUUAAUUUCUAAAAUAUAGUUUAAUCAAGUCAUACUUAAUUAAAUAUCCUAGUUUAAUUUAUAAUUAAUCAUUCUUAAUGUGUGUGACUUAUUAAUUAGGUUCAUAAUAUGUUGGCCCAAAUAUAAAUUAUGAUUCUAAUUAAAUAGAAUUAAAUAAUUUAAUUUAUUAUUAAUUUAACAAUUGAUUAAUUUAUAUUUAAAGAUCAGAUGCAUUGUCUAGUAACGUGUCAUGAUCCCCCUAAAUAUUAGAAAAGUAAUUAGUGGUUUGACUUAACCUUUCAGUGCCCUUUUUUCCAGUGUAAUUAAUAUCCUUUCAUCAAUAAUAUUUCGAUUUAACAUUAAAACAUGAAGUAUGUCUGUCAUGUUAAAUCAUGUUUAUUUUUUACAUAAUAGUCAUUGAUCGUUUAAAUAAGAUUUGAAACUCUUUUCAAAUCUCAUUUCACCUUGGCUAAUGAUUUCUCAGUCAAUACUAUUUGAGAAUAGAUGAAAUAUUUUCUCUAAUUUACCAAGGGUAAUGAAUUCACUUUUGAUCACUCAAGUACCUUUAUAUAAUUCAUAUUAUACUCAAUAUCUUCCCUUUCGUUACCUCGAUUAAGAUAAGAUGUAACAAGAUUAAAGUAUAACAUUCUCUAUAUAAAAUGAUUUAAUGAUCUUAAGUCUAAGGAUCACUUACACAACCGUCACGUGAGCCUUUUUAUAGACAUAUGUAAUCUCUCCAUAUGAAAUUCGCAUGCAGAUCAGUUAAGUAUACAUAUCUUAUGACAAGCACCUACAUAUUACUAGGUAUCCCUUAUACCUUAACUUAUGAAAACAGUUGUUUCCUUUCAUGAAAAAAAGAACAUAAUAUGUAUCAAUCUUUACGACUCUAAUGAAUAUCCAGUAUUUAAGAAAGCAUCAACCCAUAUUAUUUUAAAAACAAUGUUUAGAUGCAAUAGAAAUCUCAUAAUUUCAACAACUUUAUAAUUUUAUUUGCAAAGUAUUUAUAUCUAAUGAACUUUAUCUUUACUCUCGAUUUAUUAAUAUGAUAUUAUAUAGAUAUUUAAAAUAAAUUAUUUUUUUAUUAAUAAUAAAUAAGUAUUUACAUGAAUAUAAUAAUAUCACGUGUAACCAACUAAUUGAUUACAAGAUAUAUUAAACUAACACAAUGAUACAUGAACUAUUAUGUGUUUGGAUUAUAAUUUUUUUAUCAAUCACUUAUUACUAAAAUACUAAAACUUGACUGUUGAAUCAAUUUAAAAAACAACUAAAAUAAUUAUCUUAACCUUGUAAAUUAUAUUGUUAAUAUGAAAAACUAUAUUACAACUUAAAACAAAAUAAAAAAAGUAGAGUUUUAGUUUUUCUAUUUGAAAAUUUCAAAUCUUAAAACAUUGGUGAUGAACGAAUUCACGAUUGAUGGUGGCUUUUUUGAAACGUAACAGAAAGAUUUCUAAUUCAAAUACUACCGCAGGUGACAAUUAAACCAUAAUAGUUCAGGGAUAUUUAUACCUUAUAGCCUGAAUUAAAGGUAUAUAUAUCUAACCAUCUAGGUAGUGACCUAGUUAUAAGAGCUUGGAAUCAAGAGGUUUGCUCCCUCUGUGGUCUCAAGUUCGAGCCCUGUGGUUGCUCAUAUGAUAGCUACUGGAGGCUUACAUGGUCGUUAACUUCAGGGCCCGUGGGAUUAGUCGAGGUACGCGCAAGCUAGCCGGAUACCCUCGUUAAACUAUAUAUAUAUAUAUAUAUAUAUAUAUAUAUAUAAAAAGGUAUAUAUACCUUCUUUCAAAUAUAAGAAAAUCAAGGUGUCAUCUUCCAGAGAUCAUGUAGUCCAGCAAACGGGGAAGCCGUAGCAUGGAAUGGAGUGACCAGUGAUCGAGAUUGCGAGAAAUACCCUCGGAAGGGAAGGCACUGAAUUCAUGGAAGCCACCAGCUAGCAAGGGAAAAGACUAGCCAAGUUUUUGUCACGACGGAGACAGGAAAGAUGCCCACUUGAUUUGAUCGAUAGCCACUUCCGGCCUAAAGGUAUCGAGACUUGAGCCCCUAGUUUUUGACCUCUCUUCUGAUUUCUUUCACUCUUUUUCGUCAAUAAAGAUAAAUAUAUCAUUCCUUUUUUGGGUUGAAUAUAAUUUUUAAUUUAGUUUAUAUAUAAUUUUUUUAUAUUUAGAUUAAAAAUACAAUUUUAGAAUAAAGUGAUUAAUUAAACUAGCUUUUUCCUCUCUUGUAUUUAUAUUUCUCUUUGUUGUUUAAUUUAGAUUAUUUAACAAAUGUUACAUAAAAGUUUUUCUAUGAAAUCAAUCUAAUAGUUGUCAUAUCCAAUUUGAUGAUCAAUUUAGGAGAAAAAAAACCAUAACAGCUGGCAUUGUGGCAUUGACCUUGAGCCAUUAUAAGGCAAACAAGGAUCACCAUAUUGAACAUUCAAAACCUCCAAAAUGAAGAAAACACAGCUAGUCUUUGUCCCUGCACUUGGAUUUGGCCACCUUGUAUCAGCUGUUCAGUUAGCAAAGAUGGUUCUUGAGAGAAAUGACAGUUUCUUGAUAACCAUGCUUGCCAUCCACAAUCCAUUUUCCGGUAGCAUAAGCAAGAACACCAAAUCGCUUGCUUCAAUUCAUACAGAAAUCAGGUUCGUCGAAAUUCCUGAUACCAUACCUGCACCUCCUCCAGAAGCUUUAGCUGUAGGCCCUGCAAGUGCUUAUACUUCUUACAUCAAUGAUCACAAAACCCUUGUAAAAGAUACUAUUGUUAACCUAGUCAUGGCCCAAAACCCUGCACCAAUUGCUAGUGUUGUUGUUGAUAUGUUUUGCACUGCCUUUAUUGAUGUUGCCAAAGAACUUGGGGUCCCUUCUCAUGUUUUUUACACUUCUGAUGCUGCCUUUCUUGCCACGAUGCUUUACCUUUCAGAUAGAGAAGACAAGGGUGAGCCUAAGUUUAGCCCUACUGACCCUGACUACAUCAUCCCCUGUUAUUCAAAUCCCGUGCCUUACCGUGUUAUGCCGUUAUUGCACACCGAUGUGGAUUAUGAGGCUUUUGCAAACCAUGGAAGAAAGUUUAAGGACUCAAACGGUAUCAUUGUUAAUACAUUUUCAGAAGCUGAGUCUCAUGCAGUUAGUGCUCUUUUGGCUAGAGAUGAUAUACCACCUAUUUUCAAUGUUGGGCCAUUGAUUGAUCACAAGGGAAAGAGUCUGUCAGGAUCCGAUGCCGUCAAGCGUGACGAGAUCUUGAAAUGGCUUGAUGAUCAACCUGAAAAAUCAGUGGUGUUCUUGUGCUUCGGGAGUGGAGGAGGCUUUGAUGAAGCUCAGUUGAAAGAAAUUGCAAUCGGGCUCGAGAGGAGUGGACAUAGGUUCUUAUGGUCCGUUCGGUUGAAACCCUCCAAGGGGAAGCUGCAAGCUAGUUUUUUUGACAACUAUGGAGAGAUCUUGCCACAGGGAUUCUUGGAAAGAACUAAAAAUAUUGGGAUGCUAUGUGGAUGGGCACCACAAGUAGAAAUCUUGGCACAUAAAGCAGUAGGCGCUUUCGUAUCACACUGUGGAUGGAACUCAACUUUGGAGGCCUUGUGGUAUGCUGUGCCUAUUAUAACUUGGCCAUUAUAUGGUGAGCAACACAUGAAUGCAUUUCAGUUGGUGAAAGACUUGGGAUUAGCAGUGGAAUUGACGUUGGAUUUUAGGAGAGAUUGUCCUACAGAUUUUGUGAAGGCGGAGGUGAUAACAAAAGCUGUGAAAACCAUGAUGGAACAAGGUGGUGAACUUAGGAACAAGGCCAAAGAAACCAGUGAAAUGGCGAAGAAAGCUGUGAUGGAGGGUGGAUCUUCGUAUGUUGCUUUUGGAAACUUGAUUGAUCAAUGGUUAGGAUGCAAACCUUGAAGAGCUCAAGCCUUAUCUACCAUGUUGAUUCCAUCAAUGAUCAUCAAUUCCUACUGUGGCUUAAUUCCAUUCCUCAAAUUAAAUUAAGUUAUAGUCUUUAUCAUAUAUAUAGUUUGUUUGAUUUGGUCAUGUUGUAGUGAUGUAUUUCCCAUCCAACAUUAGUUCUGAUGAACUUAGUUAAAGUUUUUUUUUUUUUUUUGUUGAAAACUUGGUUAAAGUUGAGGCCUUAUGGAAUGACCGUACCUUUUUCUUUUCUUUUCUUUUAUAUAUAUAUAUAUAUCCUUGGAAGCAUGAAAGAAAACUUUUAAAUUUACCCGUUUGGGAUUGCCAUCUAAAUAAAGAUUAGUCAAAAUUAUUAUUUUUUUUAAUUAUUUUGAUGAGUUAAUAUUAAAAAUAAAAUAAAAAUAUAUAUAUUAUUCUAAUAAAGAUUAGUCAAAUAAAAAAUAGUUCUUGAUGGACAAUUAAAAAUUGCUGGAACAAAUCAAGGGACCCAACACUAGCAUUAAAAUCUAUCACACCAACUAAUGCCAACUUGCUUAAAUGUGUAGUGACGUGCAAAUUAGAAAUAGUUCUGAUUGAUGGUUUGAUUCAAUUCAUCCCUAGCUUUUUUUAAAAUAAAAAAACUUAAACUUCGUUGUUUUGGUAAAAAUAUAAUUGGUUUUUUCACUAACUUGACCAAGCAAAGCUCAGUGGGUUAUUGUGUUGAUUUGAUCACCAAAUUAACCUAUCAAGUCAAACUUUGAAUAAAUAAAUCGUUAAAUUAACCUCUCGGACUGGAUUGUAUCUUAUACCAAUAAACUUCACAUUCACCUUUUCCUACAGCUACAGGUAUUACUAGAAUGAAUAAACCACAGCUGGUGUUAAUUCCUGCUGCAACCUUGUGUCAGCAAUUGAGUUAGCAAACCACAUGCUUUGAUGAGCCUCAAUUGAAAGACAUCAAACGGGCUCAAGCAGAGUGCACACAAGUUCUUAUGAUACAUUCAGAAACCACCAUCCAAGGGUCAGUUCCUGUUUGGAGAUCACGUCAGAAGGAUUCCUCAGAAGGACUAAAAAUGUUAGCGUGAUAUGCGAUUGGACACCGCAAGUGCAGGUCUUGGCAUACAAAGCAAUAGCUACAUUUGUAUCGCAUUGUGGAUGGUACUCAAUCUUGGAAAGCUUAUGGUAUGGUGUGCCUAUUAUAACUUCGGCCAUUGUAUGAUAAGCAAUAAAUUAAUGCAUUUAAAUUGGUCAAGUUUUUGGGAUUAGCUAUUGAGUUGAGUUGAAAAUGGAUUAUAAAUUGGGUGAUGGUGUUAUAAAAUUCACAGUCAUUAGAAAUAUGGUUUUUAGCAAUUGAAUUAUAAGUUAAUUACAAAUUCUAGCAAGAUAAUUUAUUAUCUAUGGUUUAUCAAACUUGCUUGCAAAGCAGUUGAGAUUUAGGGAACUAAAAAUGAUAAAGUAAGUAAUCUUUAAAUAAAUGAUCAUCAUAGAUGAGUGAAAGAGCAUUUAUUUUUAAAAACAAUAGUGUUUAUUUUUAGUUUUGAUGUAAUGAAUGCUUUGAAAUUAAGAAAAUAUUUUUGUAGAGAAUAAAGACUAGAACUUUGUACCUGAAUGAUUCAUAAGGCAUUUAUAAAUCUCGAACCUUGUCAUUUUUACUAGAGUAUAGCGACUAGAGAGUAAUUUUCUCCUAACAAUAUUAAUAGGGGAUAAAUAACAUUUACACACAUUAAUAAAUGAUAAAAUAUCCCUUAGCCAAUAUUAAUGGUGAAGGAAAUAUGGUAGACCCUUAGAAGACUUUUAUACAUCUAGAGAUGUAGAUAGAUGAAUAUCAUUGACAUUAAUAUUUUAUGUUAAAAAUCAUAAGAAUAAAUAAACAAUUAAAGUCUUAUGGCCCAACAUAGGACCUAUAAUGAUCGCCAGACUCAUAUUUACUUAAGCUCUCCACGUAGCUAAGUCCACUGGCAUUGGGCCUGACAACUUGCCAGAUCCAUGUCCGUUUGGGCUUAACGCGUAACUGAACUCAAUGUAUUGAAUCUGACAGCUUGUCAGACUCAUGUUUGCUUGGACUUAAUAUAUAGCUGAAUCUAAGGAUAUUAAGUCUGGUAGCUCGCCAGACUUAUAUCUCUUUGGGCUCAGCACGUAGCCUAACCCAAGGAUAUUGAGUCUAACAUCUCGUCAGAUCCGUGUCUAUUUAGGCUAAUCGCUUAACUGAACUCAAUAAUAUUAGAUCUGGUGGCUUGCUAGACUCAUGCACAUUGAAACUCUACUCUUAACUACAUCGAAAGGCAUUGGGUCUAGAACAGAGAUGUUAUUUUAACCCGGUAUUCUGUCAAGUUUAAAGAUAUUGGGUAUAAAUAUAAGCCCCGCCUAUUUAUUAUUGAAUUAUCACCCUAUCUUCGGACCUUUAAAAAAAGAUUUCGACUUCAAAUUACUUUUUUAAAAUAUGAUUUGGGAUAAAGUAACCUUAUGAAGGAAAAUGAGGUAGGAAGCAGUGAAAUGCUUGAUAGAAAACGCUAGUGAAGUGAAAAACAAGGUUAGAGAAGUGAGUAAAAAGGCUAGGCAAUCUCUGUUAGAGGGUGGAUCUUCACAUACUGCUUUUGGAUACCUGAUUAGUCGAUGGCUAGUAAACAAGGUUUGAAGAAGUGACUCUCGACAUACGUAAAACGCGUGGGUUUUUUUUUAUUGUAAAGACAGGUAUUGUUUACACCCAUAUAAAUUAUUAUGGAUGGCACCUGUGCAUUUUUACAAAUUCAUUUUAGUCCUUUAAUUUUGUUUUUCAAUGAUUUAAUCCUAAUUAAAGAUCAAUUGACUAUAAUUUCUUAGGAAAAUAUGGGGUUGAAAGAAGUUCUUCGUUUUUCUAAAUCCUUUUUACUUGAGAGUCUUUCCUUUAUUUUUCUAUUUAAAGAUUUAUAUUCUCACAAUUUGUUCAUUUAGGUACUUUGUUUAAUGGAUUUGUUAAAACAAUUUAAACUGUAUUUGUUUGCACAAUAGCUUAAUACUCAGGGUAUUAUUCAUCAACUUUAAUAUAUCUUUUUUUUCACUCAUUUAGUCCAACAACAUUUAUCACCCUCGUUUAAUUCUUACUUUUUCAAUUUCUAUAAACACAAUAAAAACUAUUGUCUUUAGGAUUGCAAGACAUGCACGCUUCAAAGUUUUAAAAGUUCUUUUUUUAAUCUAAAACAUUUUGUUAAUAACAAUGAGAAAUAGUGCUAAUAAUUUAAUUUGCUAAUCUGAAAUGUACUCCAUUAAAUUUAAUUUAUUUGACGAGUGGUACCAGUUGAAAUUAAGAUCAAACAAGGUUUGAUUUAAAAGAAUAAAAAAUAAUAUUAUUUUAACUUCUUAAUUGUUUUUAAAUAAUAUUAUUUUGAAUUAAUUUGUCUAAAUCAUUACUGAAAUCUAAAAAAAAUUAAUUAUGAGUAGAUUUGGCCGAGUUUUUAACAAUGAGCAGGAGUUGAUGAAUAAUUUAUACAAUAGUAAAUUGAUGUUUUUUAAAGGUAAUUCUAACAUAAUUUGAUUAAUCAAAUUCUAAGAUUAAAGGAGGUCAAACAUGAGAGAGAGAGAGAGAGAGAGAGAGAAAUCUUGAAAAAGAAUUAAAUCAUAAUUUAUUAUUUUUUUAGCAGAAUAAACGCAUAAAUAAAAGUUCUAACAAAUCUUUUGCCUUUACGAGAAGAUUGAUAUGGUAAGUGAGGCAACCACUACCAAGUUGUCGUUUUAUAUUUGAUGGGUAAUAACCCGGCUAAACGACACCUCUUGGGUUGUUGGCCUGGGUUUUGGUAAGGGCUAGAUUCUCUUGCUCUUUUUUUUUUUUUUUUUCUUUUUAGUUCUUUUUUUUAUCUCGAAGCAUGAAACAAUAAAAAAAUAAUUUAGUUCAUAAAAUAUUUUAAAUUUUAUUCUCUCGUAUUUAAGAAGUAUUAUGUUGUGGCUUGCUAGGCAGACUCAUCGUGCAACCAAAUUAAUCAAACCCAAAAAAAAAGAGAUUUCGAUCAUCAUCUCUCUCUGUUUUUUUUUUAAGGAAAUAUAUUGAUUCUCCCUCUAAUCAAUGCGAAAAAAAACAUGAAGUGGGGACAACACCUUUUAGCUUCUCCCUGGUUAAAUAUCAAUUACUGUUGCAUUUUCAAAAAACAAUUAUUAUAUGUAUAGUCCUUACCAUAAUUAUUGUAAAAUAAAUUAAUAAAAAAAUCUCUCAGGGACCCUAUUUUUUCCUCACCUAAUCGUCAACGCAUGGCAGCACUCAGUUGUUGAAGAUUCCACUAUAUUUAUUCUCAACCAAUUUUCAGAGUAAAAGAGCAUUGAAUUCCGACUAUAUAUAGUGCCCCAUAACCCAGUCCCAUAUUAUUUAUCCAAAAAAAAGAAAUCACACAGAAGCCAAAAACCUUCCAUAUCCGCCAAAAAUGGCACCCGCUCAAACCACCACACCCAAGAAUGCACUGGUCUUCGUCCCAGCACCAGGAAUUGGUCAUCUUGUAUCAGUCAUGGAGUUUGCAAAACGUUUGCUUGAAAGAGAUGACAGUUUCUCCAUCACAAUGCUUCUUAUGUCCCCACCAUUUGCACAUGAUGUUACAACCUAUGUUGAGAAACUUAAUGCAGCUCACCCAGAAUUUCAAUUUCUUGGUCUGCCUUCUGUAACCCCACCACCCCUAGAAGAUGUUCUUGCUUGUCCUGAACAUUUUGUGUCAGUUUUCAUCGCUGAUCAUAAGAACCAUGUUAAGGAUAUGAUUGUCAACCAUGUUUUGUCCAACAAGUCAGUUAAACUUGCUGGUUUGGUUCUUGAUUUGUUUUGUACUGCCUUUGUUGAUGUUGCCAAAGACCUUGGUGUCCCUUCUUAUAUUUUCUUUGCUUCUGGUGCUGCUUUUCUUGGUUCCAUGCUUUACCUCCCUUAUAGAUUUGACAAGGGAGGAGUCACCUACAAACCAACCGAUCCUGACUCUAUUAUCCCUAGUUACAUCAACCCAGUUCCCUCCAGGGUGUUGCCAAGUUUGUUGUUCCAUGAUGGUGGGUAUUCAACUUUCGUAAGCCAUGCUAGGAAAUUCAAGGAGGCAAAGGGUAUCAUUGUCAAUACAUUUGCAGAGCUAGAAUCCCACGCUGUUAACUAUCUUAAUGGCGAGGCAGGUGUACCCCAUGUUUACACUGUGGGGCCAGUGGUUGAUCACAAGGGCAACAGUCCAGUAGCUGAUGGGAACCAACGUGAAGAGAUCAUGAACUGGCUCGACGCUCAGCCACAGAAAUCAGUGGUGUUUCUGUGCUUUGGAAGUCAAGGGAGCUUCGGUGUGCCUCAAUUGAAAGAGAUUGCACUUGGGCUUGAGCAAAGUGGCCAAAGGUUCUUGUGGUCUAUUAGGAGACCACCUUCUCAAGAAUCUUUGAACCCCGGUGAAGUUAAUGAUUUUAGUGAGCUUUUGCCCGAAGGGUUUCUGGGCAGGACAAAAAAUGUAGGGUUUAUUUGUGGGUGGGCUCCUCAAGUUGAAGUCUUAGCCCAUAAAGCCACAGGUGCGUUUGUGUCGCAUUGUGGAUGGAACUCAAUUUUGGAGAGUACUUGGUAUGGUGUGCCUGUUGUAACAUGGCCCUUGUAUGGUGAGCAACAAAUCAAUGCAUUCCAGUUGGUAAAGGACGCAGGAGUGGCAAUUGAAAUGAAAAUGGAUUACAGGAAGGAUGGCGGUGAGGUUGUGAAGGCAGACCAAGUAGCAAAAGCAGUGAAGGAUGUGAUUGAAGGUGCUAGUGACGUGAAAAGCAAGGUUAAAGCAAUGAGUGAAACUGGCAGGAAAGCACUGUUGGAGGGUGGAUCUUCAUAUGUGGCAUUUGAAACCUUGGUUGGUGUUUUGUCAGGAAACAAGGCUUGAAGAACUUGCACGCCAUGUUAAAAUCUGAGGUUGAUUCUGCACUUACGUACGUAUGUUACCUCUUGUCUUGGUUCUUUUGGGUGAUGAUGCUAGUGCUAUGCGUCAACCCUAUUAGAUUUGGUUUUGGUCAAUCUUCCUUUUUUUUUCUCUUUCUUUUUUGUCUAGGAUGAGUUCAUGGUUGGUCCCAAAUGCCUCCCCUCUUGUACUCUCAAUAGUCUACAAUAAAAUUAUCUCUUAAUUUAUCAAGAAAGGGAGCUGUCCAUGAUUUGAACGAAUUAAUUUCAGGUUUUACAACUACGACAAAAGACAACGACUAAAUUUAGACCGAGAGCUGAUGUCUUCCACUAAAAAAUAAAGAUAGAUGAACCACUCGAGCAAGCUGUGGUUCCAAAGUAAAAUCAUAUCAUGUGGAAUACAAACGUGUUUCCUUUGAUGGGUCGACUAUUUAUGAGGGCACUCAAUUAAUAAAGACAAACCAAUCUAUAAAUACAUGCAUGUAUUUUAUUUUUUAUUUUUUAUUAUUAUUAAUAUGGGUGUUCGAGCUAACUUGUAUGCAACUUGACUAAUUCUACAAAUUCUAAAAUUAAUAAUCAUAUAAAUUUUUAGUGAUACGAGAUUACUGAAACUUAUAAUUAUUGAAUUUUUUUUCCUUGUGAAAUAGAAACUUUUACAUUUUCCUCCUUUCCCACAAUGACUUUGUGACAACAGCCUGAUAAUUUCCUUAAUCAUGAAUCAACACAAACAAAACUGGCCGACCUUUUCUUAUGUUUUAUGUUUUUUUUUUUCCAAAAGAAAUUCCCACGAAGUAAUUCUUCAUAGGGUGCCUAUAAGAAAAUCUUAAUCAUGCUAUUUCCUCUUUUAAUAGACAAUUAUUGAUUUUUUUAAAAAAAUGUUCUUAUUGUAAUGGUUAAUUUAGAAUAUUCUUAGCCUUAUUUUUGCACACCAAAAAUUUAUUAUUCAUGAGAAACUACCUCCGUUUUAUAUUAUAAUCUAAAAUGUUUUACUUCUCCCGAUGAAAAAAAAAUUGAGUUAUGUUAGUGAAAGAUCUAAUAUUAACUGUUGAAAGCGUAGUUAUAAAAUGCAAAACAUCUGACGGAUGGAACUGGAACCGUAUCGGUUUGUGUUAAAUAAAAAAUAGGUUAAGGUAUAUUUUGAUCUGGCCUAGACUUAUAAAAAACCUCGCAACCCAUUAUGUUAACUUUUUUUUAAAAAAAAAAAAUUUAUUAAAAUAAUUUUUUUUAUUUUUUUUUAAUUAAUUCAUGUCGACUCUCUCGAUCCACCGUAACCUAUGUCCUGUCUGGGUGUUGGCCCCAAGUUAACUGUGGUCAGAAGUUUUAUUAGAACAAAACUAGAGUGGUGCCUAUUUUAUGCUGUGGGUCCGCACAAUUUUUACAAUAAAAUAUUUAGUUAUUGCAAGUAUGUUUAAAAAAUAAAUCUAAUAACUCAUCUUAUAGUUCUGUCGAACUAAAUAAACUGGUUUUAUUUGAAUUACAUAAGUAAAAAAAGAUAAUAAUAUCAAACCAGGAUAUAUGUAUAUUACGACAACAUGGGGAAAAAACUUUAUCCCAGAGGAAAAAAAUCCAAAACAAAAAAUAACAAUUAAAAAAAUUAAAAUUAAAAUUGAAAGAAAAAAUAAAUUAAAGCGCAAUAAUAAAUUUUCAAUUCAAAGUUAAAUCGGAAAGAAUAAAAACAUUAAAAAAUUAAAAGAAUAAGGAUCAAAAUGAAAAAAAAAACAAUACACUACCACCGUGUAAAUAAAUUUUUUUUAAAACAGCCAUCAACAAUAAAUAAAAAUGUAAUCUGAAAAAUUAAGAAACAAAUGUAGAUCAAAAUAUUUAAUAUCACAACACGAGUCAUUUACCAAGUUGUGUUUAAUGAAUUUGUUUAUUAAAAUCAAUUUGUAAUAUAAAUUGACAUACAUAUAAAAUUUAUUGAAUAAAAUAAAAAAUUACUAUGCAAGACUACUCAUAUUAAAAAUAUUAUAAAAAUAAAUAAAUGUGUUUUUAUUUUUAAAAAUAAAUUAAAUAUAUAUAUUAAAAAAAUAAAAUGAGGCAUAACCGGGGCUGGUAAGCUAAACCUAGUGCCUUGACUCAUCAAAAAAGGGCCUACACAUACAUGCUUUAAUUGUUUUUUAAGUUAAUGAGGCGAACAACAAUUCAAUCAUUCCAAUUCUUUGAAAAAAAAAAUAGACGACACUCCGUUUGGAAAACUCAUAUUGUGGCUACAAGAUUCUAGUUUUUUUCACUUGAAAGAUCUAUUUUGAUUCAAAAUAUUUAGAAAAAUACCCUGUAAAUCUUGUUAAAUUAAUUCAUGGCCGCCAAAAACACAUAAAAAAAAAGUCUCAAAACCCAAAUUAAUCUGAAAUAAAAAAAUUUCUCAAAAUCAAAUUUAUUUUUAAGUGUUUUUAAAGUAAAAAAAACAUCUAAUUUGAAGUUAUCUUAUCAAAUAGAAUUUUUUAAUACAAAAUCGAUCAUUUGGUAGCCAAAGUUGUCAUUUACAGCAACAACCUAGAAAAGGAUUCACGAUUGGGCCUAAACAGCCCAUUACCACUGGCUCAAUUCAGUUUGUAUGUCAGCUAUGAAUUUUACAGUGGCAGUGAUCAAUAUGGUAUCAGUGUCAUCAUAUAAAAAACAAUUAUGGCGAAAAAAAUUUAAAAGAACCAAAUUAAAAAUUCUAAAAAAAAAUCAAUAAAACGAAAUACCUCUUUUAAUUUUUAUUGUAAUAAUAAUUCUUAAUUAAUUCUGAAAUAGGUUAUUGUCAGUGUCCAAUUAUAACCGUUAAUAAAUUAGAUAGGAAAGAGUAUAAAAAUACUAAAAAAAAAUUAAAAAUAAAAAGGAAAAUAAAUUUUAGUAUCAAAAUUAAUUUUUAAAAAAAAUUAAAAAAACUAAUUAUAUAAUAGUUAAAACAGAUAAUGAACUUAUUAAACAAAUCUCUAAAUUGUGCCACCUAUGUUUUGUAUAUAUAUUUUAGUUUUUUUAUCUUUCAACUCAAUUUUCUCUCUAAAAAAAUAAUUAAAUACUAAUUUAGGUUUAAAAAAACUUAACUAUAAAAUAAAAAAAAGUUCAGAGAACUAAAUUGAAGAUUCUAAAAAAAAAAUCACUAAACACCUCUUCUAGUUUUUACUGGAAUAAUAAUACUUAAUUAACUAAUAAUUCUUAAUUAAUUUAUCUUUCAACUCAAUUCUCUCUCUAACAAAAAUAAUUGGAUACUAAUUUAGGUUUAAAAAAACUUAAUUAUAAAAUGAAAAAAAAGUUCAAAGAACCAAAUUGAAGAUUCUAGAAAAAAAAAUCACAGUGAAACGAAAUACCUCUCCUAGUUUCUACUGGAAUAGUAAUUCUUAAUUAAUUAUGAAAAAGACUAUUGUCGGUGCACAAUCAUGGCCAUUAAUGACUUAGAUAGGAGAGAGUAUAAAAAUGCUAAUUUGUGAUCUUUGUCGCACAUAGACAAUCUCCACUCUGCACAUGAAUCGUCGUGUCCGUCUCUUCUUUUCACCUUAAAAGACUCCUCUCCUUUUUGCCUUUUCAAAACUGAGUGGAGCGCCGCAUCUGGCAUCCAGCAGUUGGUUUUCAAGAGAAGAAACCGAGAAGAAAACAGUGUGCCUCCCAAAAACUAGUGGAAACCACUAUAUUCUUUCUUCCAAGAGUCGCCUUUUUCAUGUAAAUGUAAACGCUUCCCUGUAGACAAACGUGGAUCAACCGUUUUACACCCUUAUGCCUUCCACGUUUUCUGUACUCAGUUAGAUAUUUAUUCAUCUAAAGGGUCGGUUCAAAAAGGUUUGGCCUCUCCUUCUCUCCUGGCCUCUCCUUCUCUUCUUGUACAUAGCACAAGAGAGCAAAAAUCAAAGGGAAGGGAAGAAACAAAGAAAUGGAAGAUGGGGAGAUGUACAACAUGAUGAAGGUAUGGCUCUCAAUCUUUGCAUCUCUAACUUACUGCUAUAUCAUGGGAAAGAUGAUCCCAAGAGGUUUUACAAGACUUCUCUGUGUGCUACCAAUUGUUUGUCUAUUUCUUGUUCUUCCUCUAGAACUCACCUCUAUUCAUUUUGGAGGCAUGACAGCUUUCUUCGUUGCUUGGCUUGCGAAUUUCAAGCUCUUGCUUUUUGCGUUUGGCAAAGGCCCUUUGUGUUUAGACCCAAAAAUCUCUUUUGGUCGUUUUGUUUCUGUUGCUUGUUUUCCCAUCAAAAUCCUACAAAUCCCACCUCAAAAACCGAAUCUAAAUGGCCAUAGCCAUGAAAACCAAGCUCAAAAAUCACUUCUAAAUGGCCAAGAUAGGCAAAAAUUAAUCUCUAGAAAGGGCCCUCAUAAAUCAUUCCUAAAUUAUGCAACCAAAGGUCUUCUUUUGGCAAUGUUGGUGGCUACAUAUGACUAUAGUGAUUAUAUCCAUCCAAAAAUCAUGUGGCUCUUGUAUUGUCUCCACAUAUAUUUUUUUCUUGAAACAUUCCUAGCCAUGUUGGCAUCGGUGGUUCGAACCCUUUCAGGGCUUGAGCUAGAGCCACAAUUCAAUGACCCUUAUCUCUCGACUUCACUUCAAGACUUUUGGGGGAGAAGAUGGAACCUCAUGGUAACAAGCAUCCUACGCCCGAUUGCGUACGAUCCCAUCCUCUACACGUGUAAGAACUUCAUUGGUCGCAGGUGGGCCCAGGGCAUAGCAAUUUUGGGUACCUUUCUAGUGUCUGCGCUCAUGCAUGAGCUCAUUUUCUACUACCUAGGACGCGGGAAGCCCACGUGGGAGAUCACUUGGUUCUUUUUGCUACAUGGAGUGUGUUUACCGGUCGAGAUUGUUUUGAAAAGGGCUGUUAACGGCAGGUGGCAGUUUCCCAGGCCGAUGCAAACUAUAUUGACCAUUGGAUUUGUGAUAGCUACCGGCUUUUGGCUGUUUUUUCCACCAUUUCUUGCGUGUAAAGCAGGUGUCAGGGCAAUUGAGGAGUACGCGGCUGUACGCGAGUAUUUGAAGGAAGCUGGUCAUGCAUAUUUUCCUUGGAUUUUUCAACAAAUCUAACGGCUUGUAAAUAUCCAAGAUUUGAGCAGCUUAUUUUGAUUGAAUGAACGGUUCGGAUUUGAUGCAAAUCUAAGAAAUUACAAAUAUAAGCAUGGUGGUUGUAGUUAUGAUUUAUGUACUCACUUGAUUAUUUUCCGGUAGUGUCGGGCAGGUCAAUUUUUCAAACAUAAAAUAAAAAAGAUCUAAACAGAUAUUUAGACGAAGAAAAUUUCAAUGAAUAAUUUAAUUAACCUGUAACACGGGAUAACUUCAAAAAAAAAAAAAAAAUAGGAAGCUUAAGUCACAAUAAAAUUAAUUUUAAAAGAUAAAAUUUUAAAAAAAAGAAAUUUAGAAGAAAAAAAAACUCUACUCAAAUUGGGUUUACUUUAUUAAUUAGAAUGAGAAAAUAAUUUUUUUAAAAAAAUUGAUAUAGAAAAAAAUCAAAAUUAAAUAAAUAAAAAAAUAUUGAUAAAAAAAUUGAGUUGCCCUAGAACCUCCAACCCCGAAUAACAUUAUAAAAAUGAAAAGCAAAAAUGAAAAGCAUAAAAAAUAAGAAAUUUUAAGAAUUAUUAAAAGAUAAAAUUAAAAAAAUAAUAAAUUCAAAGUAACUCGAGUUAACUUAACUAACCAGUGAUCUGGAAUAACAACUUAGAAAAAAAAAAAACUUAAAACCCAACAGUUUAAUAUCAAAAGAUAAAAUUAAAAAAAGUUUUAAAAAUAACUAAAAUCAAAUCAGGCUAAUUUUUAAAAUCAGUAAUUCUAGUUAUAAGACUGAGAUGACCCUGUAAAAAGAAAUUAAAUAUUAAAUAAAAUUCUUAAUCAUAAAAAAAAAUAUAUAAUUAAAAAAUAAAAUAAAUGGAAAGACAACUCUGAUUUUUUAUUAACUUGGCGUGAAUUUCAAGGAGAAUUGAGAGAAAAUAAAGGGAGGAGAAAAAACUCAACCAGCACCGAUUUAUCGUGAUUUGAAGUUUGAACAACAUGCGCCACCCCAGCAGCUUCGCCUUCACUUGAUAUUUUAGACGACACGACAAUUGAGAAAUUCUGGUUGAUGUACAAUGCCUGGAAUGGCAGGGGUGACAUAUACUCGCUGACGCAUGCACUUUUUUUAUUUAUUUAUUUAUGAAAAUAGUAAUUUUUUCCUAAUCCAAAUAGAGCAUAACAAUAAAAAAAGAUUUAUUAAAAAAAUACUAAAAUAUCUCUCUUAGCCUUUCAUUUUUGUAUUUACUUUUAAGGAUAUUUAUGUAGUUUAAUUAUAUAAAAAAAUAUAAACUACUAAAUUAUUUCCAAUCAAUUUGAAAAUGACUUUUGAACUCCCGAAAAAAUAUCAUUUUACCUUCGGUAGUAAGGCAAAAACUUUGUGCAGAGAAUAGCAAAGUAAUAAUUACAUCGUGUACGUCCACAAUAAAUUUCCUUAUAAAACACUGAUCUUUUUAGAGUUUUUUAUAAUUUGAGCAAAUAGGGACCGCAUCUUUAAAAAGAUAACAGGAUAGAAUUAUAUAAAAAAAAAAAAGCAGAGGGUGAAUUCGUGAAAAAAAUUAUAUGAUAUAUUAUUAGGUAAUAAAAAUUCAUGAAAAAAGCAUAGGGUGAAUCACAUACUUUAUGAUCAAGUCUAUUCUAAUUCUAUAGUAUAAAAAUUUGAUAACUAUUUAAUAGGUGGUCUAGUAAUAAAAAUUUGAUACUAAGAAGUUUGUUCCUCUUGUAGUCUGAGUUUCGAACCCUGUAGUUCCUAAUAUGAUGACUACUAGAGGCUUACAUGGUCGUUAACUUCAGGGGCUGUGAGAUUAGUCAAGGUGCGUGUAAGCUGACCCGAACACUCACGUUAAUAAAAAAAAUUAAUCUAAUAAAUUAGUUUUAUCAAAAAAUUUCUUGAUAUUUAUUCAUCAUCAUCAUCAUCAUCGAGUAUUGUUAUCGAUAACAUUUGUCAUGGUAAAUAAUAUACUUCUACUUGACUAAUUAAGAAAAAACUAAAACUGAUCAGUGUUUCACUGUGCAAGUCCACAGUGAAAUGCUGAGCAGUCCUUCUUUUUUUUCGUUUUUUUUUUAUUAUUUUUUCCCAUUUUUUUUUGUCUUCUUCUUUUUCUUCUUUUUUUGUUUUUUUUUGUUUUUAUUUUUUUUCCAUUUUUUUUUUAUUUUUGGUUUUCUAUUGUCUUUAUGGGUUUUUUUUUUGCUUUUUUCUUUGUGUAUUUUUCUUUUAAUGAAUUUUUUUGUUUAAUUUAGUUUGUUAAUGUUAAUUUUUUAUUUAGUUACCAAAUUUUCAUAACACGGAUCCCGGGUUUGACGGGUUAACCUGAUUUGACGAGUUAACUCGAUUUUUUUUUUCUUUUCUUUUUAAGAAAAAACUAAAACUGCUCAGUGUUUCACUGUGCAAGUCCACAGUGAAACGCUGAGUAGUCCUCUCCUUUUUUUUUUUGUUUUUUUUUCCCAUUUUUUUUGUCUUCUUCUUUUUGUUUUUUUUUUGUUUUUUUUUGUUUUUAUUUUUUUCCCAUUUUUUCCUGUUUUUUUUUUUUUUUUUUGGUUUUCUAUUGCCUUUAUGGGUUUUUUUUUUUGCUUUUUUCUUUGUGUAUUUUUCUUUUAAUGAUUUUUUUUUAAUUUAGUUUGUUAAUGUUAAUUUUUUAUUUAGUUACCAAAUUUUCAUAACACGGAUCCCGGGUUUGACGGGUUAACCUGAUUUGACGAGUUAACCCGAAUUUUUUUUUUCUUUUUAAUUAAUUGUAACAUAUACUAAAACGAAUCAGUGUUUUACUGUGGACUGCACAGUGCAGUCCACAGCAAAAUACUGAUCCGUUUUUGGUGUUUUUUUUUUAAGUUGUCUUAUUUUUUUAGCUGUUUUUUAUGCCUUUCGGGAUUUUUUUUUGCUUCUUUCUUUAUUUUUUUUCUUAUAACAAAAGUUUUUUAUUUAAUUUAGUUUAUUAAUGUUAAAGUUUUUUUAUUUAGUUAUCAGACUUUCAUGACACGUUUUCUGGAUUUAACGGGUUAACCUGAUUUGACAAGUUAACCCAGAAAUAUAUUUUUUUUGCUUUUUUUCUUUUUAAUUAAUUUUUUUUCAUUUAGUUUAGUUUGUUAAUGUUAAAUUUCUUUCUAUUUAGUUAUCAGACUUUCAUGACACAUAUCUCGAGUUUCACGGGUUAACCUGGUUUCACGGGUGAACCCAGUUAAUUCUGGGUUGACCCGUCAAUUUUUUUUUUGUUUUUUUUAUCAUAAUUUUUUUUUUCAUAAUUUAGUUUGUUAAUGUUAAAUUUUUUUUAUUUAGUUAUCAGACUUUCAUGACACAGAUCCUAGGUUUAACUGGUUAAUAUGGUUUGACGAGUUAACCCGAAUUUUUUUUAAUUUUUUUUAUUAAUUUUUUUCGUUUAGUUUAGUUUGUUAAUGUUCACUUUUUUUUAUUUAGUUACCAGACAUUCAUGACACGGAUUCCGGGUUUAACGGGUUAACCUGGUUUGACGAGUUAACUUGGAAUUUUUUUUUUGCUUUUUUUUUUAAUUAUUUUUUUUCGUUUAAUUUAGUUUGUUAAUGUUAAAUUUCUUUCUAUUUAGUUUUUUUUUCUUCUUAGAGGUUUUUUUCUUUUAUUUUUUAUUUUUAAUUAAUUUUAUUUAAUUAAUUUAGUUUAUUAAUAUUAAAUUUUUUUCUAAGUAGUUCUCGGCUGAUGCCUUUAGUUUUUCUUUUUGUUUUUUUGUUGUUUUUAUGCAUUUGACUGUAGACUGCACAAUGCAGUCCACAGUGAAAAAGCUCAUCCUUUUGUUUUUUUAAUUAAUUUUUUUUGUUUAAUUUAAUUGUUAAUGUUAAUUUUUUUUUUCUAUUUAAUUAUCAAACUUUCAUGACAAAGAUUCCGGGUUUGACAGGUUAACCUGGUUUGACGAGUUAGCCCAGUUAAUUAUGGUUUAACCCAUUAGUUUGUUUUUUUUCCUUUUUAAUUAUCAAACUUUCACGAUGCGAAUUUAAGGUAUGACGGGUUAACCUGGUUUGAAGGGUUAACCCAGUUAAUUCAUAUUUUUUUUCUUUUUCUUCAUUAGUUUUUAUUUUCCUGUUGUUUUUUUUUUUUGUUUUUUUUCUUUUUAACUAAUCUAUUUAAUUAUCACACAUUUAUAACACGACCUUGCAGCUAGACCCACGUCCAAUGCUAUUGGGUCUGGUAUUGCAGUCAAACCCGCUUAAAUUUAGGCCAUGCAAGUUUAAUGUUAUUAUUAAUAUUAUAAAUAUUACUCUUGGAUUAGGCGUUGCAACUAAACCUAAAACUCUUGGGUAUAACUUUGCAAAAAAACCUAAUACUUUUAGAUCUUAGCUUUUUAUGAAAUGCAAAAAAUAAUUAACCCGCGACAUCGCGCGGGGCAUGUAACUAGUAAUACUUCUAUAAGAGAUCUAAAAUAACACACCGCACUAGCCUUCGUAUUUUAUCCUCUUUUAGUCUUUUUUUUAUUUUUUAUCUCAAAGGAAGAAACUCGAAUCCAAAACUUACUAGAUUAAAGAAUGUUUGAUAAUAAAGUGUUUUUUUAAAAUGUUUUUUAAUUAAAAAUAUAGUAAAGUAAAAUUUUUAAUUUUUAAUAUUAAAAUCAUAAAAAAAUACAUAAUAAUAUUAAUUUAAUGUAUUUUCAGAUAAAAAAAUAAAUUAAAAAAAACUUAAAAAAAUAAAUUAAACUCCAUUAUCAAACACAACACUCCCUAUCACGGGUUGGGCUUGGAGCUCAUUGGCCUUUCACAUGGUUUGUUCGAUCACUUACAUUAGCAGCAGCGUGUAUGUUUGUGCCUCGCUUUCAUCAAACUAUUCCCGGCUGGCUUGCCUGUCGUAUAAGUUGAUCUGUUGUCUCAUUCAACCAUAACUCAGGUGACCAGACCAAUUAGUACUCCACCUAUAUUGCUAGCUACAAUAAUAUCCAUCAUGGGAACAGCAGCAGCCAAGUGAAGCAGGGAACUGACGGCUAAUGAAGGUGGUUCAAAAUAUCGCUGGAUAUGGUUGAGGCAGGGACACCACUGAUAGUCAAGAAUUUAGGAAGAGACUGGGAGUGGUUGCUGGUGUUUAAUGAGAGAGUCUAAGAUCGAGGUGACUUGAGCCACUUCCUUUAACAUUGGCAACUUCACAAAUAUAGAAUUAAUGCAAGAGUCUCCUUCAACAAUCACAUCUUGAGAGUGAAAAUGGGAGGUGAAUUGGGCAACUUUCUCUUGGUAUGGGUAUCAGCUGUGGCAUUACUUUGCUACUGUCACAAGAUAGGUCAGUUAACCCACAAAGGCACAACCAGGCUUCUUGCAAUCUUGCCAGUCGUAUGCAUCUUUCUUGUCAUGCCUCUCAGCAUCCUUAGUCUGAGUCUUAGAGCUAUUACUUCUUUCUUCCUUUGUUGGCUUGCCAACUUCAAGCUCCUUCUCUUUGUCUUCGAUCAAGGCCCUCUAUCAUCCAACCCGCCCCUCUCCUUGCCACAUUUCAUUGCCUUUGCUUGCUUUCCUAUCAAGAUUCAACAAGACCCUACACCAACAGUAUCACCUCAUGAUCAAGAGCUUGUAAAUGUUGAUGAUAAUCAAGAUCUUGAGAAGCUCGUGAGUGUUGAAAACAAAGACACCCCAUCUCAAAAAAUCGCCCCGAAAGGCCUUAAAUCUCAUCUAAACUACGCCUUGAAGUUUUUCCUACUAGUCAUAUUUGGUUACAUCUAUACCAGGGAAGACUAUUUCCAUCCAAAAUUUAUAUUGUUCCUCUAUGUUAUCCACAUUUAUAUUGCUCUAGAAUUAAUCUUGGCCAUGUUUGGAGCCCUAGCUCGAGCCUGUCUCGGUGUAGAACUCGAGCCACAAUUUGAUGAGCCGUACCUCGCCAGCUCUUUGCAAGACUUCUGGGGUAAGAGAUGGAACCUAAUGGUCACUAGCAUCCUGCAUCCAACUGUAUACAGUCCAAUCCGGUCAACUUUUAGCCGUUGGAUAGCAAAGAAGUGGGCUUCAUUACCAGCUGUGAUUGGCACAUUUUUAGUCUCUGGUCUCAUGCACGAGCUGAUUUUCUACCACAUUGGACGCCAAAAGCCAAAGGGGGAGGUCACAUGCUUCUUUCUCUUGCAUGGUUUUUGCUUGGCUAUUGAAAUAGGUAUCAAGAGAGAAAUAAAGGGUACAUGGGGGUUGCCUAGAGUAGUGGCAGCACCGCUUGUGGUGGGGUUUGUGGUGGUUACUGCCAUGUGGUUGUUCAUGCCCACCGUGGUUCGUUGCAAGAUUGAUGCUGAGGCACGGAUGCAGACUAUUGCUUUCAUUAAUUUUGUGGAAGGUGUUUAUAUCUACUUGAAAGAUGUUUUCAUAGAUCAUAAAUUUUAGACUAGUAAGUAAUUUUGUCGCAAUAAUUAUAAGUAGUUGAAGCCAGAACUUGUAUCGGCAAGCACAUUUAUAAACUUCAUUUAUUAAAAUCUUAGACCGGUACAAAUUUUUGUUUAAUAAUUGCUACGAUAGUUUAAUGCAAUAUACCAGCUGUUUGAUAAAAACCAUGAUCAAAAUAUUUAUUCGAUAUGCCCAGUACUUUACUGCAAUAUACCCUAGGAUAUCGUCUAAGUAGCAUAAAAAAAUAACAUUUGGUUUCUAUCUUCUGUAUAACGACAAUGAAUAUUGAAUUGAUAAAAAUAUGGUUAGUUAAAAAAUUAAAAAUAUAAAUACAAAAAUAUUAAAUAAAAUAAUGAAUUAGUAGAGACAAGAGAUAAAGGUAGACAAAUAACCAAUUAAAAUUAAAAGUUUAAAUUGUUAGGUGGGGUCUUAAAAUAUGAUUUAUAUUAAUCUUUAAUAUAUUUUUCAAGUAAAAGUUUUUUGAACUUGAAACUUUUACAUAUCUACACUAACUUGUGCUUGAUUUUUAUUAAAUAAAUAGAGAUUAUGAGAUUCGAAUUCGUGAACAUUUGGUCAUUAAGACUCUAAUACUUUGUUAAAGAACCGAUUCAAUUUUAAAGUUUAAAUUAUCAGGUGAGAUCUCAAGAUAUAAUUUCUACUAAUCUUUAACAAAUAUAAACAUCUUUAACAAAUAUAAAUAUAAAAUAAAUAUGUAUCUAGGAUAACUUGUAGGAAAUACAUCAUCGUUAUCUUAAUAAAAACAAUUGUAUUUAUACUAUUUAAAAUAUUAUUUUAUUAAUUUAGAUUUUUAAAAUAACAUUUUCUAUUCUAAUUAUUUUAAAAUCAUGUUUGAAACGUGAUGUAAAUUAUAUUUUUUUAAUUUUUAUAUUUAAAAUUAAUUUUUUUAUGUUUUUAAAUAAUUUUGAUGUGUUAAUAUUAAAAAAAAGUUUAAAUUUUUUUCGUAAUAUAUUUUUAAAUAAAAAACAAUUUAAAUUUUACUUCCAUGCAAACUCAAAUAAUAAGUUACUUGCAGUUAUUAUGACUAGCUGUAGGGGGCGGUGCUGCUAUGUACUAUAAACAUAAUUGAUGCAGCAGACAGCCAUAGUACCAAGACGUGGCAGAAAUUCAAUGACUUAUACUGAGACCACAGUUACACAACCCAGAUAACGAUGUGUUUGGGUGUGCGUGGUUAAGUCGUUUUUCUAUUUUUUUUAUUUAUUUAAAAUUAUAUUAAAAUAAUAAUAAUAAUUAGUUUUUUAAUUUUUUUCACAAACAUCCAUUUUAGCUGCACUUCUAAACAGAGUCUUACAGCAAGCACAAACUCUAAUUUAUGUCCAUCUCUUUCAUAUAUUUGAGUCAGAACAUUUGGAUAUAAAUUAGAGAAGAAAAAAACCUUGAUCACUGUCACACUUUCUUCUUCUUCUUCUGUUCUUUCUAUUUCGAGUAAAUAUAUACUGCAAGGACGAAGGAGCCCUUGUCUAGAGUCGCACAUGUGCCCACAUAGAUCAAUAUUCACUCUGUUCGAAUACAGAAACAAGACCACUUCCUCCUCUUGAAUCUGGAUAGAAUUGAUAGAACCUGAAUCGCCCUCACAGUUUCUUCUUUUUGAUCUUUCAUUUCAAGCGUAUAUCUUGUGAGCCUCCCAUACCAAGAACAGUAUAAAACCUCGUCUUCAAGUCCGAAAACUUCUUCCCACCUCAAACAUUACAGUUGCUGUGUUUCAUUUCCUCUCAUUUACAACUGAUCGAAGCAAGGAUCAUUCUGUUGAGGCUUUCUUUGUCUUUUGCAGAAAUACUUUGCAGCCUACAUGAUUGUUGUUUUAUCAGUGUAUCCAUCCACGCCUUCAACUAAUAACUGCCAGAUAAAGGCACCAGCCCGCCUCUUCUUUGCGGAUUCAUAAAUUUUAUCAUACACUGUUUUCAACAAAACAUCUCUGUCAAACACUCCCUUCUCAUCCACGUGCCGACUUGAGCCGACUUCUUUGAAAAGAACUGGUUUCCUCAGCGCAAUGUCUCCAUCACUUAUAUGAGAAUCCACCCAAUGGGAAAGAUAACUCGUUUUCGCUUCCAAAUCAGCAUGUGGGAUCCUACAAUGCAUGGUAUAAAGAGAAACAAGAGUAUAUCUAUCAGGAAUUUAUAAAUAUAAAUACUUAACUCAUUUGUUUACUCUGUCCUUCAAUCAACUGCGUUACCAAUCAAUUGAACUGCACUAUAUAAAUGUAACUUCUAGGUUGCCAUAGUUAGCAACAUUUAGACAGCAUGGAGCCAAAAUCAAAUGAACAGCACUAUAUCUUCUCAAACGGUUGACACUGCAUCACUAUUUCAAGCUUAAAGUGAUCUUCCUAUCAGCUUACGUUAUGGGGGUCCUAACAUGGCAUCGUGACAGAUGGGUGUAGUAAACCAUUAUUCUUGUGUAGCUCAUCAUUAUUACUGGACCCUAAUCUACAAUACUCUGCCAUAUAAUGAACUGGAAAUAAAUUACGAACCACCUGUCUGGAUAUGCGUGAACUGAUGCAAAAUCGAUGUUGGAUAUUGCUGAGUUUGGUAUGAAGUCUGAUCCAAGUGAUGCUGCCCGAAUCCCAGGAUUCACUUCUGACUUGUUAGUUGUAUUCAGGCCAUAAAACCCUUCAAGUCCAACAGUCACCAGAUGUCUUUUAUCCAAGCUCUUGAUAUAUGCAGCCAUCUCAGCAAUCCAUGCCUUAAGCCAAAGGCAAAGCACUACAAUGAUUUCAAUCCCAUUUGAUUCAAAAGUAAACCAGAAAGUUUGCUUAAACAACAACGCAUAUCCUUUUGAUAUUGUUAAUAACAGAUAUGAACAAACCACCCCGCCAUCAUAGAGAACUAGAGAAAAUGAUAUUCUUCGGCUAAGAAUGCUUCCAUCAAACAGCACCAUCACCCUUCUCUCCAGAUUCCAGCCAAAUCCUUUAGUUUAUUUUUGAAAUUCUAUGCCAACAUAUACAGAAGAAUGAAAAUUCAAUGGUUCACCUGAAGUGCAGGAGCUGAAGAACUUGAUGAACACCGAGGCUCAUUCAUGAGCUCCCAGGCGAAAAUUGCCGGUUCUUCAGAGUACCUAACUCCACUUAAUGAAUUCUUUCUCUUCACAACUGCCUGGAAAAUGCAUAACAGAAAUUUGCAGUCAAGAGAUUAUCAUAAUGCAGCAAGAGAAGCAUAGAUUGCCAAGUCCCAAAUCUUGAAUGUCAGCUCUUGUGAAAUUUCAUUCCUAUUACUUGCUAAUACAGCAAUAAUUUUAGCUUAAAUUGAUCUAGCAGAUGAUGCACAAUCAAAUUUCAGAUGGUAAGUUAUAGCAUAACAUAUUAAGUUCACUAAUUAACUUAAACAAAUAGAGUCGUCACAAAACUCACUCAUAUUCAAUGCUCCCAUUCAUUUUACAAUCAAAUAAUGCCUGUUAAGUCAAAAACAAAUUCCAUGCAAUUGAUUAAAAUCCAAUGACUUAGCCUUGGAGGUGUGAAACAUAGCAUCUCACCUUAAUAUAAAUAAGCCUUGAAGUAAUCUUUAAUAACUGGGUUCGGAAAGAAUGAGUCAUCUGAUGAAGAGACAUUAACUCCAGCUUCCUUUGCCCACUUCACAUACUGAGUUUUUCCACCAAAUGCAACCAGGUUAUUCAGCAGACUGAGAAUUAACCUUCCACGAUUCCUUCUUGCUUCAACUAUCACAUAGUCCAAUCCCUGCAGACAAAUACCUUCAUUAAACACAAAUAGUUCCCAAAACUGCUUCAAGAUUAUUCCUUUAUAUGUCAUUGAAAAGCCCAUAAGCCUUUAACCACACAAUUGAGGCCAUUCAUUAAACUUAACCUCCCCUCCAAGAUCUGACAGCCAAUUGAAAGCAAAAAUCUUAAUUUUUACAACCUUGAGAAGUUUAUAACUUACUUUGAAGACCCUUUCGUUGAAGACACCAGGAGAGACCUGCAAAGCAUCAGGCCCAUGACCAUCACUGAAAGCCCAAGUCCUGCAAACAGUCAACCCCAUUUGAGAUCCUCUCUUAAGCAUCUCAGAAACCUUUGAUCUUGAUGAACUCCACACACUCUCCAUCAUCAACCAAUAUGAAUUCCACCCAUUAACAUAAAAUGCUGAUUCCCCAUAAUCAUCACCAUCAUUGAUGAUGAUGAAUUGAGUGGAGUCGGUUUAGACAAAUCCCAUCUUGGGUUGCCAUAAAAAGACGGGAAAACUGAGGCUGCCGUUACUGUUGUUGAAGUUAAGGUAAAGAAGAGAAAGUAGCAUGAGUAUUCCUAGGAAUGGAUACAGUCUUCUGUCUCUCCAUUGGGAGUCCAUUUUCCUGUUUUCUGAGCAGACACUGAAAUAUGUUUUUUAUUCUUUGUUCACGGUAAGUAAGGAUACAAACAAAAGCCACCGAGAUCGCCGUCGCUAAAAAUAUGAAAUCUUUUGCGGUCGUAAUUUAGGCGAUGACUGGGUUUGAAGAGUAUGGUUAGUGUUGUUUUUUAAAUUGUUUAUUAAAAUAUUUUAUUUUAUUUUUUAAAAAUUAAUUUUGAUAUUAAUAUAUUAAAAUAAUCUGAAAAAAUAUAUAAAAAUUAAUUUAAAAUAAAAAAAUAAAACUUUAAAUUAUUUUUAAAAUAUAAAUAUGAUUGAAUGUAGUAAUUUGUUUUUGUAUUUUAAAUUUUUUUUUAAAAAAUUAAAUUUAUUUUAAUAUAUUUCUUAAAAAAAAAACGAAUUCAACCAAAAUAAUCACCUGUUUUUGUCGGUGGCUAAGCUUUGGGCAACGGAGUCACUUUGUUGCUGUAAAUAUGAGGAACCGGGAAAUUACAACAGGCUUUAUACUUGCUGCCAUGACAAUUUUUUUGAUUGUUGAUAUUUCUCCGGCGGAAGCAGAGCUAUUCUCCGGUCAGCUUUCUUGCAUUUCCGGUUCUAAAAAUUGAUUAUACUUGUUACAAAUGUAUUAUUCAUUUUGUAUUUAAGAUUAAAAAUAUAUAUAUAUUUUUUAAGAAAUUUAGUCUCAAAUUUGAAUAAUAUUGAUUAAAAUUAACAUAUUUUAUUGAUUAUAGAUCAAUCCAUUCAUCCACUCAAAUUAAAAAUUAUAUGUUAAUUUUAUUUAUUAACCAUAUAUUAUUUCAAGUUCAAAUCAAAUAAAAAGCGGGUAGAAAAUUGUUCGGACGUAAAUAAACUAUUUAAAAUUCAAAGAAAUAAUUAGUUUUCACAGGGAAAUAUCAAAAUAAACUAAACAUUUCAUACAAGUUUUUCAUUUUGAGAAAAAAAAAAUGUUUUUAAGUAGUCGAUUUUGUUAUCUCAAUAGCUAAUAACAAAAUUUUGAGUAAUUGUUCAACAGGGAAAUAUCAAAAUACACUAAACAUUUCAUACAAGUUUUUCAUUUUGAGAAAAAAAAUUCUGUUUUUGUGAGGAGGAGGAAUACAAGUUUCUGGUAAUGAACAAAGCAAACUUUUGUUUAUGAUACAAGUUCAGUGAUUAACUUUUGUUUCUAUACACAGAGAUAGCAAAAUAAAAUUCAAAAAGUUUCAAUCAACGAAGAAACAAAAUAAUUUAUGAUCAUCACUCACUUGUACAACUAAAAGUUUUGAUCUUUAGGCACAAAAGGAUCAAAAGUUCCAAUCUUUCUUUCAUGGUUCUUUCAAAAACCUCUGCAAGCAUCUAAACCCAAGAUAUUGAGCACAAAACUUCUCCAUUUCUUCACCACCUCUCUCCAUACAAAUCUCCUCCUCCAUCUCCUCCAACACCAUAUCCCAUCCACCAUAAGGGUCCCACUGCCACCCAAAAUAGUCACCACCAUCAGCACCAACUUUUGCUUCACAUAUUGAGUCCAAUAUUUCCUGCAACCCCACAAUCCUACGGCUGACUUUCCUUCUUGCUUCUCUCACCGUUGGAUCAACCCCCGGUACUGAAUCGAGCCUCAGAAGCAAGCCCAUCAAGGCCUCAUUCAUCCCCAGCUUUUCUUUCUCGCUACUUCUUAUUGCAUCCACUGUUUCCUGCCGUUGGAUUUGGUUUUGUAACUGAUCAGCUUCAGAACUAACAGCUGAGAUUUUCUUGUAAAGGGUUCGGAUCAUAUGUGUCCUGUAGCAAGAUUGGAUCUUGGUGGCAGCAGAAGUGGCAGUGCUUGAUUGGGUGGUGGAUUUGGGGGAGGGGGGCUUGACGGGGAUUUCAAUGGUUUUUGUAGGGGUAGUAUGGUCAUUAUGGAAAGAGUAAGUGACUGUUGCGGUGGAGGAAGUGAAGUAGCUGAAAUUGCUGGAUGGGUUCAUUUCCUCAACCUUGAAAGAAAGAAGGAAGGAAGGAAGGAAGAAAAGACGGUCAGGGAAUGUCAGAUGAGAGUGAGAUUUUAUACAGAAGGUUUUGGAAAAUUUUGCAAUAAUGUCAAGGAUUGUUUGUGGGCUAACGUUUUGAUUCUUUAUCUUGAAUGAUCUUGCCGUUUAGCAGGGGACCCAUGAUUUGCUUUUGACAAACGGACAUGCUUUUUGGGCAAAUGACAGUGCUUUUGAUUCUGUGGUUGAUUUCUAUAACGUUUGUGAUGAAAUAGUAAAACUUUAUAUUGAAUUUGAGAUGUACACGACUGAAGUGUUUGGGCAUCACACGCACCCUUGCAAAAAUAAGACCUUUAUAUAAGAAAGAGUGAUGAAGAUUAUGUGUUUUUAUAUGGAAUUUUGUUUUGUGUGUUUACCGGGUAAUCUAAUAUAUUUAUACAUCUUAAUUGCAUGAAAUUUUCUUAUAUAAUGUAGAGUAAUUAUGGAGAAUAAUUAUAUUUUCUCACUUUAUAAAAAAAAAAAAUCUUUUACAUGAUAUUAGAAUAUUGAUAAUCAAAAUGGUCACAAGUUUGAAUAUUAUUAUCAUCAUUCUAAUUAAUAAAUUUAAACAUAAGGUAAUGUAAAUCCAUGUAAGUUUUAAACUCAAAUAGUUUUCACUCGAGAGCGUAUGCUAAAAAAUAAUAUAAAUUAUAUUUUAGAGUCUCAUCUAACAGCUUAAACUAUUGUGUUGAAUUGGUUAUUUGACAUGUUAAAAAACAAUAUAAAUUAUAUCUUGGAACUUCACAUAACAAUUUAAUUUUUUAGGUUGAGAUUGUUCUUUGACAUGAUUUCAAAGUCUUGAUGACCAAAUAAUUAUGAGUUUAAAUUUCACCACUCUUAUUCUAAUUAAUAAAAAUUAAGCACAAGGUAGUGUGAACAUGUGCAAGUUUCAAACCCAUAAAGGUUGACAUGACGUGUUAGAUAACAAUAUAAAUUAUAUUUUGGGACCUCACCUAACAGCUUAAGUUUUUAAGUUGAAAUAGUUCUUUGAUAGUGAAUCUAUAAAAUGAGCUUGUUGAUUGUUAUACUUCAUUGUCCCAUUGGUGAAAAAUGUUGGCACUCACAGGUAUUUGACAAGAAAGGUUAGCGUCAUAUUAACAAGGCGUGUUCCAUACUUACUGUUGGUGAUAGUUAUUAGAGAGAAAACUAAAUGUCGCCCCUGACCUCCAAGAGGUCUUAAUAAUGCAUUGUGGUGUGUGUCAAUACUAAACAUCCUGGGAUGGAUUUGCACAGGAUCGAGAUUCAAUCCUAGUAGUUAGAUCGAGGUCCAAAUACGAGACAAGGAUUUUCAUUUAAGCUUGACAAAACAAACAGGAUGUCCUAAACGGACAACCAUCCCUCUUGUUUGGGCUAUGACCCAAACAAACAGUAACAUCAUCAUGAUCACUCUAAUUAUUUUGUAUAUUAUUAUAUAAAACACUAAAAUGUGUGGUGUUUUCUUUAUAGUAGCUGCACUAUGGACACACAAUCAGUGUAUUGUGGACUCACAAUGCAAUGAGUUUUUUUCAUCAUUUUUUAUUUUAUUUAGUCAUUUUAGAUAAAAAUUUAAGGCUCAUUUAAGUUAAAUUGUUAAGGAAAAACAAAAUUGAAAGACAAAGAACUAGGGUGAAAAAGGUGGGUAAAGUGGUGGAAAUUUCAAAGUUUGCACAUAAAAAAUCACUUUCACCCUUCUACUUUUCCAAUGAUACCUUUAUAGUCCCUCAAGAUUUUAAAAUUUAAUUUUUGCACAAAACUUUAUUUUUAUUAUUUUUAAUUCCUGGUUUGAAAGAUGAGAGAGAAAGAUAUAUUGGAUUCCAGUGAUAAAUAGAAAAAGUUUCAGCUAAUACUGAUUCUAGCAACAAAACAAGGUCGAUCUUGAUGUAUAUGAAUUCCAUUCAAUGAGAAACAUUUUACUUGUAUGUUAUUUUCUCCUUGAAAUGGCCUGAAAAAAUAAAUCUUGAUGUUCACGAGUUGCAUUCAACACGUCAUCCACCUCUAAUAAUUAAAAAUAAAAUAGAGUUAAUGAGUGGGUCAAGCCUAUUUGUAUCGGUCUACAAUUGUUUUUUUUUUUUCAGCCACGUGGAUUGGCCUAUAAGACUAGCCUAGUUACUUUAUUUUUUUCAUUUAAUAUAUUUUUCAUACUUGUUAAGCCUAACCCAAAACAAAUACAGGGAACGGGUUAGGAAGGUCAACUUGGAGUAAUUCGAGCUCAUCAAAAAAAUUAUAUUUUUAAAAUAAAUCAAAAUAGCAUUGUUUUUUAGUUUUUUUAUAGAAAAAUUCAACAAGUUUUGUACUGGGUUUUGAUCGGAUUUUAUUCAAGUCAAAUCGGAUUUUUUAGUGGAUCACAUUGGGUCAACUCCUCCCUUUUUUUAAACCUGAUCUAACCUAGGCUCAGGGUCACCAAGUUGGCCCGGGUUCUUAUAGCGAUAGUAUUUUCAACCCCUUAUACUUAAAACAAUAUUAUUGCAUCCUUUAUUUGGUAUUUAAAUGUCUUUAUAUAUAAUUUGACUUAAAAGGACCUUUUUUUUUAUCAAACUUUUAAAAGAUUAGCCAUGCCUUUUAUUUUAGCCCCGCGAGUCACCCUUGUUUUUUAGUCUCUUUCUUUUUUUUUAAUUCUUUUUGUUGUUUUGUAUAGGAAAAAAAACAACGCACCUAUUAGGGUAUAGUUAAAUGAAAAAAAAAAGUUGUUAGUUCUCGUGUGUUGCAUGACGUAGAUAAUGAAUUUGCCAAGUUUACUGAGGGUUAAUUUGAGUAUUGUAACUUUUUUUAAUUUAAUAGUUGUAGAUUUAUCGUGAUCUCAAAUAGAUGCUCUAAUAUUUAGUUGGUUCUUAAUUUUACAAGUAUUUAUUUUUCUUAUCAUAUAAUUAAGUAAAAGAUUAUAUAAAAAAUUAUUAAAUCUAAUUGAGUCCAUGAUCUAAGACACAUCUUUGGUUAAUUAAAUUUGAUUGGUUAGAAAUUAGGCUUAAUAAUUUAUUUUAAGUACACAAAUAAUUCUUAAUUUAUUUAAUUAAAACUAUGUAUGAACUUUUAAAUUUAUGAUUAAGAUUUUUUUAUGUAAAAAACAUGCAUGUUAAUGUUAUUGAAAAAUAGUAAUAAUUGCAUUAGUAAGAUUUGUUUAUUCAUUAUAUAAGCUUCAAAUUUAAUACAUGAGAGAUUCUUUGAAGGAGUGAGUUCAAUAACAGGAUGUUCUUAAAAUAUUGUUAACUUUGAAAUCUUUAAUUCAUGGAAGUUGAAUUUUGAUGAUCUGGUUCUAUGUCCGUUAUAGAUUUUCAAAUUACAGCGCCUUUUUUCGCCAACAUUAUCCUCAAAGGUUGCUCAGAAACAUGUGGGGAUAAAAAAUCUUUGGUCAGAUUCAACAUGGUGCAUUGUGUUCUUCAGGCCGAUCGAGGUAUACUUGGAAGCAUGAAAAUAGACAGAAAUGGAGUCGAAGCUCAAUCCAAGACAGCCUUAAAUGGUGUAAGAAUCUGCGAAAAGAACUCAAAAUCAAACCCCAAUUCUUAGUGCAUUGAAACCCAAGCUCUGAUUUACCAGAGAAGGGUUAGAAACAAACAGGCACAAGAUCCAGAUUCUAUUACACCUGGGGGUUGAAUAAAUUACAGAUUUCACUGGAUUCAACUACUGGAUACACAAGGUCACGAUAAGAGGUGUCUUUGGAUCUGUUCGUACAUCAACGAAAAACUUAAAACGUAUCUCGACAUCGAUUUUGCUGCAUUAAACGUAUACACAAUGAACAAUAUGCUUCUUCAACAAUCAACAGCUCUACUCGAGUAAGGGAUUUAUUGGAUUAUCGCACAGCCGGACAUCGGCUGAUGUAGGCUCAGAGCGCAAUCCAACAUUAAGGUGACGGGAGGAUUCUUCCGGCGAGAGCAAGUGCCAAACCCAACACCGUAACCAUCUCCCUGCAACGGAUUAAAUUUCAAGUAGUGUUUUGCAUUUCACGCGAAACAGAGGAAGGAAAUGCACGAGGAAAGAACCUUGGAUCAUCUCCAUUUAGUGACAGUGGCUUUUGCCCAUUCCAUGUUAGCUCUAACAGGCAUCCACAAGAUAGCUCCUGCUUGACAAUACAAGGGGUUGCUGUUGUUCAGUAGAAGAUGAUGGAAGGAAAGACAAACUGGAAUUCCAGGCAUAGAUCUGAUCGAAGCCUCACAGGUGCGCUGAUUGUUCCAGCUCCAAGUAGAUCAGAUGGUGUGUAUGCUGUUGAGUCACUGGUCCAAUAUCUGUUAAGCAAAUAAGAAUUCUGAGAAUAUGGUUGCUUAAAUAAUAUGAUUUCUUACGUGGAUGGAAAAAUCUAUAUAAUAAUCCGUAACUUCAACUCUUUGGGCACAGCUCAGCCUGCUUGGUUUGGUUAAUGUCUUAAAAUAAAAAAGAAAUUGAUAUAAAAAAACAUAAAAAAAAUUAUUUGGUUAUAAAGAUGGGAUAGAGAUUAAAAAAAAACAAAGAAAACACAUUAAUAUAUAUAUAUAUAUAUAUAUAUAUAUAUAUAUAUAUAUUAACAUUUUUAAAUUAAAAUUAUGUUAUUUCAAAACAAAAAAUAUAUAAAGAUAUAUCUUUUUAUUUCAGCUAGUUAAUUUAUUAAUUAAUGAGAAAGAUAUUUGUCUUACAAUAAAAAAAAAUAUACAAAAAAGCUAAACAUAAAUUGAGGGGGAAUAGAGAGAAAUUAUAUAUAACAAUUUUGAAAUAAUUUUUUUUAAAAAAUAAUAUAUAUUUUUUUCCAAUUAUCUUUAUCUAUUCUAUUAUGAUACAGUACUCAAACUUCUGAAUAUUUAAUAUUGAGUUAUAUGAUAUUUUUUAAAAAUAUUUUUUAUUUUGAAAUAUAUUAAAAUAUUUUUUUGAUAUUUUUAAUACUUACAUAAUAAAAUAAUAAUUAUUUACUUUUUUAAACUAAAUAUAUUUUUAAAAUACAGUUUCAAAAUAUGAAAGUGAUGAUAUAAAAAUGUAUUUAAGAUUAUUGUAAAUUUUGCUUUUCACAGUACUAUCUAUUUAAAAAUAAAUUAAAACAUAUAUUUUUAAUUUUUUUCAUAUCCAAAUAUUAAAAUAAUUUAAAUACAUAAAACAAAUAAUUUAAAAAAUAGCUGAAUAAAAAAAACAAUUAUCCCCACGUUAAGAAAGUGCUGCACGGUAAAAGUUAGUACGGCGGAUAAAAAACAAGCGACGCCGUUUCUGACUCCUCUCUCUAUAAAUAAACCUUCUGUUUGACCUCAUUCAUUCUCUCUUCGAAGUGCAAAAUCACAAAAUCCUAAAAUCCAAAAGCAAAAAUAAAAUAAAAUCAACGGAUUAGUAAUUAAUUAACUCAAUAUUUUAAAAAAAAUAAAUAAAUUGAAAAGCUUGUAUAAAUCCUAAUCUUUCUCGAAGGAUUAGUCUGCGAAAUGUCGUUCGAUCUUCUGUUAAAGCCGUCGUGUAGCGGCUGCGGCAGCACCACAGAUUUGUACGGAAGCAAUUGCAAGCAUAUGACGCUUUGCUUGAAUUGCGGCAAAACAAUGGCGGAGAAUCGCGGCAAAUGCUUCGAUUGUGGCACUACUGUCAGUCGCUUGAUUCGAGUACAGUAUCUGUCUCUAUUUGAUUUUGUUUAUUUUUCGGAUUUUUUUUCAUCAUUUUUUCGAAUAUUUUUUGGUGAUUUUUAUGAGUGAAAUUUGAUUUUUUUUCCCCGAUUUUUUAUGAUUUCUCGGGUGAUUAUUAGGAGUAUAAUGUUAGGGCGAGUACGAGUAGCGACAAGAAUUAUUUUAUAGGAAGAUUCGUGACAGGAUUGCCGAGUUUUUCCAAGAAAAAAAAUGCGGAAAAUAAAUGGUCUUUGCACAAAGAAGGAAUCCUUGGUCGUCAGAUUACUGAUGCUUUGAGGGUAAUAAUGAUUUUUUUAUACAUAAUUUUAGUGUUUUAUUUUUUUAUUUUUUUAUUAAGUAUAGAGUAUUUAGGUUUGUAAUUGAGGAUUUUGGAUUGUGUAGGAGAAGUUUAAGAAUAAGCCUUGGCUAUUGGAGGAUGAGACUGGGCAGUCUCAGUAUCAGGGUCAUCUUGAAGGGUCGCAAUCGGCGACUUAUUAUCUGUUGAUGAUGACUGGGAAAGAGUUUGUUGCUAUUCCUGCUGGUUCAUGGUAUGUGUGAUUGUUAUUUUUAAUGACUUUGGUGUUUGUGGUUCCUCACUUGAGGUAGGGUGGUUGUAAAAUGUAUGAAUUUGGUGCUUGUGAUUGAUGUGGUAAUGAUGAUAUGUGGAAUAGGUACAACUUUAACAAGGUAGCGCAUUAUAAGCAACUUACGUUGGAGGAAGCAGAGGAGAAGAUGAAGAAUAGGAGGAAGACUGCGGAUGGGUAUGAAAGGUGGAUGAUGAAAGCUGCAAAUAAUGGAGCUGCUGCAUUUGGUGAGGUGGAGAAGGUAGAUGAUAAGGAGGGUGUUUCAGCUGGCGGGAGAGGUGGGCGUCGGAAAGCAAGUGGUGAUGAUGAUGAGGGAAAUGUGUCUGACAGGGGAGAGGAAGAUGAAGAGGAGGAGGCAGGAAGGAAGAGUAGACUCGGACUCAAUAAACAGGGUGGUGAUGAUGAUGAAGAAGGUCCAAGAGGAGGUGAUCUUGAUAUGGAUGAUGAUGAUAUUGAGAAGGGUGAGUGUUUUUCCUCAAACGCCAUGUGGGUGCCAAUUUCUUGUAUAAAUGCUUAAAUGAUUUCCUUAUGUUCUUUUAAUUGCUGGUUUUUUUUUUUAAAUGUCUGCUAGUCUUUUUUUCUGCCUUCUUGAAAUCAAUACUAUCUUCUUUCUGAUGCACAUUAAACAUGAUACAUUGCUUUUUUGUUCUUUUUUCAUGGGCGUGCUACGAGCUUCAACUGUGUUGAAUUUUACACUGAUUUUUUUUUUGUAAACCAUACAUGGCAAUUUAGGUUUUCUAGUAAUUCCUACCUCAGGCACAUGUAUUUUAUGGUCUUAGGUGAUGAUUGGGAGCAUGAAGAAAUUUUCACCGAUGAUGAUGAAGCUGUCGCCAUUGAUCCUGAGGAACGGGAGGAUUUGGCCCCAGAAGUUCCUGCUCCUCCCGAAAUCAAGCAGGUCUGUAUUAGCAAACAAUCUUGGUGCUAAUCCAAACUACUUGCUUUUGUGCCUCAACUUAUAUAUGUUCUUUGGGCAUGUUGGCAUAUUGCUAUUUGCUUGGUGUGUUAUAUAUGUAUUCAUGUAAUGCUGGUUAGGCUAGUUUGGUUCUUCUGAGAGUAGUUUGAAAAUGUGGAGAUUUUAGUCAGAACUUUUUGUAAUGUUGACUGAUAUAUGAAAUGGAAUUUUAAUUUUGGAGCACAAUUGAUAAAGGGGGACAUUAUUAUUGAGAAGCACACUGGGUUUUUUAUUUUUAAUGUAAUGCUGAUAAUAACAGUAAGGUAUUUGCAUGUUCUUGCAGGAUGAAGAUGAUGAGGAUGAGGAGAAUGAGGAGGGAGGACUGAGUAAAUCUGGGAAAGAGUUGAAGAAGCUACUAGGGAAAGCAAAUGGUCUAAACGAGUCAGAUGUAGAAGAUGACGAUGACGACGAGGAUGUGAGUUUUUGUGAUGGCUGAUUGUAUGCAUGUUUAAUUGGCAACCUAAGAGCAUUUUCAACAUUGCUUUGCUGUGCUUGUUUUCUAUUUGCUUUUAUUUUUUGCUUCUAUUUUCCUGGUCCAAUAUGAAAGUGCAUUGAGCGAUCAGGGGUGGAAAUUAAUUUUUUUUAAUUCUGAGAUGUCAAUCAACUUAUAUGAUGCCUGAUUUGACAUAUUAUUUUGUAAAGCUUUCUUUGGUAUUCUUGUUAAUUUUUGUAUCUUCUCUCACUUACAGUGCUCUUGUUUGGUCUUAUCAGAUGGAUGAUGAUAUUUCUCCGGUUCUGGCUCCAAAGCAGAAGGAUGUUGUGCCGAAGGAGGAAGCUGCUGACAUUAGUCCUGCAAAACCAACACCUUCAGGUUCUGCUAAGGGAACCCCUUCUACCUCCAAGUCUGCCAAGGGGAAAAGAAAAUUGAAUGGUGAAGAUGCAAAAUCUUCCAAUGGUGCACCUGUGAAGAAGGUGAAGACAGAAAAUGUAAGAUGUUUUUUCAAAUAUACAUCUAAAACAGUGCGCUAUGCUAUCAAAUGUCUGUAAUAACCAAUCUUCCUAUCAACUUUAAUGUUCUCUUAAAGCAGGAAGUAAAACCUGCCGUGAAAGAAGAAAGCUCGCCUGCUACUAAAGGUACUGCAACUCCUAAAGUAACACCGCCAUCAUCAAAAACAGGGUCAACAUCAGGUUCUACUGGUCCUGUCACUGAAGAAGAGAUCAGGGCUGUUUUGUUGCAAAAUGGGCCUGUUACCACACAGGAUCUGGUUGCUAGGUUUAAAUCACGACUAAGGACUCCUGAGGUAUGCUCUUCUUUAGCAUUGUGCAAGCUUGCUUCAUAUUGCCUGCCACUCAAAACUGACCUGUUUGCUGUGCUGUUGCAAGAUUUUCUAUGGAAGCUAUGUUUUCAGCUAGUACCAUGCAUUUUUAUUUAUUUAUUUUUUCUAAAACCGGUUUAACUUUAGAUCAAAUUACAGUUACCCUUAGUUUUUAUGCUUAUGAUUUGGUAAUUAUGCUAUCCAGUGCUUCACUGCUGAUUACUCUUUAGGAUUAUCAGUCCGGUUAUGCAUGCUCUUAAGAAUUUGUGUUGUUCAUGAUGGGAUAAACACAAUUUCAGGUUGGAAAACAUGUGCUUAGAAAACUGUUCUAGAAUGUCUGAAUCUCAUGCCAGGUGAUUUUUCUUAUCAUUAAGGGGUGUGGGUGGCUAAGUUUUUGCAUAGAACAUGGGGCUUCUACCAGUUCAACCAAGGUUGGGUUGGUGGCACAGGAUAAUAAUAUAGAUAGGAUGGACUGAAGAUGUAUCUCCUUGUUGCUUACUAUAUUCAUUCAUUCUACUGAACGAGAAUUUCUGCUUCCUCCUUUGGAAGAACAAUAAAGUAGCAUCACCUGAAAAGUUUUGGAUGCUUUCAGUUCCCUCUCUCCUCUCUGUUUUCUGACUGGUGGAAGUUAAUUGGUGCAGGACAAGAAAGCUUUUGCAGAUAUUCUGAGGAGAAUUUCUAAGAUUCAAAAGACCAGUGGAUCUAACUAUGUUGUGCUGAGGGACAAAUGAUAGCUUUCUCCGUGUUCCCAGAAUUUCACUUGCUCAGAUUAGCCCAUGAAACCGCUAACUAUCCUGUAAGUCUAUAACUGUGCUUGCUAAAAAAGAAAAUAAAAGGAGAAGGAAAAGAAUCCCUUUAGCCUUCUGUAACUAAUAUCCUUGUAAGCUGCAGCAAAUUUAAUGAUGAAAUUGUAAAAUGUUAACUGUAGUAAAAUGUACUUGUAAAAUGUAGUGUACACUGACUGUGUAUUUUGUUUGGAGGCUGCUAGAUGUGUACUCAUUAACUCAACAAUAUGCUAGAAACUGAUGCAUCCUGGUCUCAAUUGAUGUGUUCCUAAUUUCAAGCAAAUGAUUUUCCUUAGACUUGAAUGGUAGCAAUCUUGCAUGGUGUGUCCAAACCCUACAUCUGCUAUGGCUUGUUUCCAAACCAUGCCUUGAUUUGAUUUUUUUUGAGUUGAUGCUUGAUGCUGAUGGACGGUAGUGAAGAGCUUGGAGCACUGGUUCUGUUUGUGUACAUAUGAGCAAAGCACCCAUCAGGCCUUUAAAGGCAACCCCAGACCAAAACCUACACUAGGAACUAUAAAAAUGGCUGCUCUAGUAUAAUCUAGCAGUGCUAAUUAAACAUUAUUCGUCCAAUAAUUUUCUGAAAAAUUUCAUCCGUUGAAAUGACAGGCUUCCAUUGGUGGGUGUUACAAGUCAAAUGAUUGAAAUUCUGGUAACAUUAGCAUCAUUCUAAUUUGCUAAUAUUUUUAGAUAAUAGUUGUUAGACUCCACUACCUAAGGCCCGGAUCAUUAAUUUGCUAGUUUGUGGGUUAAAUCCGAUGAUUAUUUGAGUUUUUUUUUUUUAAUGAUAAUAUGUUUUGGAAAAAAAUUGUUUUGAUUUUUUAAUUAAUGAAAUGAUAUUGUUUGAACAAAAGAGUUUUAAAACGACUUCAUUUUAGAUGAAUUUAAAAAUCGUUUGAGUCAUGUUACUGGUUGACAUAAAACAAACUCGAUUCGAGCUAGGCUUAGAGUUAUCGAGUUGAUAAUCGAAUUGUGUUUAAUGUCUUUUCAAGGUGUAUCUAAAUUAAAAUUUUAAUAUUUUUCAAUCUAAAUACAUUAUUUUUAAAAGCACUUUCAUCCUCUCAUGUGUAAGAAGGUUGGUUAAGGAUUAAAGGGAGAAGAAGGGUGCUUUCAUUAGUAUAGAACAUUAAAUCAAACGACCAGGAAUAAUAAUAAUAAAAAAAAAAACUUUAUGGACAUAUUCCUUGCAAAAACCAAAGAAUACAUAGGUCCAAAUUAACAUAAUUUUUGUAAGUUUUCCAAGUUUUUGCUGCCAUAAAAAUCACUACUAUAAAAUCCAAAAACAAGAAGCAUACAAAAGCUAGGAAAAUCCAAUCUAAAUGCCCAUAUAGGACAACCAAAAUCCAGCCAUCAAUAAAGCAAAGCUUGCACCGAAGUGGGAUGGAGCUGAACUUUCUGGUGGGGCAGCAAUAGCCUUAUCAGAGCCUUCUGAUGCGACUUGUGCGGUGGUGGUAUCAGUUCUGGCUUCAGGAACCACCACCUCUACAUGUAAUUUCAGGCCAUUCUUGCACUUGUCAGAACUGCUGCUUGUGAAGUAACGGACCCCUUCUCCAUCAAGAGUGAUGCCAUCACUGUCAUCAGUGUACAUUCUGAUUGGAUUGCUCACAUCACACGUUAGGUAUUCUUCCUUUGUCUCUACCUCAGCUAUCCUACCCUGUGCUGCAGAGUGGGUGAACCCUGAUCUCCCCACAGGUCAAAUAUAUUAUUACUAGCUCAUCUCACUUGUCCUAAUACAUUCCCAAAAUCACUCUACCGACUAAAAAUUAAAAGCUGAAUUACUUGUAUUGAUUAAAAAAAAAAGCUUCAAGUCCCGGAUUUAUAAUCCUUUAAAUCCAAAUACUCUAAAAACUAAAUUUCAAUUACACGAAUCCACUGCCAAACAUACCCUUGUUAAUAAAUAUUAAGACAUUUGGGAAUUCCAAUAUUGAAAAGAAAAGGAAAAAACUAAAUGGAGGAAUAACCAUUAAUUCAACUCUGAAAAAUAUUGAGAGAGAGAGAGGGCUUACAAAUUUUAUCUCCAACUCUGAAAGUUCUAGCAGAGGACCAAGAACCAAUAUCAGAAUAAGGGUGCCAUCCACGAUCCCCUCCAACUACAUGGUGCACCUGGGCUCCAUCAUUAAGGCUCACUAGGACUAGAACCAGAACCAGAACCAUCAAUAUCUUCUUGGUCAUUGCCAUUUUCACAGCACAACAAACUUUCUUCUCCUAGAAGGAAAGGGGAAAAAAAAGUUAGAGUCAGAAGACUGGUUGCUAAGAGUGAAAGAGAGCGUGUCCUUUCAAUGAUAUUGCACUAAAGAAGAGGGUAGAGCCCACUUUUAUUAAACUAGCCCGGCUCAUGAGUUGGCAUGAGUCACGGUUAACACCGGAACUAGCCAGGACCUGGUUUAAAUCCGGUCAUUAAUCUGUGACUUGAUCGAGUUCUCGUCAGAACUCAUUGAUUUUUUGUAAGAAAAAUUAAUAACAACAUUGUCUUUAUGGAUAAACCAACCCGUGACUGCUGAGUCUGGGUCAGGUUUAUAGAUAUGGUGGAGCCUAGAGGGUUUGGUUUCCUUUCCUUAGCAGCUUCCUUUCAAAAGCUUACAUAAGAGCAAAGAAUCGUAGGUGGCUUGGCUGUAGUUUGCUAGAGCCUGUGAAUGUGUGUCCACAGAGAUAGAGUACUCCUUUGUUUCCAUACUUUUUUAUUUUUAUUUUUUUUAUUUCGGUAAUUGUGAAUCGUUCGGACCAAUUUAUAUAUAUAGAUUAAUUCUUUGAUGUUCUAAAGUUAAUAAUUAUAUAAGUUUUAGUGAUUAUGAGAUUUGUGAAACUUAAAUUAAUAAUUUCUAGAAAAUAAAUUCAGAACCUAACCACUUAAAUUUUGAUCUAUAAAAUUGUUUUUUACUCUUUAAAAAAUUAAAAUUUGUAUUUUUUCUAUAAAAAAUUUUAAUUUCAGAAUAAUAUUGAUUAACAUAGAUCCUAUAUAUAUAUUUUGAAAAUCAACCACAACCACACUUCCAAACAGGUUUUAUUAAUAUAAGGUAUGUUUAGAAGUGUGGUUGUGAAUAUUUUUCAAAGUUUUUUUCAUUUUGAAAUGCAUCAAAAUGAUAUUUUUUUAUUUUUUUAAAAUUAUUUUUGAGAUCAGCGCAUCAAAACGAUCCAAAAUAUAUAUAAAAAUUAAUUUUUAGUAAGAAAAAAAAUUAAAUUUGUAUAUAUACUGGAAAAAAAAAUAUAGGAGGUAAUUAAUUGCGAAGUCAUGUAAAUGGUACUGGUGUAAUGUAAAUUGUAAUUGCUUUUCACUGAAGCAAUACCAGACGAAAUGUGGAAGAAAUUUAUGAUGAUAACGACUAGAACUCUCUUAUAACAUGAAAAUGAUAUGAUAUAAUUUAUGACGCAUUUUAUACAUUAAUUAUCACAUUUGUUUUUGAAUGAAAAGAGAAAUAUCAAACUAAUACUAGAAAAUAAAAUACUAUACAGCAUGAAUUCCAAGAAUAUAAUUCAACAUGAUAUUAUCGCUGUUGAAAUUUUUAUUUAAAACACGGUUAAUAAAUAUAUUUAAUAUUAAAUUAAAAAUGAGGUUAAUUUACUUUUUUAGAUUAAAACUUGGUUAAAAUUUAAUCUUUAAAUUAUAAGUAAAUAAAAAAUUAAUCUCAAAUAAAUUUUAGUUGAUAUAUUUUGGGAAAACUCAUAACCUUUUAAAAGCUCUAUCUCACAAAAAAAUAAAUUUUCUAGUGAUUUAUAUACACUGAGAAUAUAUAAAGUUUAAAUUAGAUCCAAAAUACACCCUAGUUUUUAGAAAAAAGAGAAUUUAAGCAAAAUGAAUUUUAGAUUUAAACUCACAUGCAUGCAACUUUGCUCGGACAUGAAUUUGGGUUUUAUUUUAUAAUAUUGGUUUGAUAUUUUUAUUUUUGUUUUAAAAAAUGUGAUAAUUAAUGUUUAAAUUUUGUUAGCCUAACUCAUGAAUGAUAUAAUGUGAUCAGUCUACUUCUAGAAGAGUUUUCUUUAAAUUUUAACAGUUUUCUCAACUCAAAAACAUCUAAUUUAAAAUCAAAAUGUUCAAGUUUGAUUCUAAUUUUAUGUGGAUAAUCAAAAUUGAUAAUAAAAAUAAUUUAUUCCAUAAAUCACCAUGUGGUUGUGUAUUCAUCCGAUAAGAACUACAGUUUCUAUAAUUUUUUGAGCGUGUAAUAAAAUUAGAUAAAAUAUUAUCAGGUAUAAAAUUGAUAUUACAGUGCGAGUGAAUUUAAUUCACUCUAUACUAGUUUUUCGGGAAAAAAAAAUAUUGUUUAUAUCAUAGUGCGAGUGAAUUUAAUUCACUCUAAACUAGUUUUUUUUUUUUAAAAAAAAAAACUGUUAAAAAAAUGAACACACUGAAAAAAAAAAAACUAAAACUAUUCACGUGAACAGUGCAAAUGAAUUGCACUGUUCAUUAAGUGAACAGUGCAAUUUACUCGGGAACAGUGCGAGUGGAUUGCACUGUUCAUUGUUUUAAGUGAACAGUGCAAUUCUCUUGCACUGCUCACAUGAACCGUGUAUCAACGUACACUGUUCAUACUAAUUGCAAUGUUCAAUGAACAGUGCAAUUAACAUAAACAGUGCGCGAAAAGCAAGAAUUCCUUGCUUUUCUUUCCCUGCGUUUCAGACGUAAAAGUAACGUGGGACCCAUGAAUAAAAAAUCUUGUUUUAAUAUUUACCAAACGGCUAAAAUCUGUGGUUUAAUUAAAACACAGCCGCAGCCGCGUGAACAAAUCUUGGAUGCAAGCAAUGGUGUAAAUUCUCAGUGAAUCUUUUCCGAGAGCUCCUCCAAAGUCUCAAUCUUGUUUCCAUGCAAGGAGGUUUCCAAGAAACAUGUUUUUGUUGGUUUUCUGUGGAGAAAACAGAGUGGGAAAUUCAUUUAAGAUAAGAUAGACAAUAUCUUAUAAGCAAGUUCCAUAGGAUGCUUUUGUUUUUUACUUCACAUGCCAACAGGAAGAAGCUUACCAAGUCCAAGACUAGGUUUUAUUAUUUCCAUUAUUUUCAUAUCUACAAGCAACACUGAUUUUUUCGGAAUAAUCCAAGAAAACUACCUCAAUCCUGCACCAAACCUUACAAUGGAACUUGUUUAUCAAGCUCAAAUCAAAUGCUACUCGCGGAAUUCUGUUUGAAGUUGAAACAAAAGAAAAUACUGUCAAUUUUAAUGGAGUAGUCCAAUCUCCAUGGCAGAUUUAUGAUAAGGGGUUUGAACUUAGAUUCAUUGGAUCAAUUCAUGAAUUUCGUCUUUUUUCUCCAAACAUUUCUUUCUCAAAAAAUUUAUGGAGCUCCUCGUAACAUUUUCUUCCAUUCGAAGAUAAUGUUAAAGGGGAAAUACAGUAUUACAAUUUACACUAUUUAAAUGACAUAGAUAAAACAGGAAAGAAACAUCACAAACAAUAUCCAAGAUAAUCAAGAACAAGAAGCACCUGAAAAUAUACAUUACAAAGAGCAAUCUUGGUCACUCUCCAAUGAGUUCUGUGGAGAGUAAAAUAUGAUGAUAUCAGCCUCUUUAGGAAGUUUAAAGCUCACUCUCUUCUGUGACUUCCCACUUUGGGUUCUGCUAAUUGAACUCGCUACUGAAGAGGCACUGACAUAGUCUUCUUUAUCAUCUACUUGAUCAAGCCCCAAUAGUCUGCCCGUGGAAAAACUCACUCUUGCCUUAGUUGAAAUACAUGGGUGUACCCUUUUGGAGGACCCAUGUUUGAGAACACAAAGCUCUCCUCCUCUCAAUUGUUCUGCCUUCAAGCUAGGAGAGGUUAAAAGCCAGUCCUGUAGAGUCAACUUGCUCACUGUUGUACCCUUCUUCUCUUCUCGGAGCACAUGCCUUUUGUUCUGGAUCUUCUUCACUUUCAAGCAUUCUGGCUUCAAUAAUUCAACAAAGCGUGAUUCACGACCAUAGGAGCGGACUCCUUCUGGCUUCUGCUCGGAAGUUGAGAGCUUGCUCACUUUACAUCCCAUUGGAUUCUGCCAAAAGAAUCAGCAAUGUAAUACAUAAACGUGGAUGGAUAAGAUGGAGAAGGGCUUAAAUCAUUGUGUCUGAGCAAUGUAUAGGGGAAACCGCGACGGAGAGGCUGAGAAAAAGGUGUUUGUAAGAACUAUGUUGCCUUAGUAAUCCCCAUUAGGUUAAGUAUUAAUUUGUACUAAAUCUUUCAAUAUAAUUAAGUUCGCAUCAGUCAUGACGAUUGGCCAAUGCAAUCCUCACAUAUUAUUUGUUUUGUGCUAGCUACCAUUAUCUCAGUGUCCAUGUCAGUUUCUUGGCUUUUAAUCUUCAUAUUGAUCAGUUUGACAGACAAUGGUGAUAAACUCAAAGCAAUUCGUUACAAACAAUAUAUUCGGCUAAGUGAAGUUCAUUUUCCAAUUUGUGGAAUCAAGGAAGUUGGUUGUCUUUGCAUGAGGGAAUAACUUUUCACUUCUUGUUUGAUUGUUGAGCUUGGUUUAGAUUCAUUGUCAUUUACGACAACAGUAAAUUGUGCAAAACUAUGUUUGACUUGGAAUCUAGUAAAUUUAACGGCAACAUUUGUAAUUGGCUGGAGCUAGAUUCUUAGGACAGGCUGGUUCCAGGAGGGAUAUGAAGCUGCAAUAUGUCAGUGUGGAGGAAAAAUCAGACUAAGCAGGGCAGCCUGCAAGAAGCAGCAGAAAGCAAAACAAAGUGCACAGCAACAUGGUCUUUUAGUUCACAUCUCAGCCUACAAUAAGAUGGCAGAAAUUAUCAGUUUCAGGGAAGACAAGUUUCUGUUUAGCGACUGUAAUAGAAAGACAUGAUACUAUUGAUCAGUGUUGUGUAAGAAACUGGAUGUCAGCUUUCACUGUAAAUCUCUUGUUGCUAUCAGUCAGUCAAGGACUCAUGGUUAUUCUUUGGACAUGCCAAUCUGUAUCUUCAUGUUUUAGGCAGGCAAACCCUAGAAAAAGAAAUUAAUUUGUAGUCUGCUAUUAGAUUCAAGGCAAAGAUUAUAAUUAUAAACAUGGAGCAGAUUCCCUUGUUACUUGAGCCAAAAUACCUCAAGGGUUUAUUAUGAGAUUUCAAGUUCAGUCAUAUUCUAUUGCAUGGCACAUCACUUGUUAUUUGUGUAUCAGAAUCGAAAUUGAUAUAUUUUCUGGCAUGCUUGAACCUUAGGGCUUGCAGCUCUUUCACCGAUCAUAUUGCUGGAUGAUACGUUUAGAACAAUUAACAAGAAAUCGAUUAUUAUAAGAACAGUUUGUGGAAAAUAUCACUUUAAAGAAUCCACCCUAGUUAUAAUACCCAAUACGAGAGUCAACCCGGCUAAGUUAUGGAUUAGAGAUGUUAACCUACCUACCUGCAAGUUAGCUUAUUAACCAAGCUAUGAUUUUUUUAAAAAAGAGCUCCCCAAACGAAGUUGUUUCAAGUUUUCUAUUUUUUUUUAAAAAAAAACUGAAACAUCAUUUUAAUGAAAAAACCCAGUUCAAAGUCUAGACCGAACUAGGUUUUAUAACACUGCUGACAGCAGUGAACUCUUCCCAUUUUGCUCGAAUUUUCGAAUGUGCCGAAACCUAAAAGGAGAGACAUUUCCUACAGCACUCCGCAAAACUGCCAAGACAUAGAUUUGCGUCAUGUACAAAGGCCCAUCUAGACUUCACGAGAGUCUAAAAUUUAGUUGGAAGUGUAUAUUUUUGCCCUAAAAUCACAAAACAGUAGUGAUUAUGUAAUAAUUUCAACACAAGACAUGAUGGCGUCUAAGGGUAAAUUCAGAUCAACCAUCAUAAAUAUCUCAUAGUACUGUAAUUCUAAUCACGCACAUGAUUUUGGAAGUCUCAUUUGCAUGAAGCAUUCUGAGAAUAGAAAGAUACUCCAAGCAUGAAAUUUAUCUAGAGCAGUAAUGUACUUGAAGGAGAUACAAAAGAGGUCGAAUCAGGAAGUCUCAGCAGCUGGUUGGGUAACUCCAAACUUCACCAACAGCUUGCUUAGAGCAUUGGGUGGGCAAAUUUGGUAUUUGACAUUCCCAGAAGGAGAAAGGAAGACCUCAGCCAGUUCAAGCUUCUCUGAAGUAAGACUUGUACUAUCCAUAGUUUUGCUGAGCACCUUCAAAGCAAGCUGGACAGCUUCUUCCCUUGUGAUUUCAUCCCUGUAAUCCUGCUUUAACAUGGAUUGUGCAGCCUGGUUGUUUGCACCAAUUGCUGCAGCUUUCCAGCCAGCAUAAUUUCCACUAGGAUCGCUCAUGUAAAGUUGGAAACCAUAAUUUUUGUCCCAUCCUGCAAACAGAAACGAGACACCAAAGGGCCGAAGACCACCAAACUGUGUGUACCCUUGCUUGGUGUCACAAAGGGAUUGAACUAACUGCUCUACAGGCAUUGGCUCUUGGUAUGCAAAGGUGUAGCGUUGUGCUUGGAUCCUUGCAGUGUUGAUUAGGAUGUUGGCAUCAGACAUAAUUCCAGCCACUGCAACAGCCACAUGAUCAUCAAUCUUGUACAUCUUCUCAGUGGAAGUUGACGUUUGCAAUAGCUUGGAUGUAACCUUCUUUUCACCAACCAAGACAACCCCAUCUUUGGAUAAUAUUCCUAUUGCAGACCCAGCAUUUCCAAUGGCUUCCAUAGCAUACUCAACUUGGUACAGACGUCCUUCAGGGGAGAAGAUUGUUGUGCGGCUAUCAUAUCUCCGAGACAUUUUUAUUUAUACUGAAAGAAGAUAAUAAGCAAAAGCAACAAAAAGAACAAAAAUAAGUUCUUAACCUUGCGCCCCUUUUCACUCGAUUAACUAUAUAGGAAAGGCCAGAAAGCAGGGUUGGGGAGUCCAUGGUAAAAGAGUGAAAGACUCACAUGAAGAUCAUUCAAUUGCAAAUAAAUGAAAGCAUGCAACACAUUAGAGAAAGCAGAAAUUGAGCAUGUGUUGAAAAUAAAUAAAUUAGAGCAACUCUUAGAGAACAGCAUAGCCAUUAUAAUCAGCUUGGACGUGAGAACUUGACACGAUUAGAAAACAUCUCAGAAACAACUAGAGCUUCCAGAACCACGAACAAGUCAAACAGUGUGGAAAUUUCCAUAAACUGAAAAGGUAGAAUAUAGGCUUUGCAUGCUGUAAAUUGACAAUAUUUUAAAUUCUUCAAUUCUUUUGAUUGAUUAACCAAAAAAUUUAGGAGAUGCAAUCAUUGUGCCAUUUUCCCAAUUCAGCCCCUUUUCAUGCUCAUCCAUUUUCAAAUAAAACAUGCCUCAUGGAAACAGCAUACAUAUUUUCUGUUCCAAAGAGCCAAAUGCAAACAUAGGAGAACAUGUAUCGCAUACAUAUGCAAGAAAACACAUGCAUGGAGUUUGUAAAGGAGGUGCAUACACUUAAGUUUCUUAAAGAAGAGGCCAUUAGGAAACUACAUUUGCAAACCCUAGAGCUCACAAUAGAAGUUGCAAAGGCAGGCAACUGAAAGUUGUUUAAAUUAGAAACACACAAGGACUGAAUAUAAGAAAAUAAAAUCUUGCAACUGUAAUUUAAGUAAUGCCGUCCCUCUGAUUAAGUCUAACCUUGACCAUUAAAAAAAAACCUAAGAAAGACAAUGAAAAUUCUAACUAAGAAAUUAGUAUGCUUUACUAAAUAGUUACUUAAGCACAGUUCUGUAACAAUAACCCAUAUAUCAAACUAGGUUUUCCUUGUUUACCAUCCUUUAAUUCAUUAUACCUGUCAAGAAUAUCACAAAGGACAUAUAGCAAAUCAUAUUACAAAAACAAUCGAAAAUCAGUCAUUUCCAGCAAAUAAACAACUACAUAGUUCCAUAGUUGCUCUAUUUCAUCUAGCAGUUCAAUCAAGGAUCACUAACAAAGUUGCCAAACUAAAAUCAAAAUCUGUUUCGCCAAACACAACCCAUUCUAUGUCUUUUUAGUACACAAUCAACAAUAUUGUUCUAUCUUUCGCGCUUCCAACAAAACAAUUUGAUCCCUUAAAACUCUACAAACUACCAUGGACACACACAAAACAACACUAACCCAGGUUCCAAUUCCAGAGUUCAGCUUCUAAAAAACACAUCAAACCCAACUAGGUCUAUUUCCACUCCGAAAUUCAAUGCACAUUGUAUAGUUAAUUUGCCAAACUAUAUUAGAAUCUGUUUCUAGGAAACACCCCAUCAUCCCAUUCUCUGUCCUUCCAGUGAGUGCACCAUCAACAAUUCUCUCUCUUUCGGUCUCCCAUAACAAAACAAAUUGAUCCCUGAAAACCCUACAAACUACAAUUAACACCAAAAAAAAAAAAACUAUCCCAGAGUCCAAUUCAAAGUCCAACUUCAAAAAAUCACCUAAGAAAUCAGCAUUACCAACUAAAACCCCUCAACCAAGAACAAAAUCAGAAAAAAAGCAGCACCUUUACUGCUUUACCACCAUAACAACCCAAAAACAAAAACAGAUCUACGUAAACACCUAGAAAACUAACUCAGCACUUGAAAACUAAAACUCAUUUUCAAAUUUCAAUCAAAAACCAUAAUCGCACACAAAAAAGAAGCAACAACAAAAACUAAUACAAAAAGUCCAAAUCUUGAAGACCUAGUUCAAGAAACCAACGAAAGAAGAGACAUUUGGUAUAAAAUCAAGAGGGAGUGCUAAUUACCUGUAAAAUGCAAGUGAUCAGAAGGAAUUUGCUGUGUAGUGUGAUGCAGGAGAUUCUGAAGGGCUGAUGAAAGCUAUGGAUUCCUUGGUGAUCUUUAUGGGUUUCUUACUUUGCUCUACCUUGUUGCUCAAGAAGAGUUAAAACAGCUGAUACUGGGUGGGUUGGGCUGUCAAUGCUGUGAAAUUGGGUUGGGCUUAAUUUUUGGGCUUAAUAUAAUUAAGCCUAUUAGAGUUUUUUUUUCCUAUUUAUCCAUUUUUAGUUUUUUUUUUAAAAAAAAGAUUUGUAAAAGAAAAAUUAGCUCGAACAUGGCCGAAUUAGAAUCAAUUCUUUAUUUGAGUUUCUUAAAGCAUGUUAUUAAAACUAGUGAAUCAUUGAUUGAAUCGUUAGAUCAAUUAUAUUAUAAUAUAAAUAUUUUACUUAAUAUAAAAAAUAAAAUAAAAUAAAGACAGUCAUAUGCUGCAUAAUUUUUAAGAUUCAGGUAUUUAUAGUUUUUUUUUUAAUUGGGUUAUUUAUUGGAUUUGACUGAUUUUACGUAAUAUUAUAAUUAUUCGAUUAUGUAAGUGAGUGUUUAGAAAUUUUUGUAGCUUCUGUUUGUAAAUGUAUUUUAAAAGUAUAUUUUAUUUUAAAAAAUAUUAAAUUAAUAUUAUUUUAGCGUGUUUUAAUAGUUUUAAUGUGUAAAUAUAAAAAAAUUAUUUUAAUAUAUUUUAAAAUAAAAACUACUUUUAAAAAGCACAUCUUACACCACAAGAACAAUUACUCUAUUAAAUUGGAUGAUUAAUUGAUUUUAUAACAUUUAUUUUAGUUACUAGUCAUUUAGAAUUGAUUAUAUUUUUCUAUCAGCUUCAAUUAACUUAUUGUUUCCCAUGCUAGAAAAUUAUGCCAAACAACUUAGUAACAUCCACACGAAAUAGGUAAUUUACGAAGGAAUGUGUUUAUAAUUAUUGAGGUUGGUCCAAAACCCUUACUUGGACCUCAUCACUUUCGGUUUUGCAAAGGUGCUACCAACAACAUGUCCAUUCGUUAUUUUGAGGGAAUUUUUAAAAUCUAGAUUAUAAUUUAUAUUGUGGAUUGGAACUUUCUCAAGUAAAAAAAAAAAUUCAUAGAUUUAACAUUAUUUCCAUGAAGUAAACCCAGCAUGAGGAUUGCUAUGAAAAAAGGUAGGGUCACUGAAUCAACAUACGCAGCUUACCAAGUUAAUUAUUUUUAUUAGAAUAAUCUUAUAAAAUUUAUUUAAUUAUGCUUCAAUCGAGUUUGAUCGAGUUAACAGGUUAUAAAUUAAUCUAAUUAUAUCAAUUAAAAUUCACUAAAUCAAUAUUUUUUUUCAUUUAUAUUUAAAUUCUAAUUUAAAUUAGGCUUUGAAUCAUAUAUAUAUCUAAGAUCAAUAAUCUAUGCUAUCAGAUUAUUUCUUUCAAUUUCCUUACACCACAAGAACAAUUACUCUAUUAAAUUUUAUUAAAUUAAUACAUUUUUAUUUAUAUUUAAAAUCCAAAUUUAAGUUAGGUUUUGGAUUGUAAAUAUCUAAUAUCAACUCUUUUAAAUCUAAGCUAGAUUUAACAACUAUUCUAUCGAAUGAUUUUUUUUAAUUUCCUAAAUUAUUACCCCUUUUAUUCGGACAAAUAAAAAGGAGGUCAGGAGUGUUCUGACUUCUAGCAAACCAUGUUUCUUAUCUAAUAACAUUAUUAUUAUUUUUUUAUUUUUUUUUCCCCUGAUUAAGAGGCGAGGUCUUCAAACCAACUAUUCUCCAUUCCUUCUCGCAUGUCCCAAAUACCUUGGUUAGGCUUAGAACUUAGAAUCCUAAUUAAAAUAUAAUAAUUUAAGCUUAUCUUUAUCAUAUAGUGUUUCUAGAAAUAUAAAAUAAAUAUAUUCGGGAUCUUGUAAUCUUGUAGCCAGGCUGGAUAAGAGUUUGUAUUCUUUUCUAGCCUUUUCCUUUCUAUCUUUUCCCGUGAACCAAGCACUGCCCGUUUACAGUAUAUAUUUGACUUUACUUCACAUCAUACUAAUUUUCUCAAGUAAAAUAUUAUGGUCUUGGUCCACAAUGGAAUAAACAUUUCAAAUCAAGUAUGGAUCGAGAAACCUAUACCAGGAAAAAAAAUGAUUUAAGAGAAAUCAAACAUGUUUUUUUAAAGAGUUUACAAGGGGACAACGAAUCUUUGUUUUUACAGUCAUGUCGUUUUUUAAAUGUUUUUUAAAAUAUUUUUUAAUAAUUUUAAUGCAAUAAUAUUAAAAAUAAAAAAUAUAUUAUUUGGAUAUAUUUUUAAUUUCAAACACUUUAAUAAAAACAUGCAUGAGAGGGAGGGAUAAUUGGAUGGCGCGCGUCACAAGUGAUGGAGAUCAUCACAUUUUGAUGGAAUUAAUUAAACAUCAAGCAAUCAAGAAAGUAUGCCCACAUUUGAUAGGCAACAAGUUGAAGAAAUUAACAUAAGAUAUGCUCUGAAAAGGGAAGGAAAGGAUCAUAAGAAAAUUCUCUAGAACUAUAACAAAACACAAGAUAUCCUCUUGAAUUAGAGGCUUCAUUCCAGCCACUUCAUGAUCCUACAUGCAAUUAUUCUUUACACUUUCAAGCUCACACAUGUUACCCUCUGCAUGUUUCAACACAACCUGCAACCAUCAAGAACGCCAAAAUAUGAUUUAGUUUCAUGGAUAUUUUUCCUGAUAAAUGGAAUAUCUUGUCAAGACUAUAUAUAUAUAUAUAGCGAAAUUCUGAAAAUGGAAGCUAGCUAGUACCUGAUUAAUUAAGCAGGGCACUUGAACCCUUCAGGUGGGGUCUUGCCACAGUCAACAAGGACCUCAAGAGCAAUGGGUAUAAUGAUACUGAUGUUGAGAAGCUUAGCCUUAAUGGUGGUGCAAAGACAUAUGGCAGCAUCCAAGUCAAGAAGACCUUGAAGCACUGGACAGCAUGCAUCCUUGGCACUACUGCCAAUACCAAUGUGGACCAGUCCACCUAACACAUCCACACAUGCACCUAGCUUGAGAGUGUCAAUGGAGCAAGUCUCUUGUUUUGGUGGUGGUGGUGGAGGUGGAGGACAUGGUGUUUCAGGUGGUGGAGGGUUCACAAUAGGUGGUGUUGGUGGCUUUAUUGGAGGAGUCACUGGAGGCUUUGGUGGUGGAAGAGUUGGUGGUGCUGGUGGCAUUAUUGGAGGAGUCACUGGAGGCUUUGGUGGUGGAAGAGUUGGUGGUGUUGGUGGUGUUGGUGGCAUUAUUGGAGGAGUCACUGGAGGCUUUGGUGGUGGAAGAGUUGGUGGUGUUGGUGGCAUUAUUGGAGGAGUCACUGGAGGCUUUGGUGGUGGAAGAGUUGGUGGUGUUGGUGGCUUUAUUGGAGGAGUCACUGGAGGCUUUGGUGGUGGAAGAGUUGGUGGUGGAAGAGCUGGAGGUGUUGGUGGCUUUAUUGGAGGAAUCACUGGAGGCUUUGGUGGUGGAAGAGCUGGUGGUGUUGGUGGCAGAACUGGUGGUUUGGGCACAUAUGGUGGUUUUGGUAUGAAGGGCGGAUGCACAAUGGGUGGUUUCGGUUUGAAGGGCGGAUGCACAAUGGGUGGUUUCGGUUUGAAGGGCGGAUGCACAAUGGGUGGUUUCGGUGUAUAGGGCGGAUGCACAAUGGGUGGUUUCGGUUUAAACGGGGGAUGUACAAUGGGAGGUUUGGGAACAACAGGCGGCUUAGGUGGGUGGGGUUUGGGGGGUUUAGGGUCAUGGGGUGGCUUUACUGUGGGAG
RNAcentral lists this long non-coding RNA (91166 nucleotides) under Populus trichocarpa (black cottonwood). RNAcentral's name for it is "long non-coding RNA (PTRI_LNC003560)". The record is from RNAcentral. Lineage: Eukaryota; Viridiplantae; Streptophyta; Magnoliopsida; Malpighiales; Salicaceae.